UUUUCUCCCUCUUUCCAAGACAAACUAGAUAAGAUGCAGAUUGGAUCAGGCGAAGAUGUGAAUGACCUCAACUAUGAUUAUGACAAUGAACAGUGCGUAGCACGUGGUGGAAAUUAAUAGAUGGGAUGGUGGACAGCGGAAGGGAUAAUGAUGCAGCGGCGGCGUGACUAAUGUGAACAGAACUCGAAACUCUAAAGGAACUAGACGCUAAGACCAGCAACUUACACGACGAUGCAACCGAUAAUUCAACUAUGCAAGCAAUGAAUAGAAAAUUGCAAAGGCUCAGACUGGCUUGGAUAAAGGAUGAACAGAUCUAACUUUUUUUGUGUGGCUUUUUCUUGGACAAUAGGUAAGAAAAUAAAUCUAAUCUAGGAAAACUGGAAAUUCUCACCGAGCAACCUGAAAACUGAUACCACUUGAUAGAGGCGGGGGUGUCCCGAUCUUUCGAUGAGAUGAUAACUAUCGAUUUGGUGGAGACGACUUUGACGAUCCGACUACAAACGUGCAACGACGUUGUGCCUUAGCAAUCGCUAAACCAACUCCGAGAGGUUAUUGACCACGCUGGAGCACGAUCAACCUGACCACGAAGGUCUAUUCCUGCAAGCAAUCGAAGAACAAGCAAGAAUAUGAUAAAAGCAAUCUGAAUAUCGCGAAUAUGUAUGAAGUAUUGAUAAUGGUGGGGAUCCGAAAAGUGGUCUUGGUCUGGUCGUUGGACACAAACGAAGCACACGAAGUUGCAAUGGCUAACUUUUAACUAAACAAAUCCCAAGGAAAAGCUACUAGAUGGAUCUACUUAUAUAGGAGCAAGGGGUGGCGGCCAAGGAGGUGGGAGGACGUCCCAAGGCAGCCUAAAACUAAAUCUAGGUCGUACAAGGCCAAUGGGCCCAAGUGGAGGUGAUGUAACACCUUUGGACUUGUAGUUUGACUCGGAUUCUGUUGCAGCAUCAGAUUGUUUCGUCCACAACUCAACGCUCCGGACGAAUUUGAAGGUGAUUCCAAUUGGGUUGGAAAGUGCACGAAAUCUAGUUUCCAACAAAAAAAGAAUCACCCAAUUCGGAGUCCGUAUGAAAAACUUGUGUGCGUUUUGAGUCAGGUGUGUCUGUGCAGUCCGAAUCUGAAUCCAGAACGUGAGAGACUUGGACUCUAUCUUCUCUUGGGCCAAAAGUGACGUGAGAGAACUUUUUGGACAGCAAAUAAACAUCUCUUUCUUCCUUAUCUUCAUAUGUGGAUUGUACAAAUGUCCCAUACACCUGCAAUUAGACAAAACACAAAAGUGUGUGAAGUAUUUUUGUUCUGGAUAACAUAAAUAGAUUAUUGAAUAGUUUGCACUAGAAAUCACCUGACAAAUAUGCAUAUAUGCAAUAUUUUUUGUCAUAUCCAAGGUAGUCAUGUCCUCAUCACGAGUGAUAUUAGUAUACUCCUUAUAGUCUAGAAUGGUCUGAAUCUCUCUAUUUAAUCCACCCAAAAAACGUGCAAGCAUAGCUUCAUUCUCCUCAACAAUACCACAUCGAAUCAUGCCAGUUUGUAAUUCCUGAUAAUAUUCUUCUACAGAAUUUUUUCCUUGUCUUAAACGCUGCAAUUUUUGAAGCAAUUCACGUUGAUAAUAUGGUGGAACCCAACGCGUACGCAUAGCAGUUUUCAAAGCAGCCCAAGUAGUUGGAAUAGGAUAUAAUCUACAAUGUUCAGACCACCAGACACAUGCAAAACUAGUGAAAGCACAAACAGCAGCAGCAACCCGUCUCUCCUCGGGAUAUUGUAAACAUGUAAAACGUUGUUCAGUUUCUAACUCCCAAGUAAGAUAUAUAUCAGGAACAACCACCACCCCUUGGCCGCAGGAGAAAUCUUGUUGCAAGUAAUUAUGUGAACUUGAUAUGUGUUCGAUAUUUGAUGGUAUGUAUGUUGUGAUUCCCUUAGUGGUGUCAUGCGAACGUUGACUACAUGACACUUCACCAUAUAUGGUCCUAAGGGAAUUCAUUGUGGAGUAGUUAUUAGAUGAUGGGUUGCGAGAGUGACAAAAGCUUAAACCCCAGUUUAUGCGCUAUUCCGUUACGGACCGAUUGGAUCCAAAAGUUUAAUGCUAUGGUUAGAAUUUAUUCUUAAUACUUUUCUCGUAGUUGCGGAUGCUUGUGAGGGGGUUAAUCACAAGUAGGAGGUUUGUUCAAGUAAGAACAUCACCUAAGCACCGGUCCACCCACAUAUCAUGUACCUCUUCCUUUUCAGGGUUUUGGAGUGUUCUCGAAGGUUUCUUUUAUGUGUUCCUCCUGUGUUAUGGUUUGGAUAAUGUUAGUUUCAACAUUAAUAGGCGUCCUUGAAAUAUAGUGUUUAAUUCUUUGUCCAUUGACCACCAUCGGGUUGGUACCUUCAGCUUUAUUAAUCUUGAUAGCUCCAGAGUGAUAAACUUCUUCGAUGAUAUAUGGUCUUUCCCAUUUGGAAAGAAGUUUUCCUACAAAAAAUCUAAAACGGGAAUUGUACAAUAGAACAUGUUCACCAACUUUGAAUUCCCGCUUUUGGAUUCUUUUGGCAUGCCAUGUUCUAACUUUCUAUUUAAAUAGUUUGGCACUUUCAUAAGCUUGGGUUGUCCAUUCAUCUAGUGAGCUAAUAUCAAAUAAACUCUUUUCACCAGCAAGUUUGAAAUCAUAAUUGAGUUAUUUAUUUGCCCAAUAUGCUUUAUGUUCUAACUUGAGAGGAAAAUGGCAACCUUUUCCAUAAACCAUUUAAUAUGGAGACAUCCCCAUAGGGUUUUUAUAAGCUGUUCUAUAGGCCAAAGUGCAUCAUCAAGUUUCUUAGACCAAUUCUUUCGGGGCCUAAUGACAGUCUUUUGCAAAAUUGAUUUUAUUUCUCUAUUGCUAAGUUCAACUUGACCACUAGUUUGAUGAUGAUAGGGUGAUGCAAUUCUAUGGUUAACAUCAAAUUUAGCAAGCAUUUUAUGGAAACCACCAUGAAUAAAGUGUGAACCACCAUCAGUGAUUAAAUAUCUAGGGACUCCAAACCUUGGGAAAAUAACUUCUUUAAGCAUUUUAAUGGAGGUGUUGUGAUUAUCACUACUAGUUGGAAUAGCUUCUACCCACUUAGUGACAUAAUCGACAACAACCAAAAUAUGUGUAUAACCAUUAGAGGAAGGAAAGGUCCCAUAUAAUCAAAGCCACAAACAUCUAUGGUUGAACAACAAGUGAAUAAUUCAUAGGCAUUUCCUGACGCUUACCAAUAUUACCAAUUCUUUGACAUUCAUCACAAGAUAAGAAAAACAUACGAGCGUCUUUGAAGAGGGAAGGCCAAUAAAAACCAGAUUGUAAUACAUCAUGCAUAGUUCUAUCUCCUGCAUGAUGUCCUCCGUAGGCUUGGAAGUGACAUUUCCGUAGGAUUUGUUCCUGUUCUUGCCCAGGUACACAAUGUUUAAUAAUACCAUCUACUCCUUCUUUAUCAAUAUGUGGGUCAUCCCAAAAGUAAUGUCUUAAGUCAUAGAAGAAUUUUUUUUCUUUUCUUGGUAUGUAAAACUAGGUGGUAUAAAUUUAGUAACAAUGUAAUUAGAAUAGUCAGCAUACCAAGGAGUGUUAUGAGAAGCAUUUAACUAGUUGUUUAUCAGGAAAACUAUCAUCAAUAGGUAGUGGGUCAUCAAGAACAUUUUCUAACAUAACAAGUUAUCAGCUACGGGGUUCUCAGCUCCUUUCCAAUCAGAAAUAUGCAAGUCAAAUUCUUGAAACAAGAGAACGCACCUAAUGAGUCUAGGUUUAGCAUCUUUCUUUUCCAUAAGAUAUUUAAUAGCAGCAUGAUUGGUGUGAACAAUUACUUUGGAAUCAACAAUGUAAGAUCUGAAUUUAUCACAAGCAAACACAACUGCUAAAAAUUAUUUCUCAGUAGUAGCAUUUCUUUGGGCACUGUCUAGAGUUUUACUAGCAUAAUGGAUAACCUUUAAUUUCUUAUCAACUCUUUGACCUAGAACAACACCAACAACAUAAUAACCAGCAUCACACAUAAUUUCAAAGGGUAGGUUCCAAUCAGGUGGUUGAACUAUAGGUGCAGAAGUUAAGGCUUUCUUAAGUUUUCAAAUGCUUUUACACAAUCAUCAUAAAAACAAAUGGAACAUCCUUUUGUAAAAGAUUAGUAAGAGGCCCAGAAAUUUUAGAGAAGUCUUUAAUGAACCUCCUAUAGAAACCAGCAUGAGCAAGGAAACUACGAAUACCUUAAUGUCUUUCGAACAUGACAUUUUCUCAAUUGCAUCAACUUUAGCUUUAUCCACCUCCAUACCUCGUUCAGAAAUUUUAUGCCCCAAGACAAUGCCUUCAUUAACCAUAAAGUGGCACUUCUCCCAAUUCAAGACAAGAUUAGUUUGUUCACAUCUCUGCAAAUCUCGAUCAAGGUUACUUAAGCAAUUAUCAAAAGAAGUUUCGUAAACGAAAAAAUCAUCCAUGAAAACCUCAACAAUAUUUUCACAAAAAUCAGAGAAUAUAACAGUCAUGCAUAUUUAAAAGGUAGCAGCUGCAUUACAUAAACCAGAAGGCACAUGUCUAUAAGCAUAAGUUCCAAAAGUGAUAGAGGCUAAGGUGUCCCGAUGUUUCAAUGAGAUGGUGGCUAUCGUUUUCUGUGGGAGUCGACCUUGACGAUCCGACUACGAACGUGCGAGACGUCGCGCCUUAGCAAUCGCUAAACCAACUUCCGAGGGUUAUUGACCACGCCGGAGCACGAUCAACCUGACCACGAGGGUCUGUUUCCUGCGAGCAAACGAAGAACAAGCAAGAAACUGAGAUUGCAAUCGGGAUAUUGCGAAUAUAAGAUGAAAGCUUUAUUGAUCAAGGUGGGGUUCUGUGACGUCUUGGUCUGGUCGUUGAACACAAACGAAGUACACGAAGUUGCAGCUAUGGCGAACUUUUAAUCCAAACAAAACCCAAAGUCUAAACAACGCCCUAAGGGCUGUAUAUAUGGAGGAAGAGGGGGGAAUUUCGUGGCCCUUGAGGGUGGGGUCCGAAACCAACCCUAACUCUUGUUUCCCCACACAUACGGACUCUAAAAAUAGCCUAUACUUAAGUAUUUCGAAAUUACAUGGGCCUGGCCCAUUAAUAAGGUGACGCAGCACCUAGAAUAGCCUAUGGACGAAUAUUAUGAAGUGACAUCUUGUAUAUUUCGUCCUAGGCUUCAUUCACUCCUUAUGGCGGCCUCAAAGUCCUGAAAUCAUCACUUGUAACUCCGUUCUUGAUCCCCUUGCGCAUGCCAUCAACUCCAUGCGUGUUCUUGCUCCAAUGUUCAUCCUUCUCCAAGCUAGUCCCUUCAUUUGUAAGCAAAACAAAUGUAUCCAAUUUAGGCAGCAUCAUAAUCUCAUGAACACUAGAAUCAUUAUCAAGAAACGAAAGUACCUGGUAAUUUAAUUGGCGUGCGCGAGCUCUUGUAAUUGGUCCAGUAUAUGUAACAGUAGGGGCUGCGGGUGUAACAAUGGUAUUGAUGUUCUCAUCAUCCUCCCCUUCUUGAAAUGAAGUCGUCCUCGACGGAAGCGCAUCUUCCUCACCCAAAUAAGGCUUCAAAUCUGCAAUGUUAAAAGUGGGACUAACCCCAAAAUCUACAGGUAGCUCAAGUUUAUAUGCAUUAUCAUUUAUUUUCUCUAACACCUUAAAAGGACCAUCAGCACAUGGCAUUAGCUUUGGUUUGCGUAGAUUAGGAAAUCUAUCUUUACGCAAAUGUAACCAAACAAGAUCUCCAGGCGCAAACACAACAUGUUUUCUACCCUUAUCUCCAGCAAGUUUAUAUUUAGCAUUCAUACGCUCAAUGUUUUCCUUAGUUAACUCAUGCAUUUUUAAAAUCAAUUCAGAACGUUCUUUAGCAUCAAAAUUAACCUUCUCUGAAGAUGGAAGAGGCAACAAAUCAAUAGGUGCACGAGGUAGGAAACCAUACACAAUUUCAAAGGGCACAUCUUAGUAGUAGAAUGUAAUGAAUGAUUAUAAGCAAAUUCAAUAUGAGGCAAGCAUUCUUCCCACAUUUUCUUGUUAUUCUUCAAAUCAGCCCUAAGCAUAGUAGACAAUGUUCUAUUGACUAUUUCAGUUUGUCCAUCAGUUUGGGGGUGACAACUAGUACUAAAAAGUAGCUUAGUCCCCAACUUAGCCCAUAAACAUCUCCAAAAGUGGCUAAGAAAUUUAGUAUCACGAUUUGAAACAAUAGUAUUUGGCACACCAUGUAAGCGAAUAAUUUCACGAAAGAACAAAUCAACAACAUUAACAACAUCAUCGCUUUUAUGACAUGGUAUAAAGUGUGCCAUUUUUGAGAACCUAUCCACGACAACAAAUAUGCUAUCCCUCCCCUUCUUUGUUCGAGGUAAACCUAAAACAAAGUCCAUAGAUAUAUCCUCCCAAGGAACACUAGGUACAGGCAAAGGCAUAUAUAAACCAUGAGGAUUGAGUUGUGACUUAGCUCUUUGACAUGUAGUGCAGCGAGCAACAAAACGCUCAACAUCCCGUCUCAUGUUUGGCCAAAAGAAAUGUGUAGCAAGUAUAUCCUCUAUCUUCUUGACGCCAAAGUGUCCCAUUAAUCCUCCUCCAUGCGCCUCCUGCAACAACAAAAGACGAACGGAGCUAGCUGGAAUGCAUAGCUUGUUAGCACGAAACACAAAUCCAUCGUUAAGAACGAACUUGUUCCAAGUUCUCCCUUCCUUCCAAUUCUGCAAUACAUCUUUAAAUUCAGCAUCAUGAACAUAUUGAUCUUUGAUGGUCUCCAAACCAAAUAUUUUAAAGUCAAGUUGUGAAAGCAUAGUAUAGCGACGAGACAAGGCAUCGGCAAUAACAUUUUCUUUACCCUUCUUGUGUUUAAUGACAUAAGGGAAAGUCUCAAUGAAUUCAACCCAUUUAGCAUGUCUACGGUUCAGUUUUGCUUGACUUUUAAUGUGUUUCAAAGAUUCAUGAUCAAAAUGUAUAACAAAUUCCUUGGGCCAUAAAUAAUGCUGCCAUGUUUCUAAGGUCCGAACAAGAGCAUAUAAUUCUUUAUCAUAAGUAGAAUAGUUCAGACUAGGCCCACUCAAUUUUUCAGAAAAGUAUGCAACAUGUUUUCCAUCUUGUAAUAACACACCUCCUAAUCCAAUUCCACUAGCAUCACAUUCAAGCUCAAAAGUCUUAUUGAAAUUAGGAAGUUGGAGUAAAGGAGCAUGUGUCAACUUAUCUUUCAAUACCGUGAAGGCUUCUUCCUGUGCGGUACCCCAAACAAAAGGCACAUCAUUCUUUGUAAGCUCGUUGAGAGGUGCAGCAAUGGUGCUGAAAUCUCUCACAAAACGCCUAUAAAAACCAGCGAGGCCAAGGAAACUCCUCACUUGUGUGACCGUUUUGGGCUGCGGCCAACUCUCAAUAGCAUCAAUCUUGGCUUUAUCAACUUCAAUUCCCUGUGGAGUAACAACAUAGCCAAGAAAAGAUACUCGGUCGGUGCAAAAGGUGCACUUUCCAAGGUUUCCAAACAAGCGUGCAUCACGUAGAGCAAUAAAAACAGCACGUAAAUGUUCCAAAUGUUCCUCCAAAGAUUUUCUAUAAAUCAAUAUGUCAUCAAAGUAAACUACCACAAAUCGUCCAAUGAAAGCACGUAAAACUUCAUUCAGUAACCUCACGAAAGUACUAGGUGCAUUAGUUAACCCAAAAGGCAUGACUAACCACUCAUAUAAUCCAAACUUAGUUUUAAAUGUUGUUUUCCAUUCAUCACCCAAUUUCAUACGAAUUUGAUGGUAUCCACUACGCAAAUCAACUUUGGAGAAUAUUGUAGAGCCACUCAAUUCAUCAAGCAUAUCAUCUAGCCUAGGAAUAGGAUGACGAUAAUGAAUAGUAAUAUUAUUAAUGCCUCUACAAUCAACGCACAUACGCGACGUACCAUCCUUUUUCGGCACUAAAAUGAUAGGAACAGCACGAGGACUAAGGGAUUCGCAUAUAUAACCUUUGUCGAGCAGUUCUUGUACUUGACGCAUAAUCUCCUUCGUCUCCUCUCGAUUGGUACGGUAUGGUGCACGGUUGGGUAGCGAAGCACCGGGAAUUAAGUCAAUUUGAUGCUCAAUACCUCGAAUAGGUGGUAAUCCCGGUGGCACGUCUUGUGGAAAGACGUCAGCGAACUCCUGCAAAAUGUUAGUGACAGCAGGGGGCAAAGAGGAAGGCACGUCCUCGACUGAAAAUAAUGCCUCUUUGCACACAAAAGGAUAGCAAACAGAUUUGCUAAAAUCUAGCUCAUCAAUAUCAGAUUUGGUGGCAAGUAAACAUGCACUUUUCAAUUUAAUUUCAGAAACAACAGUAGAUGGUUUAUUAUUAGGCUUCAUUUGGUGCUCAAAUUCUUUUGCCACAAUCUGAUUUUCACUCUUAUUUGUCUCCUGUUUUGCUUUAUUAGCUCUAUUAAUAUCAUCUUUCAAAAUGGAAUCAGGAGUCAUAGGAAGCAAAGUAAUAUUUUUAUCGUUAUGAACAAGAGUAUACUGAUUGUUUCUACCAUGGUGUAUAGAAUUUUUAUCAAAUUGCCAUGGUCUACCAAGUAAUAAGGAACAUGCUUGCAUAGGUACCACAUCACAAUCAACAUAAUCAGCAUAUGUAGAGAUACUAAAAUGCACACGAACAGUACGUGUUACCUUAACCUUGCCGCUGUUGUUGAACCAUUGGAUGUAGUAAGGAUGUGGAUGUGGUCUUGUGGUGAGAGAUAGCUUCUCCACCAUCUCCAUGCUAGGCAAGUUAUUGCAGAUCCCUCCAUCUAUGAUCACACGAACAGAACGUUCCUUCACAACUCCCUUUGUAUGGAACAAAUUAUGCCUCUGAUUUUGCUCAGCUUGUGUAACCUGCACACUCAAAACACGUUGAGCAACUAAACAUUCAUACCUGUCAGCAUCUUCAGGAGCCAUGUAUUGCGUCUCAUGAUCAGAAUCGUCUCCACCGUGUUCUUCACGUGUAAUAAGAGCCAAGGUCUCCUCAUCAUAGUCACUAGCGGACUCAUACCCACCAUCCUCAGUAACAAUCAUCACACGCUUAGAUGGGCAUUCUCUCGCAUAAUGACCUCCACCCUUGCAACAUCGACAAAUAAUAUCAUGUGUUUGCCCUGUUGAUGCCAUGGAUGAAGAAGAGCUCUUUGCAGUCCCAGAAGGUGUGCUCUUGGCAAAUAGUGGUGAUUGUGCCUGCUUUAUUGUAUCACGGUUGGAGGUGGCAGCCGACGGAGGCGCCGGUGUAGCAGAACGUGUGGAAGUAGAUGAUGCACGUGGUGUCCAUGAUGAAGGUCGACCUGCAGAAAAGUUAGUCCGUGCCAAUGCCUGUCGAUCCUGCACUUCACAUUCAGCUUUACAAGCAAGAUGGAAUAAACGAGUGAUAUUAGUAUACUCCUUAUACUCUAGAAUCGUCUGAAUCUCUCUAUUUAAUCCACCCAUAAAACAUGCAAGCAUAGCUUCAUUCUCCUCAACAAUACCACAUCUAAUCAUGCCAGUUUGUAAUUCCUGAUAAUAUUCUUCUACAGAAUUUUUUCCCUGUCUUAAGCGCUGCAAUUUUUGAAGUAAUUCACGUUGAUAAUAUGGUGGAACCCAACGAGUACGCAUAGCAGUUUUCAAAGCAGCCCAAGUAGCAGGAAUAGGAUAUAAUCUACAAUGCUCAGACCACCAAACACAUGCAAAACUAGUGAAUGCACAAACAGCAGCAGGAACACGUCUCUCCUCGGGAUAUUGUAAACAUGUAAAUUGUUGUUCAGUUUCUAACUCCCAAGUAAGAUAUAUAUCAGGAACAUAUCUACCCUCAAAUGGUGGAAUAUUCAAUUUUAGUUUAGGGAGAUGGUCAUGAUCUCGUACCUGAGGGUGAGCCCUACCAUUGCCAUUAUUUGCAUGUGGACGACCUGGUGGUUGCUGUGCUGGUGGUGGCACGUAGUUUUGAUUUUGAUCAACCUCAUCCUCAUAAUCUCCCACAUAAUCAUCCUCCUCCACAUCAGUAGUAGGAGCCAUAGAAGUAUCAACAGUAGCACCAGCAGUUUGGCCCGACUAAAGAGGGACACGGCUCGCUCGGCGGAGGGCUGUUUCCCGACGUGGAGGUAGUCGAUGUUGUUGCUGUUGUUGCAGAGGUGCGGCAGGAGCAGCCGGUGGUGGUGGUGGAAAACGCGAAAGCAGUUCAGCAAACUUGUUAUCGAGCUUUGUUUCAAACGUCUUCUCCAUGCCAUCUAUCUUCUCCAUGGCCUCUUCAAAUCUGUUUAUCACAUCUUGCACCUGUCCACUCAUCAUUUGCUGAAACGUAUCAUGAAGCUCCUUGUUCGUCAAGUUCUCCCAGUCAGUCUCGUCGGCUUGUGAUCCUGGCAUGGUUAGCAGCAAAAGAAACACACAAGAAUAUGAUCCUACAGACUACUAACAAGUGGUGGUGGUGGCGGGUGUCACAAAUCCGUCAAGCAAAUCUCAAAUUCUUACCAGUUCUUACCCAGCAGCAGGCGGUGAUCGACAACCGUUGUAGUCAAAACUUCUCAAAAGCUUGGAUAGAGCGAUUGCCAGGGAGAGUCAAACGCACGACGUAGAUGUAUGUGGAGCUGGGAAGGCUUAUAGUAUGGUAGCAAAAAGGGUCAGCAAUAAUCAAUUCAGAGAUGCAAAGUUGAAUAAACGCUCAACGACGGUACUGUGCUGGUCCUAGGCUAGACCGUGCUAGAGACGCGAGCCUAGAACACUAACAAAAUCACGGCGCUGCACGUAAAUAAGGGAAAAGCACACUCUAGAACUCUUUUUUUCGCUCUUUUUUUUGCGCUCCUUUUUUUUGCGCUCCUCUUUUUUUUGCGAAAAAUCACUAUAAUGGCGAGUGUCUCAAAACUCUUCCCUCGUCAAACUGAUAGGAUGGGCACGAAAUUUUUUUUCACUUUUUUUUUCGGAAAUCAGGGCAGCGACGAUGAAAAAGUGCGACAAAAAAUCACUAUGAUGGCACGUGGCUCAAAAGACUCAGAAAGGCCUAAAAAUAGGAUAGGGAAAAAAAUUUGCCCGUGAAAAUUUUGGCCUAAAAACUGCCCGGGGGUCUCCAGACUCUUUUUUUUCCGAGACCUACGCAGGCAAGGAAACACGAAUCAGAAUUUAGAUUGAUCUCAAGAACAAACCUAAUAUGAGAAGAACUCAGAUUGGUGGUGGAUAUAUGGUUGUGGUAUAUGGCAGCGGUGGUGGUAUAUGGAUACAGAUUGGUGGUGGUAUAUGGAUACGGAUUGGUGGUGGUAUAUGGAUAUGGAUUCAGAGCGGUGGCGGAUAAGCAAAAGUGGUAGAUGGGCGAUGAUGAUGGUGCGGCGGCGGCGUGACAACUUAUGACCAGAACUCAAAACUCUAAAAGACUAGACUCUAAGACCAGCAACUUGACAAGACGAUGCAACCGCAAAUUCAACAAAGCAAAAACCCUAAAAAGAUUAUGCAAAGGCUCAGAUUGGUUCGGAUAUGAUGAACUAACCCUAAUUUUUUUUCUGGCUUUUUCGUGGACUGUAGGUAUGAAGAACAGACUCGAUCUAAUCUACGAAAAACUAUAAAAUCUCACCGAGUAACCUGGAAAUCUGAUACCACUUGAUAGAGGCUAAGGUGUCCCGAUGUUUCGAUGAGAUGGUGGCUAUCGUUUUGUGUGGGAGUCGACCUUGACGAUCCGACUACGAACGUGCGAGACGUCGCGCCUUAGCAAUCGCUAAACCAACUUCCGAGGGUUAUUGACCACGCCGGAGCACGAUCAACCUGACCACGAGGGUCUGUUUCCUGCGAGCAAACGAAGAACAAGCAAGAAGCUGAGAUUGCAAUCGGGAUAUUGCGAAUAUAAGAUGAAAGCUUUAUUGAUCAAGGUGGGGUUCUGUGACGUCUUGGUCUGGUCGUUGGACACAAACGAAGUACGCGAAGUUGCAGCUAUGGCGAACUUUUAAUCUAAACAAAACCCAAAGUCUAAACGACGCCCUAAGGGCUGUAUAUAUGGAGGAAGAGGGGGGAAUUUCGUGGCCCUUGAGGGUGGGGUCCGAAACCAACCCUAACUCUUGUUUCCCCACACAUACGGACUCUAAAAAUAGCCUAUACUUAAGUAUUUCGAAAUUACAUGGGCCUGGCCCAAUAAUAAGGUGACGCAGCACCUAGAAUAGCCUCGGGACGAAAUUUAUGAAGUGGCAUCUUGUAUAUUUCGUCCAAGGCUUCAUGCACUCCUUAUGGUGGCUUCAAAGUCCUGAAAUCAUCACUUGUAACUCCGUUCUUGUUCCCCUUGCGCAUGCCAUCAACUCCAUGCGUGUUCUUGCUCCAGUGUUCAUCCUUCUCCAAGCUAGGCCCUUCAUUUGUAAGCAAAACAAAUGUAUCCAAUUUAGGCAGCAUCAUAAUCUCAUGAACAUUAGAAUCAUUACCAAGAAACGAAAGUACCUGGUAAUUUAAUUGGCGUGCGCGAGCUCUAGUAAUUGGUCCAGUAUAUGUAACAGUAGGGGCUAUGGGUGUAACAAUGGUAUUGAUGCCCUCAUCAAAAAGGACAGGUAAAGGUGGUUUUCUCUUGAUUGGGUUGUGAUACAGGUAUUUGAGAGGAACUGGAAUAUCCAUCAAGAAAAGAAAAGUGUGUGUGUUUUGACAACCUUUCUAACAUUUGAAUAAUGAAAGGCAGAGGGCAGUGAUCUUUUCUAGUAGCUUUAUUUAAUUUUCUAAACUCAAUUGCCAUUCAAUAGCCAGUCACUAUUCUUUGUGGAAUAAGUUCAUUUUUAUCAUUAGGAACAACAGUAAUACCUCCUUUCUUAGGGACACAAUGAACAUGACUUACCCAUCAACUAUCAGCUAUGGGAUAGAUUAUACCUGCUUCCAGAAGUUUUAGUAUUUCAGUUCUUACCACUUCCUUCAUCUUAGGAUACGAUCGUCGUUGGUGAUCAACAACGGGUUUAGCAUCAGGUUCCAUAUUAAUCUUGUGCUGACAAAGAGUGGGACUAAUUCCCUUAAGAUCAUCAAGAGUAUAUCCAAUAGCAGCACUGUGCUUCCUCGGAGUUCUUAAUAAUCUCUCUUCUUCGUGUUGUGAAAGGAUAGCACUAAUAAUAACAGGAUAUAUCUUUUUCUCAUCAAGAUAAGCAUACUUCAAAGUGUCAGGCAAUUGCUUUAAUUCAAACACAGGAUCACCUUUUGGUAGAGGAGGACCUCCUAGAGUUUCAAUAGGCAAAUUGUGUUUAAGGACAUGUUGUUGUUCAAAAAAUAUUUUAUCUAUUUCAUUUCUUUCAUGCAAGUGCAUAUAAUUUUCAUGGUCUAGCAAAUAUUGUCCUAGUGGAUCAGUGGGAGGUAUGGCAAUAGAAGCAAGACCAAUUAUUUCAUCCUUACUAGGUAACUCUUUAUCAUGAGGUUGUCUACGAAACUUUGAGAAAUUAAACUCGUGAGACACAUCGCCAAAACUAACACUGAUAGUUUCUUUCUCACAAUCUAUCUCAGCACUGACAGUGUUCAAGAAAGGUCUACCAAAAAUUAUGGGACAAAAGUCAUCUUGUGGAGAACCAAGAACUAGAAAAUCAGUAGGAUGUUUUAUUUUCCCACACAAGACUUCAACAUCUCUAACAAUCCCAAGUGGUAUGAUGGUAUCUCUAUUGGCAAGUUUAAUAGGAACAUCUAUGUCUUCUAUUUCAGCGGGUGCUAUAUCAUUCAUAUUUUCUUAGUAUAAAGUAAAAGGGAUAGCACUCACACUAGCACCUAAGUCACAUAAACCAUGAUAGCAAUGAUCUCCUAUUUUAACUGAGACAUCAGGCAUGCCAACAACAUGCUUGUUCUUAUCUUUAGUAUCGGGUUUGGCAAUUCUAGUAGCUUCAUCCCAGAAAUAAAUAACAUGCCCAUCGACCAAGAGAUCUUUAACCAUAGCAACACUAGUUUCUACUUUGAUUUAUCCAGGGGGUUUAGGUGCUUUCAUAUUACUUUUGUGAACCACCGUUGACAUCUUAGCAUGUUCCUUUAUCUUAACAAGGAAAGGUGGUUUUUCAGUAUAAGCAGUAGGAAUUACUAUCAACAUUGUAAAUUAUAGUUUCAUCUUUAACUAUUACCGGUUCUUUAAUUUCUCCUUUAAUAGGGGCUGAUAUUUAAACCACUUCUCCUUUGGGAGAUCAACAUGAGUAGAAAAUGAUUCACAAAAAGAGGCUACUAUCUCAGAGUCGAGUCCAUAUUUACUGCUAAACUUGUGAAAAGCAUCGUAUUCAUAAAAGAUUUAACACAAUCAAACUCAAGCUUCAUACCUGACUCUUUACCUUCGUUGAGUUCCCAAUAUUCAGAGUUGCAUUUAAUUCUUUCUAAAAGAUCCAACCUGAAUUCAAUAGUCUUCUUCAUAAAAGCACCAACAUAAGAAGUAUCGAGCAUGGAUUGAUCAUUACGAGAAAGCCGAGCAUAAAAAUUCUGAAUGAUAAUUUCUCUUGAGAGCUCAUGAUUGGGGCAUGAAUAUAACAUUGACUUAAGCCUCCCCCAAGCUAGAGUGGUACUUUCUCCUUCACAAGGCCAAAAAUUAUAUAUAUAAUUAUGAUCAUGAUGAACUAGAUGCAUAGGAUAAAACUUUUGGUGAAAUUCCAAUUUCAAUCGAUUCCAAUUCCAAGAUCCGAUAUCAUUGCAUAGCCUAUACCAUGUCAAUGCUUUUCCCCCCAAAGAUAAAGGGAAAACCUUCUUCUUAACUUCAUCUCCGGGUGAACCUGCAAGCUUAAACAAUCCACAAAUUUCAUCCACAUGUAUCAAAUGCGUAUCAGGAUGCUUCAUUCCGUCUCCUGCAUAAGGAUUAGCUAGCACUCGCUCUAGCAUACCAGAAGGAAUUUCAUAACUAAUAUUUUUAGUAGAUGCAGUAGGUUGAGGGGCAACUAUUUGGGUUUCGGUUCGAGGUGACGAUACCCCGAACAAACCCCUCAAAGGAUUGUUUUCCAUAGUAACAAGUAAAAAUAAAUUCCAACACGUAGUAUAUAUUUUUCCUUACCGAUUUCCACUUACCAAGAGCGCUUCACUCCCUGGCAACAGCGCCAGGAAAGAGUCUUGAUGACCCACAAGUAUAGGGGAUCAAUCGUAGUCCUUUCAAUAAGUAAGAGUGUCGAACACAACAAGGAGCAGAAGGAAAUGAUAAGUGGUUUUCAGCAAGGUAAUUUCUACAAGCACUGAAAUUCUCGGUAACAGGUAGUUUGAUAGCAAGAUAAUUUGUAGCAAGUAACAAUAAGUGUAGUAGGGUAGCCCAACUUUUUUGAUGGUGAAGGACAAGCCAGAACAGUCUCACAUAAUAAGUAAAGCAUUCUUAAGGUCACACUGGAAUUUCAUCUAGUCACUUUCAUCAUGUUGGUUUGAUUUGCGUUUGCUACUUUGAUAAUUUGAUAUGUGGGUGGACUGGUGCUUGGGUGUUGUUCUUACUUGAACAACCCUCCCACUUAUGAUUAACCUCCUCACAAGCAUCCGCAACUGUGAAAGAAGUAUUAAGAUAACAAUCUAACCAUAGCAUUAAAUAAAUGGAUCCAAAUCAGCCCCUUAUGAUAUAGCGCAUAAACUAGGGUUCAAGCUUCUGUCACUCUAGCAACCCAUCAUUUAAUAACUACUCCACAAUGCAUUCCCUUAGGCCCAAAGAUGGUGAAGCAUCAUGUAGUCGACGUUCACAUAACACCACUAAGGGAAUCACAACAUACAUAUCAUCAAAAUAUCAAACGAAUAUCAAAUUCACAUGAUGACUUGCAACAUGACUUCUCCCGUGGCCUCAAGAACAAGGGCAACUACUCAAAAAUAAUAUCCAUGCUCAAGAUCAGAGGGAUAUUAAAUAGCAUAAUGGAUCUGAACAUAUAAUCUUCCACCAAAUAAACCAUACAUCAUCAGCCACAAGAUGUAAUCAACACUACUAGUCACCCACAGGUACCAAUUAGAGGUUCCGGUACAAAGAUUGAACACAAGAGAUGAACUAGGGUAUUGAGAUGAGAUGGUGUUGUUGAAGAUGCUGAUGAAGACUGUCCUCCCAAAGAUGGGAGGGUUGUUGGUGAUGACGAUGGCUUCAAUUUCCCCCUUGGGGAGGGAAGUUCCUCCGGCGGAAUCGCUCCGCUAGAGGGAAAAAGUGCUCCUGCCCAAGUUUCGCCUCAAAACGGUGGAGCUCCCUCCCUAAAGUCCUCUCCUUACUUUUUCUAGGUCAAAAAGAUCUUAUGUACCAGAAGAUGGGCAUCAGAGGUGGUCCGAGGGGCCCACUACCCCCCUGGCGCGCCCUGGUGCCUUGUGGCCACCUAGCAGCCCCCUAUGGUAGUUCUUUUCUCCAGUAUUUAUUAUAUUUUCCAAAAUAAUUCUCCGUAAAAUUUCAGAUCAUUUGGAGGUGUGCAGAAUAGGUAUCUCUAGCAUAGCUUUUUUAGGUCCAGAAUUCCAGGUGUCGGAAUCUCCCUCUUUGUGUAAACCUUGCAUAUUAUGAGAGAAAUGCAUUAGAAUUACUCCAUAAAGUGUUAUAAAGAAUAAAAACACUAUAAAGAACAGUAAGAAAACAUGAUGCAAAACGGAUGUAUCAAUAUGGGACACUUCCGCUAAAUGACCAUGUUGUAUAUCUCCUCCCAGAGCCCACUUUGGUCUUCAUAGCCACUAGCAGAUCCACCAGAUAGCCAUAGAUCUCAUCGAUUUCCAACCUUGGUCUGAAGCACAUUUUUGAACACACGAUGCAUAAUAUCAUAAACCUUCUCCAAAUCCUUGGACUCACCAAGCACACCACGCCCUCGAAUGUAUAGGGGGCAAGCUUCUCCUUAGCCAUGGAGGUGGGACGGUUGUGAGGACGGAUGCCACCAUUCCCGGUGAGACCAUACCAUCAUACCCAAGAGCAUUGCAGAAAGCUCUCCAACGAAUGUGAAAGGACUCAUCACGGCACAUGAAGGACAGAGUACGAGCCUCAUCAUUGCUGAAAUGGACGGUGUCAUAGAACUGAUGAAUAAGUUGCACAUCAAAACCAUAGUUGAUAGACAUGAGCUUGAUCAAGUCAAACUCCUCGCAUAGUUGUGACGCCCCCGAUUCAAUCGUACACUAAUCAUGCAAGCAAAUGUGUACGAUCAAGAUCGGGGACUCACGGGAAGAUAUCACAACACAACUCUACAAAUAAAAUAAGUCAUACAAGCAUCAUAAUACAAGCCAGGGGCCUCGAGGGCUCGAAUACAAGUGCUCGAUCAUAGACAAGUCAGCGGAAGCAACAAUAUCUGAGUACAGACAUAAGUUAAACAAGUUUGCCUUAAGAAGGCUAGCACAAACUGGGAUACAGAUCGAAAGAGGCGCAGGCCUCCUGCCUGGGAUCCUCCUAACUACUCCUGGUCGUCGUCGUCAGCCUGCACGUAGUAGUAGGCACCUCCAGUGUAGUAGUCGUCGUCGACGGUGGCGUCUGGCUCCUGGACUCCAGCAUCUGGUUGCGACAACCAGAAAGAAAGGAAAGGGGGAAAAGAUGGGAGAAAAGCAACCGUGAGUACUCAUCCAAAGUACUCGCAAGCAAGGAGCUACACUACAUAUGCAUGGGGAUAUGUGUAAAGGGCCAUAUCGGUGGACUGAACUGCAGUAUGCCAGAAUAAAAGGGGGAUAGCUAAUCCCGUCGAAGACUACGCUUCUGGCAACCUCCGUCUUGCAGCAUGUAGGAGAGAGUAGAUUGAAGUCCUCCAAGUAGCAUCUCCAAGUAGCAUCUCCAAAUAGCAUCUCCAAGUAGCAUCUCCAGAUAGCAUCUCCAAGUAGCAACGCAUAGCACAAUCCUACCCGGCGAUCCUCUCCUCGUCGCCCUGUAGAAAAGCGAUCACCGGGUUGUCUAUGGAACUUGGAAGGGUGUGUUUUAUUAAGUAUCCGGUUCUAGUUGUCAUAAGGUCAAGGUACAACUCCAAGUCGUCCUGUUACCGAAGAUCACGGCUAUUCGAAUAGAUUAACUUCCCUGCAGGGGUGCACCACAUAGCCCAACACGCUUGAUCCCAUUUGGCCGGACACACUUUCCUGGGUCAUGCCCGGCCGCGGAAGAUCAACACGUCGCAGCCCCACCUAGGCAAAACAGAGAGGCCAGCACGCCGGUCUAAACCUAAGCGCACAGGGGUCUGGGCCCAUCGCCCAUAGCACACCUGCACGUUGCGAGGGCGGCCGGAAGCAGAACUAGCCCCCUUAAUACAAGAGCAGGCUUACGUUCCAAUCCGGCGCGCGCCGCUCCGUUGCUGACGUCUGAAGUGCUUCGGCUGAUACCACGACGCCGGGAUACCCAUAACUACUCCCGCGUAGAUGGUUAGUGCGUAUAGGCUCGUAGCCGACUCAGAUCAAAUACCAAGAUCUCGUUAAGCGUGUUAAGUAUCCGCGAACGCCGAACAGGGCCAGGCCCACCUCUCUCCUAGGUGGUCUCAACCUGCCCUGUCGCUCCGCCACAAAGUAACCGUCGGGGACCAUCGGGAACCCAGGCCCACCUCUACCGGGAUGGAGCCACCUGUCCUUUCAGCCCCCAACUCCGAACAGUAUCACAGGUAAUGUAACAGUGUAAAGUAUAUAGUAUAUGCCCGUGAUCACCUCCCGAAGUGAUCACAGCCCAGUAGUAUGGCAUGGCAGACGGACAAGAGUGUAGGGUCACUGAUGGAACACUAGCAUCCUAUACUAAGCAUUUAGGAUUGCGGGUAAGGUAUCAAUGACUGUAGCAGCAAUGACAGGCUAUGCAUCAGAAUAGGAUUAACGGAAAGCAGUAACAUGCUACACUACUCUAAUGCAAGCAGUAUAGAGAAGAGUAGGUGAUAUCUGGUGAUCAAAGGGGGGGCUUGCCUGGUUGCUCUGGCAAUAGAGAGGGGUCGUCAACUCCGUAGUCGAACUGGCAGCAGCAACAUCGGUCUCGUAGUCUACCGGAGAGAAGAGGGGGGAAGAAAUAAUGAAUACAGAGCAAACAAAGCAUCACAAAAUAUAACAAGGCAAUACGCGGUGUUCGGUGUGCCCUAACGCGGUAGUAGGUGAUACCGACGAAGGGGGAAGACAUCCGGGAAAGUAUUCCCGGUGUUCCGUGUUUUCGGGCAGAGGAACGGAGGGGGAAAGUUGCGAGUUUGAUAUGUUAGGGGUGUGUGGUGGACGAACGGGCUGCGUAUCCGGAAUCGUCUCGUCGUUCUGAGCAACUUUUGUGUUGAAAAUAUUUUAAUCCGAGUUACGGAUUAAAAGAUAUGAUUUUCUAAAGAUUUUAUGAAUUUUCUGGAAUUUAUUUAAUUAUUUAACUCUAACAUUAUCCAGAAUAGUGUAUGCUGACGUCAGCAUGACGUCAGCAUGGCGUCAGCAGUCAACAGGGGUGUUGACUGGUCAAUCUGACGUGUGGGACCCACUGGUCAUAGACUAUCUAGGCUAAUCACUGUUUAACUAAUCUAACUACUGUUUAAUUAAACUAAUUAGUUAAUUAGGUUAAUCUAAUUAUGAUUAAUUAACUUAAUUAAUUCCUUAAUUAAUUAAUUAAUUUAAUUAUUAUUUAUUUAUUUAAUAUAUAUUUUUUUAAAUUCUUUUUUUUUAUAAAACCGUUCUGGGCGUGGGGCCCCCUGUCAUAGGCCAAGGCCCCUAACGGGCAUACGGGCAGGCUGGUGCGGGCGAAGCCGCACCCCUGCCCGAUAGCAAGGCGAGGCNNNNNNNNNNNNNNNNNNNNNNNNNNNNNNNNNNNNNNNNNNNNNNNNNNNNNNNNNNNNNNNNNNNNNNNNNNNNNNNNNNNNNNNNNNNNNNNNNNNNNNNNNNNNNNNNNNNNNNNNNNNNNNNNNNNNNNNNNNNNNNNNNNNNNNNNNNNNNNNNNNNNNNNNNNNNNNNNNNNNNNNNNNNNNNNNNNNNNNNNNNNNNNNNNNNNNNNNNNNNNNNNNNNNNNNNNNNNNNNNNNNNNNNNNNNNNNNNNNNNNNNNNNNNNNNNNNNNNNNNNNNNNNNNNNNNNNNNNNNNNNNNNNNNNNNNNNNNNNNNNNNNNNNNNNNNNNNNNNNNNNNNNNNNNNNNNNNNNNNNNNNNNNNNNNNNNNNNNNNNNNNNNNNNNNNNNNNNNNNNNNNNNNNNNNNNNNNNNNNNNNNNNNNNNNNNNNNNNNNNNNNNNNNNNNNNNNNNNNNNNNNNNNNNNNNNNNNNNNNNNNNNNNNNNNNNNNNNNNNNNNNNNNNNNNNNNNNNNNNNNNNNNNNNNNNNNNNNNNNNNNNNNNNNNNNNNNNNNNNNNNNNNNNNNNNNNNNNNNNNNNNNNNNNNNNNNNNNNNNNNNNNNNNNNNNNNNNNNNNNNNNNNNNNNNNNNNNNNNNNNNNNNNNNNNNNNNNNNNNNNNNNNNNNNNNNNNNNNNNNNNNNNNNNNNNNNNNNNNNNNNNNNNNNNNNNNNNNNNNNNNNNNNNNNNNNNNNNNNNNNNNNNNNNNNNNNNNNNNNNNNNNNNNNNNNNNNNNNNNNNNNNNNNNNNNNNNNNNNNNNNNNNNNNNNNNNNNNNNNNNNNNNNNNNNNNNNNNNNNNNNNNNNNNNNNNNNNNNNNNNNNNNNNNNNNNNNNNNNNNNNNNNNNNNNNNNNNNNNNNNNNNNNNNNNGGCGCGAGUACGGGGAGUGGGGGGGUGUCGGUGCCUAGGGUUUCGGCACCAGGGGGUUAAGGGAGUGGGGUGGGCCGGCCGGUUGGGCCUUUGCCCAGUUGGGCUGGUGGCCUGCUGGGCCGAAGCCCAGUGAUGGGGGGUUUGCUUUUCUAUUUUUUUUGUUUUUACUUAUUUUCUUUAAUGUUUUCAUUUAAAGUUUCUUUUAUUUUAGUUUCAUAAAAUACCUAGUCAGCACCUAAAUUAGUAUUACUAAUUAGUCCACUGCCACAAUUAUUUUGGCACACUACUAAUUUAGUUUUAUUAUUAUAACUUUAUAAAAGGCAUCUAAUUAAUUGUUUUUGCUGUCAUUUCUAUUACUUUAGUGCAUUUAAAUAUUUUAUUAAAAGAUAAUUUAUCCACCAAUAUUUACUAAGGAUUACUAGACACAUUAGGAACAAUUUAGUUUCGACUUUUGAAAACUUUAAUUGUUUAACUUAAAUUCAAAUUUGAAUAUGAAUCGUUUCGAACUAACGCGAGAUUAUCCACAGUAACCGAGGUGUCAUGGCAUCAUUAGCGGGGAUUACUGUAGCUUAAUUACCCGGGCGUCACAAUAGUAGCAAGGCCUCAUCGAAGUAAUCCAUGUUGCUUCUCAAGUGAUCAAGGUCAAUGGUCCACUGCUUGGGGUACCGGUUCUUGUGAUGCUCAAAAAGAGCAUGCACAAUCCUCAUUUGCAUCUCAUUCUUGAACUGAAUGAUGGUCCACCAAGGAACAACGAGGACCUCAUAGGGAUUCUAAAUGUGGAAUUUUCCCCAGUCCGGUUGCUUCCAUCUGUGCAUAGGCGAGGCCACACAUUGCUUGGCAGUCGAUGACUUCUCUCGACGGGUCGGCUUGUGGGAAUCACCACUUCCUUUUCUUCCAUAGUGCCAUCAGUGCGCUUGCACCUACGAGAUCGCUUCUUAGUCUUCUGACGAGGAGCAGAGAGAGAACCAGAGUUACCUGCACACACACGGGAAGCAUACAAGAUAACUCGGAAAAGAUGAGAUGAUUGCACACAAGAAAGGAGGAAUAGAUUGCUUUUGAAUUAGAGAAAACAAAAUAGCACUAUGAGGUUCAGAAAUGCCGGUUGUACUGGUCCUUCAACCGGUGGUACCACCGAUGUGGUUAUACCACCCAUGAUGAGCGGUUGUACCAUCGUCUAUGGGCAGUUCGACCCGUGGAAGAGUAGGUACAAGCAAGAUUCGGAUCUAAUAGCAAUAUUUCAACUUAUAAAUAUGCACAAACAAUAUAUAGUAGAAUAGCUCUUUCACCAAAUAGUUUAGCUAAAAACGUGGGAUAUCAAGUAAUGCCCUAACAAUGUUGGAUUCAAAGAUUGAAACUAUAGGAGAAGGAAGAAUGUGGCAUUAGCGACAUCCAUGGGAAGAGAUCGGGGAGGAGGAGGACACCACGGAGCAAAUCCAAGAGAGACCCACAGAUUUGGGGCACCGAAGGGCACUCCAGGGCGAGGGAGACGGCAACCGGCAGCUAGGGCAGUAGAAGAGGACGGGCAUGAAGGGGAAAAAGAGAUGCCCCUUCGACCCGAUCCCUUAAAUACCCCCUAGACCAUGAAGCAGUUGUACCACCCCCUGGUACUACCCUGGGUUUACAAACCGCGCGUGUGUGUGUUGAUGAAGCCAAUUGGGUUAAGUCAGAUGACUUGACAUGAUGAUCAAGUUGGAUUGGUGUCCAACUCUGCUUAUAUUGAUACCUACAACUUGUUCAUAGGGAUAUUUGUACCCUCAUGAUGCAUACUUUACAGGUUGAUAGAUCAUGUCAUCGCACCCAAAACUAGCUUUCUGCAAACUACCUACUUAGAGCUAUAUCAUUGCAUUAUUGUGCCUUGUUCCAAUCAUGGGUUGCUUGCGAGUACAUUCAAAGUACUCAUUGGCUUGCCACUGGUUAUUUAAUUGGCCAGGCAUGGAAGAACAGGGGUUCAAAGAAGAAUUCUUUGGAGAUGAACAUGCGAACUAGGACGUUCCCCAGUCAGAAUGCCCGUAGGGUUAAGGCAGAUGGCAUGGGUUCUACUUAUCGACGAAGAUUUCCGCUACUUAAGUUUAUUUGGUAUUCGGCCCUUGUGGCUUUAUCUAUGUAAGACUUGACCAUAAUGGUCAUAAUUUGUGAAAGACGGUAUGUAUGGAUGUAAGACUCUUGUUAUUCAGCUUCUGUGUGUUCAGUGAGCAUUGAUCUCUGGGAUCACUGUACACAUGCAUUCAGUGAUCAUGACUCAUGAUUCGGGGUCCCCAUAGAGCUGGUAUCAGAGCUAUCUUGACUGUAGGAAGCCUUAGUUAGUAUGGGCGUUAGUUAGGAUAAAACCCGUUUUGCAAAACCCUCUAUACUCCUCUUCUUUUCUAUGCUUACCAAACCUAAGAUAUAUUGACCUCUCCCAUUCAACCUUUGUAGAUGGCUGUUGUACCCGAAGACUUCCUGACCACCGGAUUUCCCGUGCUUCUCAAGGAUAGCCUCAGGAAGUGCCAGUUUCACCGAGCCCCCAUUUUCACCUACCAUGAGCAUUGGAUCAAUGACACCGAGACGGAGUAUCAUGUGGAAGUGAUCGUGAAGGCUAAUGACUCUCCAACAAGCUGGUUCUUCGAGGGACCCCAGAUGGCAACACUGGUUCUUGCCUUCAAGACGGCAACCCUGAAGGCACUCACCCGCCUCCGAGACCUUCUCCCCGAGAUGGCGGACGAGUUGGCAACCCGCUUCUUGCCUUAUCGGAAGGAGGGUGAGGACGAGAGUAGUGCACCAGCUCCACCAUUGGAGGAAGGACAUCCACUCCGAUUCCAGACCUACUUCAGCCUUUGUGCCGAUAGCUUGGCAAAACACUUGGCCUCGGAAUCAAUGGAGCUCCGAAAGGAACUUCAUGAGACCAAGGCACUUCUUCGCCAAGCACAAGGGAAGACAGAUAGGAUCAAGAAAGAAGGUGCUCCCCCUGGAUAGCCCGCAAUCGCCUACCGAGGCGGAAGACCCCCGAAGAAUGGAGGACCCCCACGGCAACACCGCAUGAGCGCAAGGGACUAUUGCAAGCUCUUCGCACCACCGGCAAAGCAACGUCGUGUUGAGCUCCUCCACUCCCCCACUCCUUCGAGUGAAGGGGGAAGUCAGCAUGUUGAUGAUGAGGAGGAAGACCCAGAAGAUCCAGACUACGCGACCGAGCAUUCCACCACUUAGGCAUCAUCCGAACCCGGAUAUGCUAGUUCGUAACCCCUAUGGUAGGAUAGGUCGUGUAUCUCCUAUGUGAAGUCGAGUCCUUGUAAUGGUUCAUAUGAAACCAUGUAGUGUUGUGUUUGCUUUUGAUGUGUUUGAUGGAUGUCGUACUUUCCUUCAGGAACUUGUAAACGACUACAUCACCCAUUUGGAUUUUAAUGAAUAUGUUUUGCCCCCUUUCGGGCCCCUACAUAACAUCAACUUAUGUCAUACCGACCCCCUUACUAGGCAUCCUAUCUAUAUUGCCUUCCCUCAUCUUCCCCAAUUAUGAGACCUUGACCGCUCCAACAGGAUGCCUGUUGUAACCCGUACUGGUGCCUCUACCCAGCAGCAAGAAGCCGGAGGGUCCACCCAAGGAGAAGCCAGCCAGGACCAAACCCAAGGACAAGAUCCACCACUGCCACCACCUCCAAACAUGGACAUGGCGCAGCUUCUCCAAGCCUUCUGAGAGGAACGCCAAGCCAACACUAUAGCCCUCCAGAUGAUUGCUCAGGCUGUCAAUCGCCAGCUGGUGGGGAACGGCAAUGGACGUUCCAUGUUGGCGGAGUUCAAGAAGCAUGCACCACCCACCUGCAUCGAGACUGCUGAACCCCUAGAUGUAGACGACUGGGUCCGCACCAUUGAGGAUCUGCUGGAACUAGUCGACUGCACUGAAGACUGUGAGAAGGUGGCAUAUGCUGCUCACUGCCUCUGGGGAACUACCAGAGCUUGGUGGGAUGGAUUUAAGGUCAUGCAUGCUGGGCAAAACAUCACUUGGAAUGACUUCAAGGCAGAAUUCCGCAAGGCCCACAUUCCUUCCGGAAUCAUGGCCAUCAGGAAGCGUGAGUUCCGAGCCUUGAAGCAAGGAAGUAGCACUAUCAAGGAGUACAUGCAGAAGUUUAGUGUUCUGUCAAGGUAUGCUCCUGAAGAUGUCAGCACUGAUGCUGCCAAAAGAGAGCGCUUCAUGGAAGGCCUUAACCAGACUCUGUAGUACUCGCUUGUUGUGUGUGACUGCCCAACCUUUCCUGACUUGGUGAACAAGGCACUCAUGCUUGAGGACAAGCGACGUGCUUUGGAUGAUACCCGUAAGCGCAAGAUGAUCAGCAAGGGCAGCUCCAGCAACCAGAAGCCUCGCCCGUGGUAGCCAGCCCCGGUCAGGCCAACCUAUCAGCAGCCAAGAGCCCCUGCACCCCGCACCAACUAUCAGCCUCAGCAGUAUGCCAACCCAGGCCAGCUUUCAACAACCCCAAUAACAAUGCCUGAUGAGGACAUCAAUACAAUUGUUACACCCACAGCCCCUGCUGCUAUACAUACUGGACCAAUUACUAGAGCUCGUGCACGCCAACUAAAUUACCAGGUACUUUCGUUUCUUGGUAAUGAUUCUAAUGUUCAUGAGAAUAUGAUGCUGCCUAAAUUGGAUACAUUUGUUUUGCUUACAAAUGAAGGGCCUAGCUUGGAGAAGGAUGAACAUUGGAGCAAGAACAAGCAUGGAGAUGAUGGCAUGCGCAAGGGGAACAAGAACGGAGUUACAAGUGAUGAUUUCAGGACUUUGAAGCCACCAUAAUGGGUGCAUGAAGCCUUGGACGAAAUAUACAAGAUGCCACUUCAUAAAUUUCAUCCCGAGGCUAUUUUAGGUGUUGCGUCACCUUAUUAUUGGGCUAGGCCCAUGUAAUUUCGAAAUACAUAAGUAUAGGCUAUUUUUAGAGUCCGUAUGUGUGGGGAAACAAGAGAUAGGGUUGAUUUCGGACCCCUCCACCAAGGGCCAUGAAAUUCCCCCCUCUUCCUCCAUAUAUACAACCCUUAGGGCAUCGUUUAGACUUUGGGUUUUGUUUAGAUUAAAAGUUCGCCAUAGCUGCAACUUCGCGUACUUCGUUUGUGUUCAACGACCAGACAAAGGCGUCACAGAACCCCACCUUGAUCAAUAAAGCUUUCAUCUUAUAUUCGCAAUAUCCAGAUUGCAAUCUCAGUUUCUUGCUUGUUCUUCGUUUGCUCGCAGGAAACAGACCCUCGUGGUCAGGUUGAUCGUGCUCCGGCGUGGUCAAUAACCUCUCGGAGUUGGUUUAGCGAUUGCUAAGGCGCGACGUCCUCGCACGUUCGUAGUCGGAUCGUCAAAGUCGACUGCCACCAAAGCGAUAUCCAUCAUCUCAUCGAAAGACGGGACACCUUUGCCUCUAUCAAGUGGUAUCAAAUUUCCAGGUUGCUCGGUGAGAUUUUACAGUUUUUCAUAGUUUAGAUCGAGUCUGUUCUUCAUACCUAUAGUCCACGAAAAAUCCACAAAAAAAAUUAGGGUUAGUUCAUCAUAUCCGAACCAAUCUGAGCCUUUGCAUAAUCUUUUUAGGGUUUUGCUUUGUUGAAUUUGCGGUUGCAUCGUCGGUCUAGUUGCUGGUCUUAGAGUCUAGUCUUUUAGAGUUUCAAGUUCUGGUCAUAAGUUGUCACGCCGCCGCCGCACCAUCAUCAUCACCCCUGCCAUCUACCACCACCGCUUAUCCGCCACCGAUUCGAAUCUGUAUCCAUAUACCACCACAGCUGUCAUAUACCACCACCGCUGCCAUCUACCACCAUAUAUCCACCACCAAUCCGAGUUCUUGUCAUAUUAGGUUUGUUUUCGAGAUCCAUCUAGUUUCCGAUUCAUGUUUCCUUGCUGGAGUAGGUUUCGGGAAAAAAAAGAGUCGGGAAACCACACUCCGUUUAGGCCCAAAAUUUUUCAAAAACGCAUUUUUCGAAAAAAUUUCUGGCUAUCCUAUUUUUAGGUGUUUCUGAGUGUUUUGAGACAGGUGCCAUUAUAGGAAGUUUUUUUUGACCCGUUUCCAGUUUUUGGGUCCGGGCAGUCGAAAAAAAAAAUUGGUCGAAAUUUUUUUCGUGCCCAUCCUGUCAGUUUGACCUAGGAAGAGUUUUGAGACACUCGCCACUAUAGUGAUUUUUCGCAAAAAUAAUAAUAAAAAAAAGCAGCGCAAAAAAAAGAGCGCAAAAAAAAGAGCGAAAAAAAAAUAUUUCAGAGUGUGCUUUUCCCUUGUUUACGUGCCGCGCCGUGAUUUUGUUGGUGUUCUAGGCUCGCGUCUCUAGCACAGUCUAGCCUAGGACCAGCACAGUACCGUCGUUGAGCGUUUAUUCAACUUUGCAUCUCUGAAUUGAUUAUUGCUGACCUUUUUUGCUACCAUACUAUAAGCCUUCCCAGCUCCACAUACAUCUACGUCGUGUGUUUGACUCUCCCUGGUAAUCGCUCUAUCCAAGCUUUGAGAGUUUUUGACUACAACGGUUGCCGAUCACCGCCUGCUGCUGGGUAAGAACUGGUAAGAAUUUGAGAUUUGCUUGACGGAUUUGUGAUACACCACCACCACUUCUUAGUAGUCUGUAGGAUCAUAUUCUUGUGUGUUUCUAUUGCUGCUAACCAUGCCAGGAUCACAAGCCGACGAGAUUGACUGGGAGAACUUAUCGAACAAGGAGCUUCAUGAUAAGUUUCAGCAAAUGAUGACUAAACAGGUGCAAGAUGUGCUGAACAAUUUUGAAGAGGCCAUGGAGAAGAUUACUGGCCUUGAGAAGAUGUUCGAAACAAAGCUCGAUAACAGAUUUAAUGAACUGCUUGCGCGUCUUCCACCACCGGCUGCACCUGUCGCACCUCUGCAACAACAACAACUAUGCCCCCUUCCGAAUCAGUAUGGACGAGCACAGCGUGUUCCUAUUGAGCCAGGACAAAAUUCUGGUGCCGCUGCUACUGCUAUUGGUGCUUCUUUGGCUCCUGCUACUGCUGCUGCUAGUACCCAGGAGGAUGAUGAUUAUGUGGGAGAUUAUGAGGAUGAGGUUGAUCAAAAUCCGAACUACGUGCAGCCACCAGCACCACCACCACCAGGUCGACCUCAGGUAUAUAUUCGUAAUGGUAGGCCUGCACCACCACCUCAGGUACGAGAUGAUGUCCAUAUUCCUAAACUGAAAUUGAAUAUUCCACCAUUUGAGGGUAGAUAUGUUCCUGAUAUAUAUCUUACUUGGGAGUUAGAAACUGAACAAUGAUUUACAUGUUUACAAUAUCCUAAGGAGAGACGAGUUGCUGCUGCUGUUUGUGCUUUCACUAGUUUUGCAUGUGUAUGGUGGUCUGAACAUUGUAGAUUAUAUCCUAUUCCAACUACUUGGGCUGCUUUGAAAACUGCUAGGCGUACGCGUUGGGUUCCACCAUAUUAUCAAUGUGAGUUGCUUCAAAAAUUGCAGCGUUUAAGACAAGGGAAAAAUUCUAUAGAAGAAUAUUAUCAGGAAUUACAAACUGGCAUGAUUAGAUGUGGUAUUGUUGAGGAGAAUGAAGCUAUUCUUGCACGUUUUCUGGGUGUAUUAAAUAGAGAGAUUCAGACCAUUCUAGACUAUAAGGAGUAUACUAAUAUCACUCGUUUAUUCCAUCUUGCUUGUAAAGCUGAACGUGAAGUGCAGGAUCGACAAGCAUUGGGGCGAACUAACUUUUCUGCAGGCCGACCUUCAUCAUGGACACCGCGUGCAUCUUCUACUUCAACUGCAUCAGCACCUCAAUUAGGUGCCUCCUCCAGUCGUGAUACAAGAAAACAGGCACAACCACCAUUAUCUGCCAAGAGCGCACCUGCUGGGCCUGCACGGAGUUCUUCUUCUUCCAUGGCAUCAACAGGGCACACAAGUGAUAUUAUUUGUCGUCGUUGUAAGGGAGGAGGUCAUUAUGCGAGAGAAUGCAAAUCUCCGCGUGUGAUGAUUGCUACCGCAGAUGGUGGAUAUGAGUCCGCUAGUGACUGUGAUGAGGAGACUUUGGCUCUUUUUACACGUGAAGAACAUGGUGGAGAUGAUUCUGAUCAUGAGACGCAAUACAUGGCUCCUGAAGAUGCUGACAGGUAUGAAUGUUUAGUUGCUCAACGUGUUUUGAGUGUGCAGGUCACACAAGCUGAGCAAAAUCAGAGGCACAAUUUGUUCCAUACCAAGGGAGUUGUGAAGGAACGUUUUGUGCGCGUCAUCAUAGACGGAGGUAGUUGCAACAACUUGGCUAGCAUGGAGAUGGUGGAGAAGCUUUCUCUCACCACAAGACCACAUCCACAUCCUUACUACAUCCAAUGGUUCAACAACAGCGGCAAGGUUAAGGUAACACGUACUGUUCGUGUGCAUUUUAGUAUCUCUACAUAUGCUGAUUAUGUUGAUUGUGAUGUGGUACCUAUCCAAGCAUGUUCCUUAUUACUUGGUAGACCAUGGCAAUUUGAUAAAAAUUCUGUACACCAUGGUAGAAACAAUCACUAUACUCUUGUUCAUAAGGAUAAAAAUAUUACUCUGCUUCCUAUGACUCCUGAUUCCAUUUUGAAAGAUGAUAUUAAUAGAGCUAAUAAAGCAAAACAGGAGAAGAAUAAGAGUGAAAAUCAGAUUGUGGCAAAAGAAUUUGAGCAACAAAUGAAGCCUAAUAAUAAACCAUCUAGUGUUGCUUCUGAAAUUAAAUUGAAAAGUGCAUGUUUAUUUGCCACCAAAUCUGAUAUUGAUGAGCUAGAUUUCAGCAAAUGUGUUUGCUAUGCUUUUGUGUGCAAAGAGGCAUUAUUUUCAUUCGAGGUCGUGCCUUCCUCUUUGCCUCCUGCUGUCACUAACAUUUUGCAGGAGUUCGCUGACGUUUUUCCACAAGACGUGCCACCGGGAUUACCGCCUAUUCGAGGGAUUAAGCAUCAGAUUGACUUAAUUCCCGGUGCUUCACUGCCAAACCGUGCACCAUACCGUACCAAUCCAGAGGAGACGAAGGAGAUUAUGCAUCAAGUACAAGAGCUUCUCGACAAAGGUUAUAUACGCGAAUCCCUUAGUCCUUGUGCUGUUCCUAUUAUUCUAGUGCCGAAAAAGGAUGGUACAUCACGUAUGUGUGUUGAUUGUAGAGGCAUUAAUAAUAUUACUAUUCAUUAUCGUCAUCCUAUUCCUAGGCUAGAUGAUAUGCUUGAUGAAUUGAGUGGCUCUACAAUAUUCUCCAAAGUUGAUUUGCGUAGUGGCUACCAUCAAAUUCAUAUGAAAUUGGGAGAUGAAUGGAAAACAGCAUUUAAAACUAAGUUUGGAUUAUAUGAGUGGUUAGUCAUGCCUUUUGGGUUAACUAAUGCACCUAGUACUUUCAUGAGAUUAAUGAACGAAGUUUUACGUGCUUUCAUUGGACGAUUUGUGGUAGUUUACUUUGAUGACAUAUUGAUUUAUAGCAGAUCUUUGGAAGAACAUUUGGAACAUUUACGUGCUGUUUUUAUUGCACUACGUGAUGCACGUUUGUUUGGUAACCUUGGGAAGUGCACCUUUUGCACCAACCGAGUAUCUUUUCUUGGCUAGGUUGUUACUCCACAGGGAAUUGAAGUUGAUAAAGCCAAGAUUGAAGCUAUUGAGAGUUGGCCGCAGCCCAAAACGGUCACACAAGUGAGGAGUUUUCUUGGCCUCACUGGAUUCUAUAGGCGUUUUGUGAGAGAUUUCAGCACCAUUGCUGCACCUCUCAAUGAGCUUACAAAGAAAGAUGUGCCUUUUCUUUGGGGUACCGCACAGGAAGAAGCCUUCACGGUAUUGAAAGGUAAGUUGACACAUGCUCCUUUACUCCAACUUCCUGAUUUUAAUAAGACUUUUGAGCUUGAAUGUGAUGCUAGUGGAAUUGGAUUAGGAGGUGUGUUAUUACAAGAUGGCAAACCUGUUGCAUACUUUUCUGAAAAAUUGAGUGGGCCUAGUCUGAAUUAUUCUACUUAUGAUAAAGAAUUAUAUGCUCUUGUUCGGACUUUAGAAACAUGGCAACAUUAUUUAUGGCCCAAAGAAUUUGUUAUACAUUCUGAUCAUGAAUCUUUGAAACAUAUUAAAAGUCAAGCUAAACUGAAUCGUAGACAUGCUAAAUGGGUUGAAUUCAUUGAGACUUUCCCUUAUGUCAUUAAACACAAGAAGGGAAAAGAAAAUGUUAUUGCUGAUGCAUUGUCUCGUCGCUAUACUAUGCUUUCACAACUUGACUUCAAAAUAUUUGGUUUGGAGACCAUCAAAGAUCAAUAUGUGCAUGAUGCUGAUUUUAAAGAUGUAAUGCAGAAUUGUAAAGAAGGAAGAAUGUGGAACAAGUUUGUUGUUAACGAUGGAUUUGUGUUUCGUGCUAACAAGCUAUGCAUUCCAGCUAGCUCCGUUCGUCUUUUGUUGUUGUAGGAGGCGCAUGGAGGAGGAUUAAUGGGACACUUUGGUGUGAAGAAGACGGAGGACGUACUUGCUACACAUUUCUUUUGGCCAAAGAUGAGACGGGAUGUUGAGCGUUUUAUUGCUCGCUGCACUACAUGUCAAAAAGCUAAGUCACGACUCAAUCCUCAUGGUUUAUAUAUGCCUUUGCCUGUACCUAGUGUUCCUUGGGAGGAUAUAUCUAUGGACUUUGUUUUAGGUUUACCUCGAACAAAGAAGGGGAGGGAUAGCAUAUUUGUUGUCGUGGAUAGAUUCUCGAAAAUGGCACACUUUAUACCAUGUCAUAAAAGCGAUGAUGUUGUUAAUGUUGCUGAUUUGUUCUUUCGUGAAAUUAUUCGCUUGCAUGGUGUGCCAAAUACUAUUGUUUCAGAUCGUGAUACUAAAUUUCUUAGCCACUUUGGGAGAUGUUUAUGGGCUAAGUUGGGGACUAAACUGCUUUUUAGUACUACUUGUCACCCCCAAACUGAUGGACAAACUGAAGUAGUCAAUAGAACGUUGUCUACUAUGCUUAGGGCUGUUUUGAAGAAUAAUAAGAAAAUGUGGGAGGAAUGCUUGCCUCAUAUUGAAUUUGCUUAUAAUCGUUCAUUGCAUUCUACUACUAAGAUGUGCCCUUUUGAAGUUGUGUGUGGUUUCCUACCUCGUGCACCUAUUGAUUUGUUGCCUCUUCCAUCUUCGGAGAAGGUUAAUUUUGAUGCUAAACAACGUGCUGAAUUGAUUUUAAAAAUGCAUGAGUUAACUAAGGAAAACAUUGAGCGUAUGAAUGCUAAAUAUAAACUUGCUGGAGAUAAGGGUAGAAAACAUGUUGUGUUUGCACCUGGAGAUCUUGUUUGGUUACAUUUGCGUAAGGAUAGAUUUCCUGAUUUGCGCAAAUCAAAGCUAAUGCCACGUGCUGAUGGUCCCUUUAAGGUGUUAGAGAAAAUAAAUGAUAAUGCAUAUAAACUUGAGCUGCCUGCAGAUUUUAGGGUUAGUCCCACUUUUAACAUUGCAGAUUUGAAGCCUUAUUUGGGUGAGGAAGAUGGACUUCCGUCGAGGACGACUUCAUUUCAAGAAGGGGAGGAUGAUGAGGACAUCAAUACAAUUGUUACACCCAUAGCCCCUGCUGCUAUACAUACUGGACCAAUUACUAGAGCUCGUGCACGCCAACUAAAUUACCAGGUACUUUCGUUUCUUGGUAAUGAUUCUAAUGUUCAUGAGAAUAUGAUGCUGCCUAAAUUGGAUACAUUUGUUUUGCUUACAAAUGAAGGGCCUAGCUUGGAGAAGGAUGAACAUUGGAGCAAGAACAAGCAUGGAGAUGAUGGCAUGCGCAAGGGGAACAAGAACGGAGUUACAAGUGAUGAUUUCAGGACUUUGAAGCCACCAUAAUGGGUGCAUGAAGCCUUGGACGAAAUAUACAAGAUGCCACUUCAUAAAUUUCGUCCUGAGGCUAUUUUAGGUGCUGCGUCACCUUAUUAUUGGGCCAGGCCCAUGUAAUUUCGAAAUACAUAAGUAUAGGCUAUUUUUAGAGUCCGUAUGUGUGGGGAAACAAGAGAUAGGGUUGAUUUCGGAUCCCUCCACCAAGGGCCACGAAAUUCCCCCCCCUCUUCCUCCAUAUAUACAGCCCUUAGGGCAUCGUUUAGACUUUGGGUUUUGUUUAGAUUAAAAGUUCGCCAUAGCUGCAACUUCGCGUACUUCGUUUGUGUUCAACGACCAGACAAAGGCGUCACAGAACCCCACCUUGAUCAAUAAAGCUUUCAUCUUAUAUUCGCAAUAUCCAGAUUGCAAUCUUAGUUUCUUGCUUGUUCUUCGUUUGCUCGCAGGAAACAGACCCUCGUGGUCAGGUUGAUCGUGCUCCGGCGUGGUCAAUAACCUCUCGGAGUUGGUUUAGCGAUUGCUAAGGCGCGACGUCCUCGCACGUUCGUAGUCGGAUCGUCAAAGUCGACUUCCACCAAAGCGAUAUCCAUCAUCUCAUCGAAAGAUCGGGACCCUCGCCUCUAUCAUAUUCGCUUGCAUGGUGUGCCAAAUACUAUUGUUUCAGAUCGUGAUACUAAAUUUCUUAGCCACUUUUGGAGAUGUUUAUGGGCUAAGUUGGGGACUAAACUGCUUUUUAGUACUACUUGUCACCCCCAAACUGAUGGACAAACUGAAGUAGUCAAUAGAACGUUGUCUACUAUGCUUAGGGCUGUUUUGAAGAAUAAUAAGAAAAUGUGGGAGGAAUGCUUGCCUCAUAUUGAAUUUGCUUAUAAUCGUUCAUUGCAUUCUACUACUAAGAUGUGCCCUUUUGAAGUUGUGUAUGGUUUCCUACCUCGUGCACCUAUUGAUUUGUUGCCUCUUCCAUCUUCGGAGAAGGUUAAUUUUGAUGCUAAACAACGUGCUGAAUUGAUUUUAAAAAUGCAUGAGUUAACUAAGGAAAACAUUGAGCGUAUGAAUGCUAAAUAUAAACUUGCUGGAGAUAAGGGUAGAAAACAUGUUGUGUUUGCACCUGGAGAUCUUGUUUGGUUAAAUUUGCGUAAGGAUAGAUUUCCUGAUUUGCGCAAAUCAAAGUUAAUGCCACGUGCUGAUGGUCCCUUUAAGGUGUUAGAGAAAAUAAAUGAUAAUGCAUAUAAACUUGAGCUGCCUGCAGAUUUUGGGGUUAGUCCCACUUUUAACAUUGCAGAUUUGAAGCCUUAUUUGGGUGAGGAAGAUGAACUUCCGUCGAGGACGACUUCAUUUCAAGAAGGGGAGGAUGAUGAGGACAUCAAUACAAUUGUUACACCCACAGCCCCUGCUGCUAUACAUACUGGACCAAUUACUAGAGCUCGUGCACGCCAACUAAAUUACCAGGUACUUUCGUUUCUUGGUAAUGAUUCUAAUGUUCAUGAGAAUAUGAUGCUGCCUAAAUUGGAUACAUUUGGUUUGCUUACAAAUGAAGGGCCUAGCUUGGAGAAGGAUGAACAUUGGAGCAAGAACAAGCAUGAACAUGAUGGCAUGCGCAAGGGGAACAAGAACGGAGUUACAAGUGAUGAUUUCAGGACUUUGAAGCCACCAUAAUGGGUGCAUGAAGCCUUGGACGAAAUAUACAAGAUGCCACUUCAUAAAUUUCGUCCCGAGGCUAUUUUAGGUGCUGCGUCACCUUAUUAUUGGGCCAGGCCCAUGUAAUUUCGAAAUACAUAAGUAUAGGCUAUUUUUAGAGUCCGUGUGUGUGGGGAAACAAGAGAUAGGGUUGAUUUCGGACCCCUCCACCAAGGGCCACGAAAUUCCCCCCUCUUCCUCCAUAUAUACAACCCUUAGGGCAUCGUUUAGACUUUGGGUUUUGUUUAGAUUAAAAGUUCGCCAUAGCUGCAACUUCGCGUACUUCGUUUGUGUUCAACGAUCAGACAAAGGCGUCACAGAACCCCACCUUGAUCAAUAAAGCUUUCAUCUUAUAUUCGCAAUAUCCAGAUUGCAAUCUCAGUUUCUUGCUUGUUCUUCGUUUGCUCGCAGGAAACAGACCCUCGUGGCCAGGUUGAUCGUGCUCCGGCGUGGUCAAUAACCUCUCGGAGUUGGUUUAGCGAUUGCUAAGGCGCGACGUCCUCGCACGUUUGUAGUCGGAUCGUCAAAGUCAACUGCCACCAAAGCGAUAUCCAUCAUCUCAUCGAAAGACGGGACACCUUUGCCUCUAUCAAUAAAUUUCGUCCCGAGGCUAUUAUAGGUGCUGCGUCACCUUAUUAUUGGGUCAGGCCCAUGUAAUUUCGAAAUACAUAAGUAUAGGCUAUUUUUAGAGUCCGUAUGUGUGGGGAAUCAAGAGAUAGGGUUGAUUUCGGACCCCUCCACCAAGAGUCACGAAAUUCCCCCCUCUUCCUCCAUAUAUACAGCCCUUAGGGCAUAGUUUAGACUUUGGGUUUUGUUUAGAUAAAAAGUUCGCCAUAGCUGCAACUUCGCAUACUUCGUUUGUGUUCAACGACCAGACAAAGGCGUCACAGAACCCCACCUUGAUCAAUAAAGCUUUCAUCUUAUAUUCGCAAUAUCCAGAUUGCAAUCUUAGUUUCUUGCUUGUUCUUCGUUUGCUCGCAGGAAACAGACCCUCGUGGUCAGGUUGAUCGUGCUCCGGCGUGGUCAAUAACCUCUCGGAGUUGGUUUAGCAAUUGCUAAGGCGCGACGUCCUCGCACGUUCGUAGUCGGAUCGUCAAAGUCGACUUCCACCAAAGCGAUAUCCAUCAUCUCAUCGAAAGACGGGACACCUUUGCCUCUAUCAAAGAUCAAGGCAGGCAAAGCCCAGGGUUCUCAGAAGAUGAGAAAGGAGUUGUGUGGUUCGGGAAUCGCAUUUGCGUACCCAACAAAGUUGAGCUCAAGAACUUGAUCUUGAAAGAAGCUCAUGACACUCCAUGUUGCAUCCAUCCUGGAGGAACCAAGAUGUAUCAAGACCUUAAGGCAAAAUUUUGGUGGCAUGGCAUGAAGAGAGAAAAGGCUACUUUUGUCGCUAAGUGUGACAUAUGCCAGAGAGUCAAGGCUGAGCAUCAACGACCCGCUGGAUUGUUGCAACCUCUCAAGGUUCCUGAAUGGAAGUGGGACAAGGUUGGAAUGGACUUCAUCACCAGGUUACCUAAGUCAAGCAAAGGGCAUGAUUCCAUCUGGGUCAUUGUCGAUCACUUGACCAAAGUAGCCCAUUUCAUUCCAGUCAAGACCACCUAUGAUGGAAUCUAGCUAGCCGGCCUCUACAUCAACCAGAUCGUAAGCCUCCAUGGAGUUCCUAAGGAGAUUGUGUCUGACCGAGGUACCCAGUUUACCUCAAGGUUCUGGAAAAGGUUCCAAGAAGCCUUGGGGACCAAACUAUCAUUCAGUACCGCUUUCCACCCCCAGACCGGAGGACAGCCAGAACGAGUUAACCAGAUACUUGAACACAUGCUUCGUGCAUGUGUGAUAGCAUAUGGAGCCAAGUGGUAAGAUUGCCUGCCCUUUGCCGAGUUCUCCUACAACAACAGUUAUCAGUCAAGCCUCCAGAUGGCACCAUUUGAGGUGUUGAACGGACGCAAGUGUCGCACACCCCUCAAUUGGUCACAAACCGGAGAAGGGCUAGUCUUUUGACCAGAUGUUCUCCGUGAGGUGGAAGAGCAAGUUCAGCUAGUCAGAGAGCGACUGAAGACCGCCAAGUCAGGAUAGAAGAGUUUGCUGAUACUCGUCGCCGACAAGUAGACUUCCAAGUCGGAGACCAUGUAUACCUUUGAGUAACUCCUCUUAAGGGAACCAAGUGUUUCCACAUUAAGGGAAAGCUCGCACCAAGAUUUAUCGGCCCCUUCGAGAUCACCGCACGACGCGGGGAAGUUGCAUACCAGUUGGAAAUACCACCUGAACUAUCCGAUGUGCACAACGUGUUCCACGUGUCACAACUCCAGAGGUGUCUCCAAGUUCCAGAUAGGCCCGAUCUCUACAAGGACGUCGAUCACCAAGCCAUUGAGCUUCAGCCUGAUUUGACCUACUGUGAGAGGCCCAUCUGCAUUUUGGAUGAGGCUGAAUGACGCACUCGAAGCCGCACCAUCAAGUACUUCAAGGUGCAGUGGAGCAACCACACUGAAGUAGAAGCAACCUGGGAACGCGAAGACUACCUUAGAUCCGAGUUUCCAGAUCUCUUUAGAGCCUAGUUUGGGAAUCUCGGGGACGAGAUUCUCAUAAGGGGGUAGGUCUGUCACACCCUGCAUUUUGUAACAUGUCAUUUGCAGUAUUAAAUCAUGAAAAAUUUGGACCAACAAUUUUUUUUUGCAUUAUUUGGCUUUUUAUUUGGAGUUGGUUUUCUCUCUCUGAUUUUCAAGUGUUCUUUAAAGUCAACACAACUCCAACUUCUAUACUUCAUCUCCUUGCCCCAAAAUUCUUCCCAAUGAUCAUGCCAUGUGUAUAGUACAACAUAGUAUUUUCUUAAAAAAAUAAUUUGGCAAAUAGUAUUUUCCAAAAAUAAUUUUCCAAAAACCCCUGAAUUGAGGUUUGCACUACAAGUACUUGAUUUGGGGUAUGAAAAAUAAUUCAAAGAGUAUAUUUGAAACCUAUUAGAUAUAGGACUCCCAUAAACCACAAAAAUAUAAUUUUAAAAGUAAUUUUUCCUAUUUUAUUUAAAGGCUUUUUCUUUAGGCCAUAAAUGGUCUUUAAUAGGUUAAAAUUAUUUAGAAGCGUCAAAAGAAUUUGAGAAAAAUCAGGGAAACUCAGUGGACAUAUAUUUUCCAUAUAUACGAGUUUCAACACAUGGUCAUGUUAAAAAUAUUGGGCAAAAUCCUCCAAAACCAUUUUUGUCCAUUUCAAGUAUUUGAAAUAUUUCUACAAGAAAUAUUUUCCAAUAACUCGAGGAAAAUUCUAGCAAGUCACAUAUGCAUAAUAUGAUGACCUUGCAAAGUUUCAGCUCAAUCCAAACUAUUUUGGUUCACCAAAGUGCCCCAAAACCAUCUCUGUCCAGAUUCAAGUUUGAACAACUUUACAUUGCCAACUUAUUCCAAAUGCCCCUAAACUCUGUGGUCAUCCUCAAAAGCCCAAAUGAUGACACUACACCAAGUGGUGCAUCAAGCGGAUUGGUUUUGCAUGACUAGAUCUUGGUGAAUGCAUUUUUGUUGAUUUCUAGGGUUUACAAAAGUUGCAUUGGCAACUUUGCCCAAAUGAGCUCAAAAUUGGUGGAAGGCCCUAAUUAUAUGUGCCAUUUCACCUUGUGGAGUCUUAUGCCAAUUGGAGUUCAUUUGCUUACCCAAACAAGCAACAAACACCUUCUGCCACAUUUCCAAAAACACCAUUCUGACCCCUUCCACUAAUCUCCAUGGGCUCAAAGUUUUACCAUAGCCCCUCCUAGUCCCCUUGCACCUCCAGUAACAAUGUCAAAUCCACAUCUCAAUUAUUGGAGGGGUAAAACCUCACUUCCUCUCUCUGGAUAGCCCAUUUCCCUCUCUAUCAACCCCACUCCUCUCCUACUGGCUCUCUAGAGCACCCAAUGCUCCUCCCUCUUCUUUACUUCCCCCUAGGGCAGCCAGGCCACAGUGGCCGUGCCCACAAGGCAUAUAAAAUUCCAUGGCAUAUGCCAUUUGCACGCUCCAGAGCGCGCUACAGUGCGGCCAGGCACUGUAGCCGCCCCCUGCCAACCACCUCCGACCACCUCGGGCCUCCCCAGCACGCUCGACGAUGUGCCUUGGCGUUCGAGACACGGCAGCUCGUUGCGCCCUCCUUCCUCUCUCUCUCUCUCCUGCCCCUGCUCGCACGCGCACCAGCCGCCCGAGAGCUCAAGUGAGCGGCCUCACACGCGCGGGUCCUCUGCCCUCCCCCUGCUCUCUCUCUCUCUCUUCACUCCCCUCGCCCUAGACCAACCCCACAAGCACCCCCGAUACCUUGCUGCGAGCCCCCGUGACCCGUAGGGACGGCAAUGACCUCGCCGAUGCACUGGUCCACGGUGGACCAUCGCUCGCCUAUAUAAGGCCUCCCCGAAGCCUCCUCUCCUCACCACUCACCCCCUGCAGCUCCAAACCAACCCCCUACACCCCCAGUUCAUCUCCAGGAGCGCCUGAGCUCGAGAUCGAGCUCGAGCUCCGCCGCCUCGGGUCGCCAUCGAUCUCGCGGUACAUACCUCCUCCGCCCCCAUUCUUUCCCGAUCUGGAGCCGCCUCACCUCGCUGACCCCUUUCCCUCUCCUUUCUGAGUUGUUUUCAGCCGGAGACUGCCAGUGCGACCACCUCCCGGCGCGUCGCCGCCCUGCCUCCUUGUCACCGACAAACCAAGCAGCUCCGGCGACGUCGACCACCUCCUCUCGAACAGCGACUCGAUGCUGAGUCCAGUCGUGCCAUCAGCUCACCCCGCCGUGCCUAGAAACGUCACCGGUGAGCUCGCCGGCCCUCUACCGCGGGGUUAGGGAUGACAGGCGGGCCCCGCCUGUCAGCCUCUCCUCUCCAUUGCCCCUGUCUCGCUCGCUGACGCCUGGGCCCCACCCGUCAGGUUUAAACCUGGCACGCGCGACUGUUCUCUCUGGCUGGGCUUGCUGCAUUGCGACUGUUCUGGCCCAGCAGACACAGUGCCCCUUCUCCUUUUUCUUUUCUGUCAAACUUGUAAAAAUUCCACAGGAUUAAAUUUUAAUCCAAAUGCAAUAAUUCCAGUUCCUAAAAUCUUGUAAAAAUCCCACCUAUUUAAUGGUAUAACUUUCAUUCAUUCCAACCAACUUUUAGGUACCGUUCAUAUUCAAAUUCUAAUUUGAAUAUAUUUAAGCCCCUCUGAAAAUCCAUUUCAUCUAUUCUGCUACUCCAAGUCCAAAACUAGGAGUUUUCCCCUUCUUAGUUUUCACCCUAGUAUUUAACAAAAAUGAGUUGACAUUUUUCUGAGCACUUUGGUUUUUCUAAUUUAUUAUUGCCUUAUUUUCUCGUUAUUAUUUUGCGAUGAUAGAUUGAGUUGCUGACGAAGGAGUUGGACCAAAAGACUUUGAACACCCAGAAGACUUUGCUGAGCCAGGCAAGCAGCCCUUUCACCAUGUCUAUGAAACCCCCUUUUACGCAUGUCAUAUAGCACUUCAUUAUUGUUGCAUCGGAAUCAUGAUGAGAUGGUAGCCACUUCGGUGGGUUGCCUUCGUUUCCUCGUUGAUAAUUGCAUUGUGCAUGACCCUACCCUUCUAUGAGGGUUAUGCGAGUGGGUGUAGUUAGGAUGCUAAGAAGCUGCUACGCAAAUGGGAUGGGUAUAUGCAUCAUGAAGGAAACCAAGUUGUUUUCAAAGGCUUUUCAAAAAAACCAUUGGGUGCCACUUAUGCCCGAGGGAGAUAAUGAGUUGGUUAACCACUUGAUGACGAAGUGGUGUACCGAGGCAAGUGUGUGUGUUGUUUUCGAAAGCGGAUUAGAUUUAAGAUUUGUCGACUGUCCCAACCUUACAUGCACAACCAAUCUACCCUUAUAUGGGAAAGGGCAUUAUUGAUUACCUAGGCCGAUACUAGAUUGGAGCCCGCAUUACUAGUGACGGGAGAGUCAUUGUUGCGCUCUCUCGUGACGGGGUCGUGCUAGGUAGGGCAGCCAUGACUGUUUUUACAGGGCACCGGACACACCGUUAGUACCCCGUGCUUGUGGUAUGUGAUGAAUAUGGGAGCGAGGCUCCACAAUUUUAAGAUGUGAAAUGUUGGUCACAGGGGUUACUACCAAUCGAGUUGACUCUAUGUUAGUGUUGACUAGGGGAAGAUAGUGAUCGGGUGCUUACCCCGGGUACUUGAGGUACCGCGGGUCGUGGAUGAGACGGAAGUUCCCCGGAUCUUGUGGGUAAAGUGUGCAACCUCUGCAGAGUGUAAAACUAUUCGAAUAGCCGUGUCCAUGGUCAAGGACAGUUGGGCGGUGCUGCUUAAACUACGUCCAGAGUUUCACAAACCGCGUGUGUGUGUGUCUUGAUGAAGCCAAUUGGGUUAAGUCAGAUGACUUGACACAAUGAUCAAGUUGGAUUGGUGUCCAACUCUGCUUAUGUUGAUAUCUGCAACUUGUUCAUACAGAUAUCUGUACCCUCAUGAUGCAUACUUUACAGGUUGAUAGAUCAUGUCAUUGCACCCAAAAUUAGCUUUCUGCAAACUACCUACUUAGUGCUAUAUCAUUGCAUUAUUGUGCCUUGUUCCAAUCAUGGGUUGGUUGCGAGUACAUUCAAAGUACUCAUUGGCUUGCCACUGGUUAUUUAAUUGGCCAGGCAUGGAAGAACAGUAGUUCAAACAGGAGUUCUUUGGAGAUGAACAUGCGAACUAGGACGUUCCCCAGUCAGAAUGCCUGUAGGGUUAAGGCAGAUGGCAUGGGUUCUACUUAUCGAUAAAGAUUUCCGCUGCUUAAGUUUAUUUGGUAUUCGGCCCUUGUUACUUUAUCUAUGUAAGACUUGACCAUAAUGGUCAUAAUUUGUGUAAGACGGUAUGUAUGGAUGUAAGACUCCUGUUAUUCAGCUUCUGUGUGUUCAGUGAGCAUUGAUCUCAGGGAUCACUAUACACGUGCAUUCGGUGAUCACGACUCAUGAGUCAGGUUCCAUGCAGGCAUCCAUCCUUGGAGGGGAGAAGGGAGACGAUCUCCCCAAGCAUGGCAUCCGGGAGAUGGCUGAUGUGGUCCGCCGGAGAUUCUAUGAGUUCCUCAAAUCCAGGGGGCGUGGCCGCUUCUGGCCACACUACCGGGUCCAAGAUCUACAACCGGCUGUGUUGCUGGUCGGAGCCUCAUCUUGGUACAUACCAAUCUGACAAAUAAUGGCAGAAACAUACAUGUAGGACAUUCAAAAUCAAUUCUCAAGAUCUGGAAGAAAAAAAGGCACAAACAUAUAUGAAGGACAUUCAAAAUCAAUUCUCAAAAUCUGGACACAAAUUAUUAGCACGCACGCUAACCCUACUCGGAUCAUUAACAAAAAUCUUUUGUACAGAACAAACAAUAAAUCACUACCCCUAUACGGAUACCAUUCAAACAAUCAAUACACCACAUGCAUCUAACGGAUCUUAAUUACUCUGAUUUCAUGGUCUGGCAGAACAUAACCCUAGGAUUUGUAUUCCAAAAAAUUAGAGUGGAUGGGGAGUAACCAAAGAAAACACAUGAUAUGUUUGCCGCACAAAUGGGUAUAGAUGACUAGCCGAUUUUUCGUCGAACUCGCAGUCGUUGCCAGAGUUGCUGUUGACCUCCGACUCCGGCUGGGGGGGGGGCACGACGGCGCCGACGAAGUCAAGGUCAUGCUAAUGCCCGCGUGAAACCUCAUCGGCGGCGACGACAACCUCUGUGGCCAACUUAACGCAUUGCGCGGGUGCUUCACCCGCCCCAAUGUCGCCACUCCCACCGAUGGUGCGCUUCGGUGGCAUCCUCAUACGCUAUAUAGUCCAUACGUUGGUGACCACUGUGGACCAAGGGUGCGGCGGCCUAUUAUGGCUAGCGGCUCGGAUGCGCCAUUAACACAGACCAGUGGGAGCGAGGAAGGCAGCGGUCAAAGGCUGUCUCACCUCCCUGUGAGCCUACGCAGUGGACUUCUGGCAUUCCUACCAUCAUUUCGCAUAGCUACUCGCACGCCCCUCGGUGACACUGCGUAGCGAAAACGCCUCCCGUCAAUUCACACACCUGCACGCACACCUCCUAGUCUGCCUGCGCAGUGGACUACUCGCAUGCAUCCCAUCAACUCAUGCCUACUAGCAUGGCACACGGAGCGCGUGGCGUCACGUAUAUAUUUUUGUUUUUUGAUGAUUCAUUCUUCCACUUUACUACUUAAUCGAAGUAUGGCACGGUCUAAGUUACACGGUCUGAAUAAAUAAAGAUAUUGGUUACCAGUUAUUAACAAUCUCUCGUUUGUAAAAAGAUUAUAUCAAAACUUGUCUCAAAUUUGACGAAAAAAUACAAUAUCAUAGUAUACUGGUGUCGAUAUAUGACACCACGAUAAGUUUCAUGAAUUUCAACUAAGUUUUGGAUUUACUAUAUUUUAAAAAUCAAUAUUCUCAAUGUUUUGAAAUCUCUUUCAUGGGGAAACAUGCACCCAGGGACACACACGAUUUUGCAAUCCGUUUUGGUUCACAUGUAGCUCAAAUUUGAUUUUUGCACAUUAAAUCCCCUGGAAAUCAAUCAAUGUACAAAACGGGUCGAAUGAUCUAUAUUUUUUUCAAACUUUAACACGACACUCCCUUGGUCACAUGUUCACUGCAUAAAAAGUUUGACAUGCCUCAGAGUGGCGGUGGUGGUGCGGGAUGUGUGUGUCUGUGUGUGGGGGGCGGCAGUACACUACGAGUCGUGAUCCUCCAUGAUGUGGGAUUAUUGAUCAUUUUGUGAGUCAUAUAUGCCACAUCAAAGUCGUGAAUUGGUUAUUUACAACAUUACACAACCCUUUCAUACAUACAUGUUCGGGCCACAUGCAUGCAUUGGUGGUCCUCUCGGACACUCCCUCAUGUGGUUAUCAACGACGUGCCCAUUUGUUAGCCCGCAAAGGUUUUAGUUUCCAUCGACAGCGAGAGGCAUUUGCCCAAUGGUGGAUUCAUCUUGGCAUGUGUGUUACGGUGUGGAUCAUGGUGAGAUUCCAUAUCAAAGUUUGGGCACGUGCGUACACAUGAGUCCCUCCCACCGGCUCGAAGUGGGGGGGGGGCUAUGAUUCGCGAACCUCUAUGUAUUGCGUUUCCGGUUUGUGAAGCAUGUGCCACAUCAAAGUUGUGCAUAUGGUAUUAAAACAUCACACAACACACGGGCACAUGCAUGCAGUGGUUGUCCUAUCACACUCGCUCGCAUGCGACUCUCUCUAUGGGCCCGCAAGGUCAUCGUCGAUCAGUUGAACGUACAGCGAGAGAGAGAGAGAGAGAGAGAGAGAGAGAGAGAGAUAGAUAGAUAGAUAGAUAGAGAGAGAGAGAGAGAGAGAGAGAUAGAGGUUAAUUUGACCAACAAGGAUGGUUCUUUUUUGGUUUGUGUUACGUAUAUGCAUGGUAGGAGUAUGUAGUACAUGUCAAAGAGGGGGCAACAUGUAUACUCUAUACAUAUGUGUAAUAACCUCACUCCAUGUCAGAACUUUCUGAUUCCCGAGGCAGGUGCCACAUCAAAGUUGUGCAUUGGUAUUCAAACAUCACGCAAUACCAUGCGGGCAGUGGUUGCCCUAUACUCACUCGCGUGGGGCACUUCCAUCUGUGGGUCCGCGAGGUUGUCCUCCAUCACCUUGACACAAUGAGAGAGGUUAAUUUGACCAUCAAGGAAUGAUUCUUUUUGGAUUGUGCUAUACAGUAGAAGUAUAUAUAUACCACACGUCGAACGGGGGCGUAGCACAUACCACGCAUCAUGAACCUCGCUCUUCGUGGGGACUUUUCGAUUUUCGAGGUAUAUAUAUAUGGUGCCACAUCAAAGUUGUGCAUUGUGUAUUCAAACAUCACACAAACACCUCUUUGGGCCACAUGCAGAUGGUAGUACAUAGUCCUAUAUUGGAUGCUCACUCGCAUGUGAUGCACGCUUCGUUCCUGUGGGCCCGCGAGGUCGUCGUCCACCACUUUGACCCAACAAGAGAGAGAUACGUUUGACAAUCACGGAGGAUUAAUUCUUUUAGGGCUAUGUUACGGUUGGAGUAUAUAGUAUGUGUCGAAGGGGGGAUGGGACCAGCAUAUACUAGGUGUCACAUGAACCUCACUCUGUGUGGGGACUUUGCGGUUUUUGAGGCAAAUGCCACAUCAAAGUUGUGCAUUAUGUAUUCAAAACAUCACAACCACACACCUCUCCAUAUAUAUGUUUUGGUACACAUGCAAGAAAUGGUGGUUGUCCUCUGGCACUCACUCACGCGGUUAUCGGCGACGCUUCCAUUUGUCGACCCGCUUGGUCCAUCACUUUCACCGACAGCGAGAGAGGUUAAUUAAUUUGACUUAGGAGGGGAUUAAUUUUUUGUUUAUCUCAUGAUAUAGGUCAUGAUGUGAGAUUACAUAUAUAAUAGCACAUAUGUACACAUGAAUCCAUCCCGCUGGAUUGAGGGGGGGGGGGCGAGCACACGACACGUCAUGAACCUCUUGCUUUGUGGGGACCUGCACGAUUUUCAACACAUGCACCACAUCAAUGUUGUGAAUUGGGUAUUCAACACAUAUGCAUGCAUCACGCACCUCCAUAAAUAUGUAUGGGACACAUGCAUGCAAUGGUUGGCUUUGGACACUCUCACUCGCUUGGUUAUCGGCAGCAAGCAUAUAUAUAUUCAUGGGCCCGCGUGGACGUCCAUCAUUUCGACCGACAAUGAGAAAGGUUACCAGGGUGGAUUCUUCUUAGUUGGUUCGUAUUACCAUACAGUAGGUCGAUCAUUCCAGGUCUAAUUAAGUUCGAGCGCAUGCUACGCGUCAUGAACCCUCGCUCACCGUGGGGAUUUUACGGUUCCAAAGCAUGGUGCCACAUCAAAUUUAGCAUUGGGUAUUCAAACACAACACACAACACACACCACUUCCAUAUACAUAAUUGGGCCACAUGCAUAGAGUGGGUUUUGUCUUCAGACAGUAAUCCCUCACGAGGUUAUCUUCGACAAGCUAGCCCAUUUUUGCGGGGCCAUGUGGAUGUCCAUCACUUUGACCAACAACGAGCGAGAGAGGUUAUACGAACAAGUUGGAUUCUGCUUGGUCCGUGUUAUAGUACAUCUUGGUGAGAUGCCCUCCCCCCACUUAAUGUGUGUGUGUGGGGGGGGAGGAGCUACUUCACACUACCUGCAACCUCUGUGGGGUUGGGGAAGUCCGGUUAAUUUGCGAGGCAUACGUGCCACAUCAAAGUCGUGAAUGGUAGUUAAAUAUCACACCACACCCUUUCAUACAUAUAGUAGGGCCAGGCGCAGGUGGUUCGUAUGUGGUAUCACCCAUCUUACGCCACAAGCACACAUUUGUGGGUCGGCAUACGGUCCACCUUUGUCCGGAAGCGAAAGGGGAAGUUUGACCAUGAUGGACUCCUAUAGGUUUUGUGUUACGGUAGGGUGAGAUUUUAGACCUAGCUAUUUGGGGACAUGCAUUCGUAGCUCGGAUUCCCUUACUGCCAACACGAAGUGGGGUUCAUAGGGGGUGGCUGACUAGUGAUACUGUGCGCUUUGUGCGACAGGUGCCACAUCAAAUUUGUGCAUUGGGUAUUUGAACAUCAAACCACCCUUUUCAUACAUAUAUUUGGUCCACAUGCAAGUGCGUUUGUGUUCUAACCCUUUCUCGCGUUAUUCUUUUUGCCAAAUUUAUAAACAACAGACGAGUUGAAUGGAGCAACCGUCUGCGAUUGGGGACAUAACAGACAUGGUUCGCUUAGACUAUCCUUGUGCCACGCCCGUGCCCCUGUCACUCACAUUAGAACAGUAGAUUGGGCUCCACGACGCUUGCCUCCCACUCUAGAAAAUAUCUACUACCUCGCAAUCUCAAAAAUAUCUACCACCUGGAAGGUUUUUAUGUUUGAUAGCACACGAUUAGUAUGUGCGGACCAUGUGCGAUGUCUAUUACUCCAACUCUAUUUCAAUCCCUUGAUUCAAAUUUUUAGUAGCCCCGGCAUUUUACUCCCGCCUCUGCAUCCCUCGCAAUCUCAAAAAUAUCUACUCGCCCUUGAUUCAAAUGUUUAGUAGCCCCGGCUUGUUACUCCCGCCUCUGCAUCCCAAUCUCAAAAAUAUCUGCUCUCCCUUGAUCCAAAUUUUCAGUAGCCCGGCAUUUUACUCCCGCCUCUGCAUCCCUCGCAAUAUCAAAAUAUCUGCUCGCCCUUGAUCCAAAUUUUCAGUAGCCUAGUAUUUUACUCCCGCCUAGUAAAAAUUUUAGUGGCCGCAGUAUUUCCUCAAACAUCACCUUGCCCCCCUCCACACACACCCCAAAACCUCCGCUCAUACAGACACACACCACCCUUCCCUUGCUCGAAACCAUUGGUAGGUCGCCGCCAUCGCCAUCGCCGCCGCCUCCAUCCUCAACCUCUGCAUGUGUGCCGCGGAGCUCGAGGAGCCAAUGGCCCAAAAGAGGUUUAUCGCAGCAUCUUCGCCUGACGUAAAGAGGUGGUCCCCGAGGUGUCCCCGUCGUCCUCUAUGGGCUCUUUAUCAAGCCGCCAUCGUCGGUCGCCCGAUCCGCCUGCCGUCGCGCCCCUAUGCCUGUUCAAGGACUUUCCUGUCCUCCGUCGGGCCCAGCCGCCGAUGAGGUCCUACCACGGGGUGCGGUAGCAGUCGUGGGGAACAUGGGUCGCCAAGAUUACAAAUCGAGAGACCCACACCCGCCAGUGGAUCAGUAGCUUCGACAUGGCUGAGCUUGCGGCCAUGGAGUAUGACCGCUGGCAGGUCCGCUACCACGGCGCAGCGACUAGGCUCAAUUUCCCCUUCGACACACGUCCGGUCGACCUCGUCCCAUCGGAGCCAAGGGUGGUGAGCUUGGCUAUGGCGCAGGAGGACCGCGAGGCAUGGGAGCGCCUCAAGGACAAGGCCGCCUACAAGGCCUACAUGCAAGAGCUCCGCCGACAGCACCCAGAGCUUGUGGAGGCGGAGCGGAUGAUCUUUGUCAGCACGGAGGGCGGCAAGGUUAUCGUUCUCUCCUCUGAUGAUGAGGUCAAAGGCAGCGAGGACAGCGACAUGGAGGGUAUCGAGGUGGCCGACGAGGAUGAGGAGAUCGACGUCGAUGAGUGGAGGAGUGUCUACUCCAACGACCCCGACAACGGCACCGGUCCGGACCUGGCUCGCGGCACACCGUACCUGACUUGGAAGGAUUGGCUCGACCUCCACUUCGACUAAACGUAGUUUAGUUUAGUUUAAAUUUUUGUUCUAUGUUCGGUUAUGCAAAACUAUCUAUGUUUAUGUUCGAAUGCAUGCUACUUUCGGAUGAACCUGCUUUGAACUUGAUCAAAUUUAAGUUACAACAUUAAGUUUAGGGGAUCGACUAGAAAAGGCCAAAAAUUGCUGGAGUAUAUAUAUACUCACUAAGGGUUUUACUCCGUUAACUUUUAGGGGAUCGUCUAGAGAUGGCCUUAUGCCUUGUUUAUUUCAGUUAUUCACAAUGUGAUGCUCUAUAUGUGCAACUAUUUGCCGUGCAGUUCAAUUUCAUCAAUAACAGUUUCAACAAUAUCACUAAGAAUUAUGAUAUUUGGUUGUUGUUAAGGAUGUUGCAGUUAACAUGCCUUUCCGUAUUUUUUAACAAUAACUAGUGUACUCUAGACCUGCUGAUGAGGACAUCAAUACCAUUGACCACCCCUGCUGCUAUACAUACUGGACCAAUUACUAGAGCUCGCGCAUGCUAAUUAAAUUACCAGGUACUUUCAUUUCUUGGUAACGAUUCUAAUGUUCACGAGAAAAUGAUGCUGCCUAAAUUGGAUACAUUUGUUUUGCUUACAAAUGAAGGGCCUAGCUUGGACAAGAAAGAGGAACCUUGGAGCAAGUUCAAGCAUGGAGAUGAUGGCGUGCGCAAGGGGAACAAGAACGGAGUUACAAUUAAUGAUUCCAGGACUUUGAAGCCACCAUAAUGAGUGCAUGAAGCCUUGGGCGAAAUAUACAAGAUGCCACUUGAUGAGGACAUCAAUACCAUUGUUACACCCACAGCCCCUACUGUUACAUAUACUGGACCAAUUACUAGAGCUCGCGCACGCCAAUUAAAUUACCAGGUACUUUCGUUUCUUGGUAAUGAUUCCAAUGUUCAUGAGAUUAUGAUGCUGCCUAAAUUGGAUACAUUUGUUUUGCUUACAAAUGAAGGGCCUAGCUUGGAGAAGGAUGAACAUUGGAGCAAGAACACGCAUGGAGUUGAUGGCAUGCGCAAGGGGAUCAAGAACGGAGUUACAAGUGAUAAUUUCAGGACUUUGAAGCCGCCAUAAGGAGUGCAUGAAGCCUUGGACGAAAUAUACAAGAUGCCACUUCAUAAUAUUCGUUCAUAGGCUAUUCUAGGUGCCGCGUCACCUUAUUAAUGGGGCCAGGCCCAUGUAAUUUCGAAAUACUUAAGUAUAGGCUAUUUUUAGAGUCCGUAUGUGUGGGGAAACAAGAGUUAGGGUUGGUUUCGGACCCCACCCUCAAGGGCCACGAAAUUCCCCCCUCUUCCUCCAUAUAUACAGCCCUUAGGGCGUCGUUUAGACUUCGGGUUUUGUUUAGAUUAAAAGUUCGCCAUAGCUGCAACUUCGCGUACUUCGUUUGUGUCCAACGACCAGACCAAGACGUCACAGAACCCCACCUUGAUCAAUAAAGCUUUCAUCUUAUAUUCGCAAUAUCCCAAUUGCAAUCUCAGUUUCUUGCUUGUUCUUCGUUUGCUCGCAGGAAACAAACCCUCGUGGUUAGGUUGAUCGUGCUCCGGCAUGGUCGAUAACCCUCGGAAGUUGGUUUAGUGAUUGCUAAGGCGCGACGUCUCGCACGUUCUGGUAGAGGCAAAGGUGUCCCGUCUUUUGAUGAGAUGAUGGAUAUCGCUUUGGUGGAAGUCAACUUUGACGAUCCGACUACGAACGUGCGAGGACGUCGCGNNNNNNNNNNNNNNNNNNNNNNNNNNNNNNNNNNNNNNNNNNNNNNNNNNNNNNNNNNNNNNNNNNNNNNNNNNNNNNNNNNNNNNNNNNNNNNNNNNNNNNNNNNNNNNNNNNNNNNNNNNNNNNNNNNNNNNNNNNNNNNNNNNNNNNNNNNNNNNNNNNNNNNNNNNNNNNNNNNNNNNNNNNNNNNNNNNNNNNNNNNNNNNNNNNNNNNNNNNNNNNNNNNNNNNNNNNNNNNNNNNNNNNNNNNNNNNNNNNNNNNNNNNNNNNNNNNNNNNNNNNNNNNNNNNNNNNNNNNNNNNNNNNNNNNNNNNNNNNNNNNNNNNNNNNNNNNNNNNNNNNNNNNNNNNNNNNNNNNNNNNNNNNNNNNNNNNNNNNNNNNNNNNNNNNNNNNNNNNNNNNNNNNNNNNNNNNNNNNNNNNNNNNNNNNNNNNNNNNNNNNNNNNNNNNNNNNNNNNNNNNNNNNNNNNNNNNNNNNNNNNNNNNNNNNNNNNNNNNNNUCUUUCGAUGAGAUGAUGGAUAUCGCUUUGGUGGAAGUCAACUUUGACGAUCCGACUACGAACGUGCGAGGACGUCGCGCCUUAGCAAUCGCUAAACCAACUCCGAGAGGUUAUUGACCACGCCGGAGCACGAUCAACCUGACCACGAGGGUCUGUUUCCUGCGAGCAAACGAAGAACAAGCAAGAAACUAAGAUUGCAAUCUGGAUAUUGCGAAUAUAAGAUGAAAGCUUUAUUGAGCAAGGUGGGGUUCUGUGACGCCUUUGUCUGGUCGUUGAACACAAACGAAGUACGCGAAGUUGCAGCUAUGGCGAACUUUUAAUCUAAACAAACCCCAAAGUCUAAACGGUGCCCUAAGGGCUGUAUAUAUGGAGGAAGAGAGGGGGAAUUUCGUGGCCCUUGGUGGAGGGGUCCGAAAUCAACCCUAUCUCUUGUUUCCCCACACAUAGGGACUCUAAAAAUAGCCUAUACUUAUGUAUUUCGAAAUUACAUGGGCCUGGCCCAAUAAAAAGGUGACGCAGCACCUAUAAUAGCCUCGGGACGAAAUUUAUGAAGUGGCAUCUUGUAUAUUUCGUCCAUGGCUUCAUGCACCCAUUAUGGUGGCUUCAAAGUCCUGAAAUCAUCACUUGUAACUCCGUUCUUGUUCCCCUUGCGCAUGGCAUCAUCUCCAUGCUUGUUCUUGCUCCAAUGUUCAUCCUUCUCCAAGCUAGGCCCUUCAUUUGUAAGCAAAACAAAUGUAUCCAAUUUAGGCAGCAUCAUAUUCUCAUGAACAUUAGAAUCAUUACCAAGAAACGAAAGUACCUGAUAAUUUAAUUGGCGUGCGCGAGCUCUAGUAAUUGGUCCCGUAUAUGUAGCAGUAGGGGCUGUGGGUGUAACAAUGGUAUUGAUGUCCUCAUCAUCCUCCCCUUCUUGAAAUGAAGUCGUCCUCGACGAAAACUCAUCUUCCUCACCCAAAUAAGGCUUCAAAUCUGCAAUGUUAAAAGUGGGACUAACCCCAAAAUCUGCAGGCAGCUCAAGUUUAUAUGCAUUAUCAUUUAUUUUCUCUAACACCUUAAAGGGACCAUCAGCACGUGGCAUUAGCUUUGAUUUGUGCAAAUCAGGAAAUCUAUCCUUACGCAAAUGUAACCAAACAAGAUCUCCAGGUGCAAACACAACAUGUUUUCUACCCUUAUCUCCAGCAAGUUUAUAUUUAGCAUUCAUACGCUCAAUGUUUUCCUUAGUUAACUCAUGCAUUUUUAAAAUCAAUUCAGCACGUUCUUUAGCAUCAAAAUUAACCUUCUCCGAAGAUGGAAGAGGCAACAAAUCAAUAGGUGCACGAGGUAGGAAACCAUACACAACUUCAAAAGGGCACAUCUUAGUAGUAGAAUGCAAUGAACGAUUAUAAGCAAAUUCAAUAUGAGGCAAGCAUUCCUCCCACAUUUUCUUAUUAUUCUUCAAAACAGCCCUAAGCAUAGUAGACAACGUUCUAUUGACUACUUCAGUUUGUCCAUCAGUUUGGGGGUGACAAGUAGUACUAAAAAGCAGUUUAGUCCCCAACUUAGCCCAUAAACAUCUCCAAAAGUGGCUAAGAAAUUUAGUAUCACGAUCUGAAACAAUAGUAUUUGGCACACCAUGCAAGCGAAUAAUUUCAUGAAAGAACAAAUCAGCAACAUUAACAGCAUCAUCGCUUUUAUGACAUGCUAUAAAGUGUGCCAUUUUCUAGAAUCUAUCCACGACAACAAAUAUGCUAUCCCUCCCCUUCUUUGUUCGAGGUAAACCUAAAACAAAGUCCAUAGAUAUAUCCUCCCAAGGAACACUAGGUAGAGGCAAAGGCAUAUAUAAACCAUGAGGAUUGAGUCGUGACUUAGCUUUUUGACAUGUAGUGCAUCGAGCAAUAAAACGCUCAACAUCCCGUCUCAUCUUUGGCCAAAAGAAAUGUGUAGCAAGUACGUCCUCCGUCUUCUUCACGCCAAAGUGUCCCAUUAAUCCUCCUCCAUGCGCCUCCUGCAACAACAAAAGACGAACGGAGCUAGCUGGAAUGCAUAGCUUGUUAGCACGAAACACAAAUCCAUCGUUAACGACGAACUUGUUCCACAUUCUUCCUUCUUUACAAUUCUGCAUUACAUCUUUAAAAUCAGCAUCAUGCACAUAUUGAUCUUUGAUGGUCUCCAAACCAAAUAUUUUGAAGUCAAGUUGUGAAAGCAUAGUAUAGCGGCGAGACAAUGCAUCAGCAAUAACAUUUUCUUUUCCCUUCUUGUGUUUAAUGACAUAAGGAAAAGUCUCAAUGAAUUCAACCCAUUUAGCAUGUCUAUGAUUCAGUUUAGCUUGACUUUUAAUAUGUUUCAAAGAUUCAUGAUCAGAAUCUAUAACAAAUUCUUUGGGCCAUAAAUAAUGUUGCCAUGUUUCUAAAGUCCGAACAAGAGCAUAUAAUUCUUUAUCAUAAGUAGAAUAAUUCAGACUAGGCCCACUCAAUUUUUCAGAAAAGUAUGCAACAGGUUUGCCAUCUUGUAAUAACACACCGCCUAAUCCAAUUCCACUAGCAUCACAUUCAAGCUCAAAAGUCUUAUUAAAAUCAGGAAGUUGGAGUAAAGGAGCAUGUGUCAACUUAUCUUUCAAUACCGAGAAGGCUUCUUCUUGUGCGGUACCCCAAAGAAAAGGCACAUCUUUCUUUGUAAGCUCAUUGAGAGGUGCAGCAAUGGUGCUGAAAUCUCUCACAAAACGCCUAUAGAAUCCAGUAAGGCCAAGAAAACUCCUCACUUGUGUGACCGUUUUGGGCUGCGGCCAACUCUCAAUAGCUUCAAUCUUGGCUUUAUCAACUUCAAUUCCCUGUGGAGUAACAACAUAGCCAAGAAAAGAUACUCGGUCGGUGCAAAAGGUGCACUUCCCAAGGUUACCAAACAAACGUGCAUCACGUAGAGCAAUAGAAACAGCACGUAAAUGUUCCAAAUGUUCUUCCAAAGAUCUGCUAUAAAUCAAUAUGUCAUCAAAGUAAACUACCACAAAUCGUCCAAUGAAAGCACGUAAAACUUCGUUCAUUAAUCUCAUGAAAGUACUAGGUGCAUUAGUUAACCCAAAAGGCAUGACUAACCACUCAUAUAAUCCAAACUUAGUUUUGAAUGCUGUUUUCCAUUCAUCUCCCAAUUUCAUACGAAUUUUAUGGUAUCCACUACGCAAAUCAACUUUGGAGAAUAUUGUAGAGCCACUCAAUUCAUCAAGCAUAUCAUCUAGCCUAGCAAUAGGAUGAUGAUAACGAAUAGUAAUAUUAUUAAUGCCUCUACAAUCAACACACAUACGUGAUGUACCAUCCUUUUUCGGCACUAGAAUAAUAGGAACAGCACAAGGACUAAGGGAUUCGCGUAUAUAACCUUUGUCGAGAAGCUCUUGUACUUGACGCAUAAUCUCCUUCGUCUCCUCUGGAUUGGUACGGUAUGGUGCACGGUUUGGCAGUGAAGCACCGGGAAUUAGGUCAAUCUGAUGCUCAAUCCCUCGAAUAGGCGGCAAUCCCGGUGGUACGUCUUGUGGAAAGACGUCAGCGAACUCCUGCAAAAUGUUAGUGACAGCAGGAGGCAAAGAGGAAGGCACGUCCUCGAAUGAAAAUAAUGCCUCUUUGCACACAAAAGCAUAGCAAACAGAUUUGCUGAAAUCUACCUCAUCAAUAUCAGAUUUGGUGGCAAAUAAACAUGCACUUUUCAAUUUAAUUUCAGAAGCAACACUAGAUGGUUUAUUAUUAGGCUUCAUUUGUUGCUCAAAUUCUUUUGCCACAAUCUGAUUUUCACUCUUAUUCGUCUCCUGUUUUGCUUUAUUAGCUCUAUUAAUAUCAUCUUUCAAAAUGGAAUCAGGAGUCAUAGGAAGCAAAGUAAUAUUUUUAUCCUUAUGAACAAGAGUAUAGUGAUUGUUUCUACCAUGGUGUACAGAAUUUUUAUCAAAUUGCCAUGGUCUACCAAGUAAUAAGGAACAUGCUUGCAUAGGUACCACAUCACAAUCAACAUAAUCAGCAUAUGUAGAGAUACUAAAAUGCACACGAACAGUACGUGUUACCUUAACCUUGCCGCUGUUGUUGAACCAUUGGAUGUAGUAAGGAUGUGGAUGUGGUCUUGUGGUGAGAGAAAGCUUCUCCACCAUCUCCAUGCUAGCCAAGUUGUUGCAGCUCCCUCCGUCUAUGAUGACGCGCACAGAACAUUCCUUCACAACUCCCUUGGUAUGGAACAAAUUGUGCCUCUGAUUUUGCUCAGCUUGUGUGAUCUGCACUCUCAAAACACGUUGAGCAACUAAACAUUCAUACCUGUUAGCGUCUUCAGGAGCCAUGUAUUGCGUCUCAUGAUCAGAAUCAUCUCCACCAUGUUCUUCACGUGUAAUAAGAGCCAAAGUCUCCUCAUCAUAGUCACUAGCAGACUCAUAUCCACCAUCCGCGGUAGCAAUCAUCACACGCGGAGAUUUGCAUUCUCUCGCAUAAUGACCUCCUCCCUUACAACGACGACAAAUAAUAUCACUUGUGUGCCCUGUUGAUGCCAUGGAAGAAGAAGAACGCUGUGCAGGCCCCGCAGGUGCGCUCUUGGCAGAUAAUGGUGGUUGUGCCUGUUUUCUUGUAUCACGGCUGGAGGUGGCACCGGAUGGAGGUGCUGGUGCAGUUGAAGUAGAAGAUGCACGUGGUGUCCAUGAUGAAGGUCGGCCUGCAGAAAAGUUAGUUCGCCCCAAUGCUUGUCGAUCUUGCACUUCACGUUCAGCUUUACAAGCAAGAUGGAAUAAACGAGUGAUAUUAGUAUACUCCUUAUAGUCUAGAAUGGUCUGAAUCUCUCUAUUUAAUCCACCCAGAAAAUGUGCAAGCAUAGCUUCAUUCUCCUCAACAAUACCACAUCUAAUCAUGCCAGUUUGUAAUUCCUGAUAAUAUUCUUCUACAGAAUUUUUCCCUUGUCUUAAACGCUGCAAUUUUUGAAGCAAUUCACGUUGAUAAUAUGGUGGAACCCAACGCGUACGCAUAGCAGUUUUCAAAGCAGCCCAAGUAGUUGGAAUAGGAUAUAAUCUACAAUGUUCAGACCACCAUACACAUGCAAAACUAGUGAAAGCACAAACAGCAGCAGCAACUCGUCUCUCCUCAGGAUAUUGUAAACAUGUAAAUCGUUGUUCAGUUUCUAACUCCCAAGUAAGAUAUAUAUCAGGAACAUAUCUACCCUCAAAUGGUGGAAUAUUCAAUUUCAAUUUAGGAAUAUGGACAUCAUCUCGUACCUGAGGUGGUGGUGCAGGCCUACCGUUACGAAUAUAUACCUGAGGUCGACCUGCUGGUGGUGGUACAGGUGGCUGCACGUAGUGCUGAUUUUGAUCAACCUCAUCCUCAUAAUCUCCCACAUAAUCAUCCUCCUCCGCAUCAGCAGCAGGAGCCACAGAAGUAUCAACAGCAGCACCAACAGUUUGGCCAAACGCAAGAGGAACACGGCUUGCUCGGCGGAGGUCUGUUUCGCGAUGUGGAGGUAGUCGUUGUUGUUGUUGUUGGAGAGGUGCGUUAGGUGCAGCGGGUGGUGGUGGUGGAAGACGCGCGAGCAAUUCAUUAAACUUGUUAUCGAGCUUUGUUUCCAACGUCUUCUCAAGGCCAGUGAUCUUCUCCAUGGCCUCUUCAAAAUUGUUCAGCACAUCUUGCACCUGUUCAGUCAUCAUUUGCUGAAACUUAUCAUGAAGCUCCUUGUUCGAUAAAUUCUCCCAGUCAAUCUCGUCGGCUUGUGAUCCUGGCAUGGUUAGCAGCAAUAGAAACACACAAGAAUAUGAUCCUACAGACUACGAACAAGUGGUGGUGGUGGGUGUCACAAAUCCGUCAAGCAAAACUCAAAUUCUUACCAGUUCUUACCCAGCAACAGGCGGUGAUCGGCAACCGUUGUAGUCAAAAACUCUCAAAGCUUGGAUAGAGCGAUUACCAGGGAGAGUCAAACGCACGACGUAGAUGUAUGUGGAGCUGGGAAGGCUUAUAAUAUGGUAGCAAAAAGGGUCAGCAAUAAUCAAUUCAGAGAUGCAAAGUUGAAUAAACGCUCAACGACGGUACUGUGCUGGUCCUAGGCUAGACUGUGCUAGAGACGCGAGCCUAGAACACCAACAAAAUCACGGCGCGGCACGUAAACAAGGGAGGAGCACACUCUGAAUUUUUUUUCUCUUUUUUUUUGCACUUAUUGCUCCGCAACAAUUUUUUUUCGAAAAAGUCUACAAAUGGUCUAAAAACUGCCUAGCCAGAAUUUUCCAGACUUAGUUUUUUUUUUUGAAAUUGGAACUAUUUUUCUUCUGCGGAUGGCUCGGAAGUUGGGGAGUCCUUCUCUGUCACGACUCGGAGUGUCGCGUGAUCUGGAAAUCAAGAACAAUGCAACAAUUACUAGACUCGGCCUAGGACUGGUGGCGGAGAUGAAUCUGGUGGAACUCGGACUGGUGGCGGAGAUGCAUCUGGUGGAACACGGACAGGUGGCGGAUAUAUGUUGUAGGUGAACUCGGAUUGGCGUGAUGGCGGCGGAUAUGUGGUGGCGUAUAUGGAUUUGGAUUGGCGGUGAAUAUGUGGUGGUGGUAUAUGGCAACAGCGACGAUGAUGAUGCGGUGGUGAUAUAUGGCAGCGGCGACGUGACAACCUGUGAACAGAACUCGAAACUCUAAAAGACUAGACGCUAAGACCAGCAACUGGACACGACGAUGCAACUGCAAAUUCAACAAAGCAAAUACAGAAAAGAUUAUGCAAGGCUCAGAUUGGUUCGGAUGUGAUGCUAGUGGAAUUGGAUUAGUGAUAGAGGCAAAGGUGUCCCGUCUUUCGAUGAGAUGAUGGAUAUCGCUUUGGUGGAAGUCGACUUUGACGAUCCGACUACGAACGUGCGAGGACGUCGCGCCUUAGCAAUCGCUAAACCAACUCCGAGAGGUUAUUGACCACGCCGGAGCACGAUCAACCUGACCACGAGGGUCUGUUUCCGGCGAGCAAACGAAGAACAAGCAAGAAACUAAGAUUGCAAUCUGGAUAUUGCGAAUAUAAGAUGAAAGCUUUAUUGAUCAAGGUGGGGUUCUGUGACGCCUUUGUCUGGUCGUUGAACACAAACGAAGUACGCGAAGUUGCAGCUAUGGCGAACUUUUAAUCUAAACAAAACCCAAAGUCUAAACGGUGCCCUAAGGGCUGUAUAUAUGGAGGAAGAGAGGGGGAAUUUUGUGGCCCUUGGUGGAGGGGUCCGAAAUCAACCCUAUCUCUUGUUUCCCCACACAUACGGACUCUAAAAAUAGCCUAUACUUAUGUAUUUCGAAAUUACAUGGGCCUGGCCCAAUAAAAAGGUGACGCAGCACCUAUAAUAGCCUCUGGACGAAAUUUAUGAAGUGACAUCUUGUAUAUUUCGUCCAAGGCUUCAUGCACUCGUUAUGGAGGCUUCAAUGACUUGAAAUCAUCACUUGUAACUUUGUUCUUGUUCCCCUUGCGCAUGCCAUCAUCUCCGUGCUUGUUCUUGCUCCAAUGUUCAUCCUUCUCCAAGCUAGGCCCUUCAUUUGUAAGCAAAACAAAUGUAUCCAAUUUAGGCAGCAUCAUAUUCUCAUGAACAUUAGAAUCAUUACCAAGAAACGAAAGUACCUGGUAAUUUAGUUGGCGUGCGCGACCUCUAGUAAUUGGUCCAGUAUGUAUAGCAGCAGGGGCUGUGGGUGUAACAAUGGUAUUGAUGUCCUCAUCAUCCUCCCCUUCUUGAAAUGAAGUCGUCCUCGACGGAAGCUCAUCUUCCUCACCCAAAUAAGGCUUCAAAUCUGCAAUGUUAAAAGUGGGACUAACCCCAAAAUCUGCAGGCAGCUCAAGUUUAUAUGGAUUAUCAUUUAUUUUCUCUAACACCUUAAAGGGACCAUCAGCCCGUGGCAUGAGCUUUGAUUUGCGCAAAUCAGGAAAUCUAUCCUUACGCAAAUGUAACCAAACAAGAUCUCCAGGUGCAAACACAACAUGUUUUCUACCCUUAUCUCCAGCAAGUUUAUAUUUGGCAUUCAUACGCUCAAUGUUUUCCUUAGUUAACUCAUGCAUUUUUUAAAUCAAUUCAGCACGUUGUUUAGCAUCAAAAUUAACCUUCUCCGAAGAUGGAAGAGGCAACAAAUCAAUAGGUGCACGAGGUAGGAAACCAUACACAACUUCAAAAGGGCACAUCUUAGUAGUAGAAUACAAUGAACGAUUAUAAGCAAAUUCAAUAUGAGGCAAGCAUUCCUCCCACAUUUUCUUAUUAGUCUUCAAAACAGCCCUAAGCAUAGUAGACAAUGUUCUAUUGACUACUUGAGUUUGGCCAUCAGUUUGGGGGUGACAAGUAGUACUAAAAAGCAGUUUAGUCCCCAACUUAGCCCAUAAACAUCUCCAAAAGUGGCUAAGAAAUUUAGUAUCACGAUCUGAAACAAUAGUAUUUGGCACACCAUGCAAGCGAAUAAUUUCACGAAAGAACAAAUCAGCAAUAUUAACAGCAUCAUCGCUUUUAUGACAUGGUAUAAAGUCUGCCAUUUUCGAGAAUCUAUCCACGACAACAAAUAUGCUAUCCCUCCCCUUCUUUGUUCGAGGUAAACCUAAAACAAAGUCCAUAGAUAUAUCCUCCCAAGGAACACUAGGUACAGGCAAAGGCAUAUAUAAACCAUGAGGAUUGAGUCGUGAUGAUAGAGGCGGGGGUGUCCCGAUCUUUCGAUGAGAUGAUAACUAUCGAUUUGGUGGAGACGACUUUGACGAUUCGACUACAAACGUGCACGACGUUGCGCCUUAGCAAUCGCUAAACCAACUCCGAGAGGUUAUUGAUCACGCCGGAGCACAAUCAACCUGACCACGAAGGUCUAUUCCUGCAAGCAAUCGAAGAACAAGCAAGAAUAUGAUAAAAGCAAUCUGAAUAUUGCGAGUAUAUAUGAAGUAUUGAUAAAGGUGGGGAUCCGUAAGCGGUCUUGGUCUGGUCGUUGGACACAAACGAAGUACACGAAGUUGCAAUGGCUAACUUUUAACUAAACAAAUCCCAAGGAAAAAGCUACUAGAUGGAUCUACUUAUAUAGGAGCAAGGGGUGGAGGCCAAGGAGGUGGGAGGACGUCCCAAGGCAGCCUAAAACUAAAUCUAGGUCGUACAAGGCCAAUGGACCCAAGUGGAGGUGAUGUAACACCUUUGGACUUGUAGUUUGACUCGGAUUCUGCUGCAGCAUCAGAUUGUUUCGUCCACAACUCAACGCUCCGGACGAAUUUGAAGGUGAUUCCAAUUGGGUUGUAAAGUGCACGAAAUCUAGUUUCCAACAAAAAAAGAAUCACCCAAUUCGGAGUCCGUAUGAAAAACUUGUGUGCGUUUUGAGUCAGGUAUGUCUGUGCAGUCCGAAUCUGAAUCCAGAACGUGAGAGACUUGGACUUUAUCUUCUCUUGGGCCAAAAGUGACGUGAGAGAACUUUUUGGACAGCAAAUAAACAUCUCUUUCUUCCUUAUCUUCAUAUGUGGAUUGUACAAAUGUCCCAUACACCUGCAAUUAGACAAAACACAAAAGUGUGUGAAGUAUUUUUGUUCUGGAUAACAUAAAUAGAUUAUUGAAUAGUUUGCACUAGAAAUCACCUGACAAAUAUGCAUAUAUGCAAUAUUUUUGGUCAUAUCCAAGGUAGUCAUGUCCUCAUCAUCCUCCCCUUCUUGAAAAUAAAGCCGUCCUCAGCGUUGCUUAAUCUGAAAUGUGGCUAACAAAAGAGACAAGGUGUACAUGUUGUAUAUGUAUAUGUCAUCCAUUUUUACUUCCCUUGAUUUUUGCAUAGAUGACACAUGAAUAUAUGAGUAACUUGCAUAGUUCAUAAAAUCUAAAGCCAAAAAAUUAGCACAAGAAGUAGAAGGCAUGAAAAUAUUGCAACUCAGUUUGCACAUAUAAGUGAAGCUCUUAUUCAUUUCAAAAGAUUGACAAUGUUCAUCAUUAAACCAUCCCAACAUUGGUGAAUAAACCUUACUUGCAUCAAAUUUACAUGCUACAACAUGCUUAAAUAAGCAAACAUGCAAUAAGUCAUUCAACACAGAAUCAUCACCAAGAUUAGAGGUCAUAUCAAAAUGAUUAAACAUUGGUUCUUUUGCAUCAAUAGUUAAUUCAAUGGGUGCACUCAAAAUUGUUGGUAUUUCAGUUGUUUGAUCACAUGGCAAAGUCAAAUUAUCAACGUAGUCCUCUAAAAUAGGUGGUGUGAUCAAAGUAGUGGGUAGCUCAUCAGAUGUUGCAUUCAAAUUGACAAGGCAUUCAUCAUUCUCAUGUAGAGAUGGAAGAUCAGUACCUUUGUCAUUACCUCUUAUGAUCAACUCACAUGAUGUAGCCACUCUCGGGGGCGAUGUGUCACAUGGUGGAGGUGAUGUAGUCUUCACAACAACGGAUGUGGUUGUCAUAGUAUGCCUAGUAGUUGAAGGAACAAUCAUAUCAACUCUUGGAAUGUGCACCGUGCGCUUGUUCUCCUCGUGGCCAACACGUCGUUUUAUUUCCUGUUCAGCUUUACAAGCAAGAUGAAACAAAUGGUCCAUAGGAUAACACUCUUCAUGAAUUAGUAUCUCUUGAAUAUCACGGUUUAAUCCUCCCCAAAAUCUAUCCAUAAAAUCAUCUUCACUUUCUUCUAAAGAGGAAUGCAACAAGGUAGUUUGUAAAUCAUCAUAAUAUUUUGUUACAGUUUCACUACCUUGUUUUAAGUGUUGCAACUUCUUAAUCAUGUCACGAGUAUAAUAAGCAGGGACGAAAGUAUGUCGCAUGGCAAGUUUCAAAUCAUCCCAAGUAGUAUGUAUAUAAUCAGGGUGUAACCGACAAUAUUCACUCCACCAAACCAAAGCAUAACCAGUGAAAGAACCAACCGCAACCUUAACCUUUUUAUGUUCAUCGAAAUUAUGGGAAGCAAAUAUAUUUUUUAUGUCGAACUCCCAUUCAAUAUAUAAAGCAGGUUUAAAACGGCCAUUAAAUGGUGGUAUAGAUACAUUAACCUGAUCAUGUGCAUUUGGAUGUUUGUGCACCUCUCGUGACGGUUGUGGUAUUUGCAAAGGUGGUGGCACGUCUCCCGCGAUCGACAAAGCCCAUGAAUUGACUCUGGAUCCUGUCAUGAUUAGUAGAACAAGAAACAAAACCCAAAAAUAAUGUUCGUAUAACUACUAGGAUGUGGUGGUAAAACGCUCACAGUAAAGCAAAUAUCAAUGUCUUACAAGUUCUUACCAUGCAGCAGGCGGUGAUCGGCAACCAGCGGUGUCAAGUAACUUCGAAUAUUGAGUAAAGCGAUUGCCAGGGGAGCGUACGUAUACACGGUGUAGAAAUAUGUGGAGCUGGGUUGGCUAUAUGAUAGAGGCAGAGGUGUCCCGUCUUUCGAUGAGAUGAUGGAUUUCGCUUUGGUGGAAGUCGACUUUGACGAUCCGACUACGAACGUGCGAGGAUGUCGCGCCUUAGCAAUCGCUAAACCAACUCCGAGAGGUUAUUGACCACGCCGGAGCACGAUCAACCUGACCACGAGGGUCUGUUUCCUGCGAGCAAACGAAGAACAAGCAAGAAACUGAGAUUGCAAUCUGGAUAUUGCGAAUAUAAGAUGAAAGCUUUAUUGAUCAAGGUGGGGUUCUGUGACGCCUUUGUCUGGUCGUUGAACACAAACGAAGUACGCGAAGUUGCAGCUAUGGCGAACUUUUAAUCUAAACAAAACCCAAAGUCUAAACGAUGCCCUAAGGGCUGUAUAUAUGGAGGAAGAGGGGGGAAUUUCGUGGCCCUUGGUGGAGGGGUCCGAAAUCAACCCUAUCUCUUGUUUCCCCACACAUACGUACUCUAAAAAUAGCCUAUACUUAUGUAUUUCGAAAUUACAUGGGCCUGGCCCAAUAAUAAGGUGACGCAGCACCUAAAAUAGCCUCGGGACAAAAUUUAUGAAGUGGCAUCUUGUAUAUUUCGUCCAAGGCUUCAUGCACCCAUUAUGGUGGCUUCAAAGUCCUGAAAUCAUCACUUGUAACUCCGUUCUUGUUCCCCUUGCGCAUGCCAUCGUCUCCAUGCUUGUUCUUGCUCCAAUGUUCAUCCUUCUCCAAGCUAGGCCCUUCAUUUGUAAGCAAAACAAAUGUAUCCAAUUUAGGCAGCAUCAUAUUCUCAUGAACAUUAGAAUCAUUACCAAGAAAUGAAAGUACCUGGUAAUUUAGUUGGCGUGCACGAGCUCUAGUAAUUGGUCCAGUAUGUAUAGCAGCAGGGGCUGUGGGUGUAACAAUUGUAUUGAUGUCCUCAUCAUUCGGAGUCCGUAUGAAAAACUUGUGUGCGUUUUGAGUCAGGUAUGUCUGUGCAGUCCGAAUCUGAAUCCAGAACGUGAGAGACUUGGACUCUAUCUUCUCUUGGGCCAAAAGUGACGUGAAAGAACUUUUUGGACAGCAAAUAAACAUCUCUUUCUUCCUUAUCUUCAUAUGUGGAUUGUACAAAUGUCCCAUACACCUGCAAUUAGACAAAACACAAAAGUGUGUGAAGUAUUUUUGUUCUGGAUAACAUAAAUAGAUUAUUGAAUAGUUUGCACUAGAAAUCACCUGACAAAUAUGCAUAUAUGCAAUAUUUUUGGUCAUAUCCAAGGUAGUCAUGUCCUCAUCAUCCUCCCCUUCUUGAAAAUAAAGCCGUCCUCGGCGUUGCUUAAUCUGAAAUGUGGCUAACAAAAGAGACAAGGUGUACAUGUUGUAUAUGUAUAUGUCAUCCAUUUUUACUUCCCUUGAUUUUUGCAUAUAUGACACAUGAAUAGAUGAGUAACUUGCAUAGUUCAUAAAAUCUAAAGCCAAAAAAUUAGCACAAGAAGUAGAAGGCACGAAAAUAUUGCAACUCAGUUUGCACAUAUAAGUGAAGCUCUUAUUCAUUUCAAAAGAUUGACAAUGUUCAUCAUUAAACCAUCCCAACAUUGGUGAAUAAACCUUACUUGCAUCAAAUUUACAUGCUACAACAUGCUUAAAUAAGCAAACAUGCAAUAAGUCAUUCAACACAGAAUCAUCACCAAGAUUACAGGUCAUAUCAAAAUGAUUAAACAUUGGUUCUUUUGCAUCAAUAGUUAAUUCAAUGGGUGCACUCAAAAUUGUUGGUAUUUCAGUUGUUUGAUCACAUGGCAAAGUCAAAUUAUCAACGUAGUCCUCUAAAAUAGGUGGUGUGAUCAAAGUAGUGGGUAGCUCAUCAGAUGGUGCAUUCAAAUUGACAAGGCAUUCAUCAUUCUCAUGUAGAGAUGGAAGAUCAGUACCUUUGUCAUUACCUCUUAUGAUCAACUCAGAUGAUGUAGCCACUCUUGGGGGCGAUGUCUCACAUGGUGGACGCGAUGUAGUCCUGAUAACAACGGAUGUGGUUGUCAUAGUAUGCCUAGUAGUUGAAGGAACAAUCAUAUCAACUCUUGGAAUGUGCACCGUGCGCUUGUUCUCCUCGUGGCCAACACGUCGUUUUAUUUCCUGUUCAGCUUUACAAGCAAGAUGAAACAAAUGGUCCAUAGGAUAACACUCUUCAUGAAUUAGUAUCUCUUGAAUAUCACGGUUUAAUCCUCCCCAAAAUCUAUCCAUAAAAUCAUCUUCACUUUCUUCUAAAGAGGAAUGCAACAAGGUAGUUUGUAAAUCAUCAUAAUAUUUUGUUACAGUUUCACUACCUUGUUUUAAGUGUUGCAACUUCUUAAUCAUGUCACGAGUAUAAUAAGCAGGGACGAAAGUAUGUCGCAUGGCAAGUUUCAAAUCAUCCCAAGUAGUAUGUAUAUAAUCAGGGUGUAACCGACAAUAUUCACUCCACCAAACCAAAGCAUAACCAGUGAAAGAACCAACCGCAACCUUAACCUUUUUAUGUUCAUCGAAAUUAUGGGAAGCAAAUAUAUUUUUUAUGUCGAACUCCCAUUCAAUAUAUAAAGCAGGUUUAAAACGGCCAUUAAAUGGUGGUAUAGAUACAUUAACCUGAUCAUGUGCAUUUGGAUAUUUGUGCACCUCUCGUGACGGUUGUGGUAUUUGCAAAGGUGGUGGCACGUCUCCCGCGAUCGACGAAGGCCAUGAAUUGACUCUGGAUCCUGUCAUGAUUAGUAGAACAAGAAACAAAACCCAAAAAUAAUGUUCCUAUAACUACUAGGAUGUGGUGGUAAAACGCUCACAGUAAAACAAAUAUCAAUGUCUUACAAGUUCUUACCAUGCAGCAGGCGGUGAUCGGCAACCAGCGGUGUCAAGUAACUCCGAAUAUUGAGUAAAGCGAUUGCCAGGGGAGCAUACGUAUACACGGUGUAGAAAUAUGUGGAGCUGGGUUGGCUAUAUAUGGUAGCAAAAGAUUAGCAAUAAUCAAUUCAAAGAUGCAUUGUUGAAUAAACGCUCAACGACGGUACUGUGCUGGUCCUAGGCUAGACCGGACUAGAGACGCGAGCCUAAAACACUAAUAAGGUCACGGCGUAGCACAACUAGCACCAAUGAAGGAUACUAAGUAGCUCUUGACAGCAAGAUAUAAGUGAAGAUCACAACGGCAGUGAAGAUAAUGAUGAAAAACAACUGCCAAGCAGGAUAUAUAACAACUCUCUCUUCAACUUUCCUCUUGAAAAGUUUGCUACUAACUCAAGCUUUCCAAUGCAAAAAGAAUCACUCAAUUCUGAAUUGAUAUGAGGAGUCAAAGAAUUUUAAAACUGGCCUGAAAAAUUGGAACAAGUUGUGUUCACGAACUUCGGAGAGCAAAAAGACCUAUUUCGAAGACGAUUUUGAGGUGUCAAAUAUUGAACUAGCUUCUGCAACUAUUUACAUGCGGCUCGUCGCUAGCUUCAAUUUGAGUACUCACGGAGCCAAAACGGACUUCAUAUGAGGAAGAUACACCUGUUUUACUGAACAGUGCGCAAAACAGAUUCUAAUCCGAAUUCAGGUACGAGAUUGAUUCUAGAUAGAUCCGAUUUUUUUCUUCUUCUCUCUUUUUUCCUCACGCUUUUUUUUUCUUUUUCUUCUCUCUCUUUUUCUUUUUUUUUCUUUCCUUUUUUUCUCUCUUUUUUCUCUCUUUUUUUUCUCCCUCUUUCCAAGACAAACUAGAUAAGAUGCAGAUUGGAUCAGGCAAAGAUGUGAAUGACCUCAACUAUGAUUAUGACAAUGAACAGCGCGUAACACGUGGUGGAAAUUAAUAGAUGGGAUGGUGGACAGCGGAAGGGAUAAUGAUGCAGCGGCGGCGUGACUAAUGUGAACAGAACUCGAAACUCUAAAGGAACUAGACACUAAGACCAGCAACUAACACGACGAUGCAACCGAUAAUUCAACUAUGCAAGCAACGAAUAGAAAAUUGCAAAGGCUCAGACUGGCUUGGAUAAAGGAUGAACAGAUCUAACUUUUUUUUGUGGCUUUUUCAUGAACUAUAGGUAUGAAUGACAGAUGCGAUCUAAACUAUGAAAAACUGUAAAAUCUCACCGAGCAACCUGAAAACUGAUACCACUUGAUAGAGGCGGGGGUGUCCCGAUCUUUCGAUGAGAUGAUAACUAUCGAUUUGGUGGAGACGACUUUGACGAUUCGACUACAAACGUGCACGACGUUGCGCCUUAGCAAUCGCUAAACCAACUCCGAGAGGUUAUUGAUCACGCCGGAGCACAAUCAACCUGACCACGAAGGUCUAUUCCUGCAAGCAAUCGAAGAACAAGCAAGAAUAUGAUAAAAGCAAUCUGAAUAUUGCGAGUAUAUAUGAAGUAUUGAUAAAGGUGGGGAUCCGUAAGCGGUCUUGGUCUGGUCGUUGGACACAAACGAAGUACACGAAGUUGCAAUGGCUAACUUUUAACUAAACAAAUCCCAAGGAAAAAGCUACUAGAUGGAUCUACUUAUAUAGGAGCAAGGGGUGGAGGCCAAGGAGGUGGGAGGACGUCCCAAGGCAGCCUAAAACUAAAUCUAGGUCGUACAAGGCCAAAGGGCCCAAGUGGAGGUGAUGUAACACCUUUGGACUUGUAGUUUGACUCGGAUUCUGCUGCAGCAUCAGAUUGUUUCGUCCACAACUCAACGCUCCAGACGAAUUUGAAGGUGAUUCCAAUUGGGUUGUAAAGUGCACGAAAUCUAGUUUCCAACAAAAAAAGAAUCACCCAAUUCGGAGUCCGUAUGAAAAACUUGUGUGCGUUUUGAGUCAGGUAUGUCUGUGUAGUCCGAAUCUGAAUCCAGAACGUGAGAGACUUGGACUCUAUCUUCUCUUGGGCCAAAAGUGACGUGAGAGAACUUUUUGGACAGCAAAUAAACAUCUCUUUCUUCCUUAUCUUCAUAUGUGGAUUGUACAAAUGUCCCAUACACUUGCAAUUAGACAAAACACAAAAGUGUGUGAAGUAUUUUUGUUCUGGAUAACAUAAAUAGAUUAUUGAAUAGUUUGCACUAGAAAUCACCUGACAAAUAUGCAUAUAUGCAAUAUUUUUGGUCAUAUCCAAGGUAGUCAUGUCCUCAUCACGUGACUUGGCUUUUUGACAUGUAGUGCAGCGAGCAAUAAAAUGCUCAACAUCCCGUCUCAUCUUUGGCCAAAAGAAAUGUGUAGCAAGUACGUCCUCCGUCUUCUUCACGCCAAAGUGUCCCAUUAAUCCUCCUCCAUGCGCCUCCUGCAACAACAAAAGACGAACGGAGCUAGCUGGAAUGCAUAGCUUGUUAGCACGAAACACAAAUCCAUCGUUAACGACAAACUUGUUCCACAUUCUUCCUUCUUUACAAUUCUGCAUUACAUCUUUAAAAUCAGCAUCAUGCACAUAUUGAUCUUUGAUGGUCUCCAAACCAAAUAUUUUGAAGUCAAGUUGUGAAAGCAUAGUAUAGCGACGAGACAAUGCAUCAGCAAUAACAUUUUCUUUUCCCUUCUUGUGUUUAAUGACAUAAGGGAAAGUCUCAAUAAAUUCAACCCAUUUAGCAUGUCUACGAUUCAGUUUAGCUUGACUUUUAAUAUGUUUCACAGAUUCAUGAUCAGAAUGUAUAACAAAUUCUUUGGGCCAUAAAUAAUGUUGCCAUGUUUCUAAAGUCCGAACAAGAGCAUAUAAUUCUUUAUCGUAAGUAGAAUAAUUCAGACUAGGCCCACUCAAUUUUUCAGAAAAGUAUGCAACAGGUUUGCCAUCUUGUAAUAACACACCUCCUAAUCCAAUUCCACUAGCAUCACAAUCAAGCUCAAAAGUCUUAUUAAAAUCAGGAAGUUGGAGUAAAGGAGCAUGUGUCAACUUAUCUUUCAAUACCGAGAAGGCUUCUUCCUGUGCGGUACCCCAAAGAAAAGGCACAUCUUUCUUUGUAAGCUCAUUGAGAGGUGCAGCAAUAGUGCUGAAAUCUCUCACAAAACGCCUAUAGAAUCCAGCGAGGCCAAGAAAACUCCUCACUUGUGUGACCGUUUUGGGCUGCGGCCAACUCUCAAUAGCUUCAAUCUUGGCUGUAUCAACUUCAAUUCCCUGUGGAGUAACAACAUAGCCAAGAAAAGAUACUCGGUCGGUGCAAAAGGUGCACUUCCCAAGGUUACCAAACAAACGUGCAUCACGUAGAGCAAUAAAAACAGCACAUAAAUGUUCCAAAUGUUCUUCCAAAGAUCUGCUAUAAAUCAGUAUAUCAUCAAAAUAGACUACCACAAAUCGUCCAAUGAAAGCACGUAAAACUUCGUUCAUUAGUCUCAUGAAAGUACUAGGCGCAUUAGUUAACCCAAAAGGCAUGACUAACCACUCAUAUAAUCCAAACUUAGUUUUAAAUGCUGUUUUCCCUUCAUCCCCCAAUUUCAUACGAAUUUGAUGGUAUCCACUAUGCAAAUCAACUUUGGAGAAUAUUGUAGAGCCACUCAAUUCAUCAAGCAUAUCAUCUAGCCUAGGAAUAGGAUGGCGAUAACGAAUAGUAAUAUUAUUAAUGCCUCUACAAUCAACACACAUACGCGAUGUACCAUCCUUUUUCGGCACUAGAAUAAUAGGAACAGCACAAGGACUAAGGGAUUCGCGUAUAUAACCUUUGUCGAGAAGCUCUUGUACUUGACGCAUAAUCUCCUUCGUCUCCUCUGGAUUGGUACGGUAUGGCGCACGGUUUGGCAGUGAAGCACCGGGAAUUAAGUCGAUCUGAUGCACAAUCCCUCGAAUAGGUGGUAAUCCCGGUGGCACGUCUUGUGGAAAGACGUCAGCGAACUCCUGUAAAAUGUUAGUGAUAGCAGGAGGCAAAGAGGAAGGCACGUCCUCGAAUGAAAAUAAUGCCUCUUUGCACACAAAAGCAUAGCAAACAGAUUUGCUGAAAUCUAGCUCAUCAAUAUCAGAUUUGGUGGCAAAUAAACAUGCACUUUUCAAUUUAAUUUCAGAAGCAACACUAGAUGGUUUAUUAUUAGGCUUCAUUUGUUGCUCAAAUUCUUUUGCCACAAUCUGAUUUUCACUCUUAGUCUUCUCUUGUUUUGCUUUAUUAGCUCUAUUAAUAUCAUCUUUCAAAAUAGAAUCAGGAGUCAUAGGAAGCAAAGUAAUAUUUUUAUCCUUAUGAACAAGAGUAUACUAAUUGUUUCUACCAUGGUGUACAGAAUUUUUAUCAAAUUGCCAUGGUCUACCAAGUAAUAAGGAACAUGCUUGCAUAGGUACCACAUCACAAUCAACAUAAUCAACAUAUGUAGAUAUACUAAAAUGCACACGAACAGUACGUGUUACCUUAACCUUGUCGCUGUUGUUGAACCAUUGGAUGUAGUAAGGAUGUGGAUGUGGUCUUGUGGUGAGAGAAAGCUUCUCCACCAUCUCCAUGCUAGCCAAGUUGUUGCAGCUCCCUCCAUCUAUGAUGACGCGCACAGAACGUUCUUUCACAACUCCCUUGGUAUGGAACAAAUUGUGCCUCUGAUUUUGCUCAGCUUGUGUGACCUGCACACUCAAAACACGUUGAGCAACUAAACAUUCAUACCUGUCAACGUCUUCAGGAGCCAUGUAUUGCGUCUCAUGAUCAGAAUCAUCUCCACCAUGUUCUUCACGUGUAAUAAGAGCCAAAGUCUCCUCAUCAUAGUCACUAGCAGACUCAUAUCCACCAUCCGCGGUAGCAAUCAUCACACGCGGAGUUUUGCAUUCUCUCGCAUAAUGACCUCCUCCCUUACAACGACGAAAAAUAAUAUCACUUGUGUGCCCUGUUGAUGCUAUGGAAGAAGAAGAACACUGUGUAGGCCCCGCAGGUGCGCUCUUGGCAGAUAAUGGUGGUUGUGCAUGUUUUCUUGUAUCACGGCAGGAGGUGGCACCUGAUGGAGGUGCUGGUGCAGUUGAAGUAGAAGAUGCACGUGGUGUCCAUGAUGAAGGUCGGCCUGCAGAAAAGUUAGUUCGCCCCAAUGCUUGUCGAUCCUGCACUUCACGUUCAGCUUUACAAGCAAGAUGGAAUAAACGAGUGAUAUUAGUAUACUCCUUAUAGUCUAGAAUGGUCUGAAUCUCUCUAUUUAAUCCACCCAGAAAACGUGCAAGCAUAGCUUCAUUCUCCUCAACAAUACCACAUCUAAUCAUGCCAGUUUGUAAUUCCUGAUAAUAUUCUUCUACAGAAUUUUUCCCUUGUCUUAAACGCUGCAAUUUUUGAAGCAAUUUCGGUUGAUAAUAAGGUGGAACCCAACGCGUACGCAUAGCAGUUUUCAAAGCAGCCCAAGUAGUUGGAAUAGGAUAUAAUCUACAAUGUUCAGACCACCAUACACAUGCAAAACUAGUGAAAGCACAAACAGCAGCAGCAACUCGUCUCUCCUCAGGAUAUUGUAAACAUGUAAAUCGUUGUUCAGUUUCUAACUCCAAAGUAAGAUAUAUAUCAGGAACAUAUCUACCCUCAAAUGGUGGAAUAUUCAAUUUCAGUUUAGGAAUAUGGACAUCAUCUCGUACCUGAGGUGGUGGUGCAGGCCUACCAUUACGAAUAUAUACCUGAGGUCGACCUGCUGGUGGUGGUGCAGGUGGCUGCACGUAGUGCUGAUUUUGAUCACCUCAUCUUCAUAAUCUCCCACAUAAUCAUCCUCCUCCGCAUCAGCAGCAGGAGCCACAGAAGUAUCAACAGCAGCACCAACAGUUUGGCCAAACGCAAGAGGAACACGGCUCGCUCGGUGAAGGUCUGUUUCGCGACGUGGAGGUAGUCGUUGUUGUUGUUGUUGUUGGAGAGAUGCGUUAGGUGCAGCGGGUGGUGGUGGUGGAAGACGCGCGAGCAAUUCAUUAAACUUGUUAUCGAGCUUUGUUUCGAACGUCUUCUCCAUGCCAUCUAUCUUCUCCAUGGCCUCUUCAAAUCUGUUUAGCACAUCUUGCACCUAUCCACUCAUCAUUUGCUGAAAUUUAUCAUGCAAAUCCUUGUUCGUCAUGUUCUCCCAGUCAGUCUCGUCGGCUUGUGAUCCUGGCAUGGUUAGCAGCAAUAGAAACACACAAGAAUAUGAUCCUACAGACUACUAACAAGAGGUGGUGGUGGGUGUCACAAAUCCGUCAAGCAAAUCUCAAAUUCUUACCAGUUCUUACCCAGCAGCAGGCGGUGAUCGGCAACCGUUGUAGUCAAAAACUCUCAAAGCUUGGAUAGAGCGAUUACCAGGGAGAGUCAAACGCACGACGUAGAUGUAUGUGGAGCUGGGAAGGCUUAUAAUAUGGUAGCAAAAAGGGUCAGCAAUAAUCAAUUCAGAGAUGCAAAGUUGAAUAAACGCUCAACGACGGUACUGUGCUGGUCCUAGGCUAGACCGUGCUAGAGACGCGAGCCUAGAACACUAACAAAAUCACGGCGCUGCACGUAAACAAGGGAAAAGCACACUCUGGAAUAUAUUUUUUUUCGCUCUUUUUUUUGUGCUGUUUUUUUUUUGCGCUGCUAUUUUUUUUGGCGAAAAAUCACUAUAAUGGCGAGUGUCUCAAAACUCUUCCCAGGUCAAACUGACAGGAUGGGCACGAAAUUUUUUCGACCAAUUUUUUUUUUUCGACUGCCUCGACCCAAAAACUGGAAACGGGUCAAAAAAAACUUUCUAUAACGGCGACUGUCUCAAUACGCUUAGAAACACCUAAAAUUAGGAUAGCCAGAAAAUUUUUUGUCAAGUGCGUUUUCCGAAAAUUUUGGGCCUAAACGGAGCGUGGUUUCCGGACUCUUUUUUUUUCUUUUUUUUUGCCGAAACCUACUCCGACAAGGAAACACGAAUCGGAAACUAGAUGGAUCUCGAAAACAAACCUAAUAUGACAAGAACUCGGAUUGGAGGUGGAUAUAUGGUGGUAGAUGGCAGCGGUGGUGGUAUAUGACAGCGGUGGUGGUAUAUGGAUACGGAUUCGAAGCGGUGGCGGAUAAGCGGUGGUGGUAGAUGGCAGGGGCGAUGAUGAUGGUGCGGCGGCGGCGUGACAACUUAUGACCAGAACUCGAAACUCUAAAAGACUAGACUCUAAGACCAGCAACUAGACACGACGAUGCAACCGCAAAUUCAACAAAGCAAAACCCUAAAAAGAUUAUGCAAAGGCUCAGAUUGGUUCGGAUAUGAUGAACUAACCCUAAUUUUUUUUUGGCUUUUUCGUGGACUGUAGGUAUGAAAAACAGACUCGAUCUAAACUACAAAAAACUGUAAAAUCUCACCGAGCAACCUGGAAAUCUGAUACCACUUGAUAGAGGCAAAGGUGUCCCGUCUUUCGAUGAGAUGAUGGAUAUCGCUUUGGUGAAAGUCGACUUUGACGAUCCGACUACGAACGUGCGAGGACGUCGCGCCUUAGCAAUCGCUAAACCAACUCCGAGAGCUCGCGCACAGCCCCUGCUGCUAUACAUACUGGACCAACUACUAGAGCUCGCGCACGCCAACUAAAUUACCAAGUACUUUCGUUUCUUGGUAAUGAUUCUAAUGUUCAUGAGAAUAUGAUGCUGCCUAAAUUGGAUACAUUUGUUUUGCUUACAAAUGAAGGGCCUAGCUUGGAGAAGGAUGAACAUUGGAGCAAGAACAAGCAUGGAGAUGAUGGCAUGCGCAAGGGGAACAAGAACAGAGUUACAAGUGAUGAUUUCAGGUCUUUGAAGCCUCCAUAACGAGUGCAUGAAGCCUUGGACGAAAUAUACAAGAUGUCACUUCAUAAAUUUCGUCCAGAGGCUAUUAUAGGUGUUGCGUCAUCUUUUUAUUGGGCCAGGCCCAUGUAAUUUCGAAAUACAUAAGUAUAGGCUAUUUUUAGAGUCCAUAUGUGUGGGGAGACAAGAGAUAGGGUUGAUUUCGGACCCCUCCACCAAGGGCCACGAAAUUCCCCCUCUCUUCCUCCAUAUAUACAGCCCUUAGGGCACCGUUUAGACUUUGGGUUUUGUUUAGAUUAAAAGUUCGCCAUAGCUGCAACUUCGCGUACUUCGUUUGUGUUCAACGACCAGACAAAGGCGUCACAGAACCCCACCUUGAUCAAUAAAGCUUUCAUCUUAUAUUCGCAAUAUCCAGAUUGCAAUCUUAGUUUCUUGCUUGUUCUUCGUUUGCUCGCAGGAAACAGACCCUCGUGGUCAGGUUGAUCGUGCUCCGGCGUGGUCAAUAACCUCUCGGAGUUGGUUUGGCGAUUGCUAAGGCGCGACGUCCUCGCACGUUCGUAGUCGGAUCGUCAAAGUCGACUUCCACCAAAGCGAUAUCCAUCAUCUCAUCGAAAGAUGGGACACCUUUGCCUCUAUCACCGGGUGAGAGAGAGGGCAACGAGGGAGAGAAGGGAAGGAGAAGGCCGGAAGGGAGGCAGGGGCGCGCAGGGUCCUGCUGCAGGUGGUCGCCGGCUAUGAGGGGGUUGGUCUAGUUAGAAAUUCGAGGAGGAUUUUUGGAUUUGGGGAGGAUCCCAAGGUAUGAGAUGCUGGCGGCGGUGGGAUGGGACAAGGGUCCUAAUUUUUAGGGUUUGUCCAAAUAGACUAUGAUAGAGGCGAGGGUCCCGAUCCUUCGAUGAGAUGAUAACUAUCGAUUUGGUGGAGACGACUUUGACGAUCCGACUACAAACGUGCACGACGUUGCGCCUUAGCAAUCGCUAAACCAACUCCGGGAGGUUAUUGACCACGUUGGAGCACGAUCAACCUGACCAUGAAGGUCUAUUCCUGCAAGCAAUCGAAGAACAAGCAAGAAUAUGAUUAAGCAAUCUGAAUAUUGCGAGUAUGGAUGAAGUAUUGAUAAAAGUGGGGUUUCAUAAGUGGUCUUGGUCUGGUCGUUGGACACAAACGAAGUACACGAAGUUGCAGCGAUGGCUGACUUUUAACUAAAUAAAACCCAAGUCUAAACGAAGCCUUAAGGGCUAUAUAUAUAGGGAAAAGAGAGGGGAUUUUGUCCACCCUUGGCAAGGUGGGACUAAAACACCUCCUAAGUCGUUUCCCCUAUAAUAUGGACUCUAAAAAUAGAUUACAUGGGCCUGGCCUAAAAUAAGGUGGCGCGACACCGAUAAUAAGCUAUGGAGGAAAUUUAUGAAAGGCCAUCUUGUAUAUUUCGUCCAUCUUCUUGUAUGUCAUCAUGGUGGCUUCAAAGUCCAGAAAUCUCCACUUGAACCUCCGUUCUUGUUCUCUUUGCACGCACCUUCAUCUCCGUGCUUGAUCAUGCUCCAAUGUUCAUCCUCAUUGUCCGUGUUAGGCCCUUCAAUUGCAAGCAACACAAAUGUAUCUAAGUUAGGCAGCAUCAUAUUCUCAUGAACACUAGAAACAUUACCAAGAAACGAAAGUACCUGAUAAUUUAAUUGGCGUAUCUGAGCUCUAGCAACUGUUCCAAGAGGUAAAACAACUGGGGAUAUGGGUGUAACUGUGGUAGCCAUGUCCUCAUCAUCCUCCCCUUCUUGAAAAAAAAGCUGUCCUCGGCGUUGCUUAAUCUGAAAUAUGGCUAACAAUAGAGACAAGGUGUACACGUUGUAUAUGUAUAUGUCAUCCAUUUUAACUGAUCUCAGUUGUGGCACAUGUGACACAGUUAUACAAGAGCACCCUUCAAAAGUCGUGAAAAAUAAAGCCAAUAUAUUAUCACAAGAAGUCAAAGGCAUGAAAAUAUUGCAACUCAGUUUGCACAUAUAAGUGAAGCUCUUAUUCAUAAUAAAAGAUUGGCAAUGCUCAUCAUUAAACCAUCCCAACCUUGAUGAACCACCACCAAGAUUAGAGGUCAUAUCAAAAUGAUUAAACAUUGGCACAACUAUUUUCAAACGUAUUUGAUCCAAAUCUGAUCUUUUCACUGAUUCACAUGGUUCUUUUGCAUCAAUUGUUAAUUCAAUGGGUUCACGCAAAAUUGUUUGAUCACAUGGCAAAGUCAAAUCAUGAACAUAUUCCUCUAAAAUAGCUGGUGUGAUCAAAGUAGUGGGUAGCUCAUUGCAUGGUUCAUUUAAAUUGACAAGGCAUUCAUCAUACUCAUGUGGAGGUGGAAGAUCGGUACCUUUGUCAUUACCUCUUAUGAUCAACAAAGAUGAUGUAGGCACUCUAGGUGGCGACAUGUCACAUGGUGGAGGUGAUGUAGUGCUCUCAACAAUGGAUGUUGUUGCCAUAGGAGACGCAGUGGUGGAAGGAACAACCGUCGCAACUCAUGGGAUUUGCACCUUCCGCUUGUUUAUCUUGUGGGCAACACGUCUUGUUAUCUCCUGUUCAGCUUUGCAAGCAAGAUGAAACAAACGGUCCAUAGGAUAACAUGUUUCAUGAAUUAGUAUCUCCUGAAUGUCACGGUUUAAUCCUCCCCAAAAUCUAUCCAUAAAUUAUUCUUCACUUUCUUCUAAAGAGGAAUGCAACAAGGUAGUUUGUAAAUCAUCAUAAUAUUUCAUUACAGUGUCACUACCUUGUUUUAAAUGUUGCAACUUUUUAAUCAUGUCACGAGUAUAAUAAGCGGGGACGAAUGUAUGUCGCAUGGCAAGUUUCAAAUCAUCCCAAGUAAUAGGUAUAUAAUCAGGGUGUAACUGAUGAGGACAUGACUACCUUGGAUAUGACCAAAAAUAUUGCAUAUAUGCAUAUUUGUCAGGUGAUUUCUAGUGCAAACUAUUCAAUAAUCUAUUUAUGUUAUCCAGAACAAAAAUACUUCACACACUUUUGUGUUUUGUGUAAUUGCAGGUGUAUGGGACAUUUGUACAAUCCACAUAUGAAGAUAAGGAAGAAAGAGAUGUUUAUUUUCUCUCCAAAAAGUUCUCUCACGUCACUUUUGGCCCAAGAGAAGAUAGAGUCCAAGUCUCUCACGUUCUGGAUUCAGAUUCGGACUGCACAGACACACCUGACUCAAAACGCACACAAGUUUUUCAUACGGACUCCGAAUUGGGUGAUUCUUUUUUUGUUGGAAACUAGAUUUCGUGCACUUUCCAACCCAAUUGGAAUCCCCUUCAAAUUCGUCCGGAGCGUUGAGUUGUGUACGAAACAAUCUGAUGCUGCAGCAGAAUCCGAGUCAAACUACAAGUCCAAAGGUGUUACAUCACCUCCACUUGGGCCCAUUGGCCUUGUACGACCUAGAUUUAGUUUUAGGCUGCCUUGGGACGUCCUCCCACCUCCUUGGCCGCCACCCCUUGCUCCUAUAUAAGUAGAUCCAUCUAGUAGCUUUUCCUUGGGAUUUGUUUAGUUAAAAGUUAGCCAUUGCAACUUCGUGUAUUUCGUUUGUGUCCAACGACCAGACCAAGACCGCUUCUGGAUCCCCACCAUUAUCAAUACUUCAUAUUUAUUUGCAAUAUUCAGAUUGCUUUAUCAUAUUCUUGCUCGUUCUUCGAUUGCUUGCAGGAAUAGACCUUCGUGGUCAGGCUGACCGUGCUUGCAGCAUCGUCAGUAACCUCAGGAGAUUGGUUUAGCGAUUGCUAAGGCGCAACGUCGUGCACGUUUGUAGUCGGAUCGUCAAAGUCGUCUCCACCAAAUCGAUAGUUAUCAUCUCAUCGAAAGAUCGGGACCCUCGCCUCUAUCAAGUGGUAUCAGUUUUCAGGUUGCUCGGUGAGAAUUUCCAGUUUUCCUAGAUUAGAUUUAUUUUCUUACCUAUUGUCCAAGAAAAAGCCACAAAAAAGAGUUAGAUCUAUUCAUCCUUGGUCCAAGCCAAUCUGAGCCUUUGCAAUUUUCUUUUCAUUGCUUGCAUAGUUGAAUUAUCGGUUGCAUCGUCGUGUCGAGUUGCUGGUCUUAGUGUCUAGUUCGUUUAGAGUUUCGAGUUCUGUUCACAUUAGUCACGCCACCGCUGCAUCAUUAUCUCUUCCGCUGUCCACCACCCAUCCAUCAAUUUCCACCACGUGCUACCCAUCAUUCAUUGUCAUAAUAAUAGUUGAGAUCGUUCACAUCUUCACUUGAUCCAAUCUGCAUCUUAUCUAGUUUGUUUUGGAAAGAGGGAGAAAAAAAGAGAAAAAAAAGGAGAGAAAAAAAAGGAGAAAAAAAAAGUCAGAAAAAAAAAGGAGAGAAAGAAAAAAAAAGUGUGAGGAAAAAAAAGAGAAGAAAAAAAAACAAAAAAAUCGGCACAAACUUUUUUCAGAGGAAAGUUGGAGACAAAGUUGUUGAUAUAUCCUGCUUGGCUGUUGUUUCACCUCAUUAUCUUUACUGCCGCUGUGAUCUUCACUUAUAUCUUGCUGUCCAGAGCUACUUAGUAUCCUUCAUUGAUGCUAGUUGUGCUACGCCGUGACCUCAUUAGUGUUCUAGGCUCGCGUCUCUAGUCCGGUCUAGCCUAGGACCAGCACAGUACCGUCGUUGAGCGUUUAUUCAACAUUGCAUCUUUGAAUUGAUUAUUGCUAAUCUUUUGCUACCAUAUAUAGCCAACCCAGCUCCACAUAUUUCUACACCGUGUAUACGUACGCUCCCCUGGCAAUCGCUUUACUCAAUAUUCGGAGUUACUUGACACCGCUGGUUGCCGAUCACCGCCUGCUGCAUGGUAAGAACUUGUAAGACAUUGAUAUUUGCUUUACUGUGAGCGUUUUACCACCACAUCCUAGUAGUUAUAGGAACAUUAUUUUUGGGUUUUGUUUCUUGUUCUACUAAUCAUGACAGGAUCCAGAAUCAAUUCAUGGGCUUUGUCGAUCGCGGGAGACGUGCCACAACCUUUGCAAAUACCACAACCGUCACGAGAGGUGCACAAACAUCCAAAUGCACAUGAUCAGGUUAAUGUAUCUAUACCACCAUUUAAUGGCCGUUUUAAACCUGCUUUAUAUAUUGAAUGGGAGUUCGACAUAAAAAAUAUAUUUGCUUCCCAUAAUUUCAAUGAACAUAAAAAGGUUAAGGUUGCGGUUGGUUCUUUCACUGGUUAUGCUUUGGUUUGGUGGAGUGAAUAUUGUCGGUUACACCCUGAUUAUAUACCUACUACUUGGGAUGAUUUGAAACUUGCCAUGCGACAUACUUUCGUCCCUGCUUAUUAUACUCGUGACAUGAUUAAGAAGUUGCAACACUUAAAACAAGGUAGUGAAACUGUAACAAAAUAUUAUGAUGAUUUACAAACUACCUUGUUGCAUUCCUCUUUAGAAGAAAGUGAAGAUGAUUUUAUGGAUAGAUUUUGGGGAGGAUUAAACCGUGAUAUUCAAGAGAUACUAAUUCAUGAAGAGUGUUAUCCUAUGGACCAUUUGUUUCAUCUUGCUUGCAAAGCUGAACAGGAAAUAAAACGACGUGUUGGCCACGAGGAGAACAAGCGCACGGUGCACAUUUCAAGAGUUGAUAUGAUUGUUCCUUCAACUACUAGGCAUACUAUGACAACCACAUCCGUUGUUGUCAGGACUACAUCACCUCCACCAUGUGACCCAUCGCCCUCGAGAGUGACUACAUCAUCUGAGUUGAUCAUAAGAGGUAAUGACAAAUGUACUGAUCUUCCAUCUCUACAUGAGAAUGAUGAAUGCCUUGUCAAUUUGAAUGCACCAUCUGAUGAGCUACCCACUACUUUGAUCACACCACCUAUUUUAGAGGACUACGUUCAUAAUUUGACUUUGCCAUGUGAUCAAACAACUGAAAUACCAACAAUUUUGAGUGCACCCAUCGAAUUAACUAUUGAUGCAAAAGAACCAAUGUUUAAUCAUUUUGAUAUGACCUCUAAUCUUGGUGAUGAUUCUGUGUUGAAUGACUUAUUGCAUGUUUGCUUAUUUAAGCAUGUUGCAGCAUGUAAAUUUGAUGCAAGCAAGGUUUAUUCACCAAUGUUGGGAUGGUUUAAUGAUGAACAUUGUCAAUCUUUUGAAAUGAAUAAGAGCUUCACUUAUAUGUGCAAACUGAGUUGCAAUAUUUUCAUGCCUUCUACUUCUUGUGCUAAUCUUUUGGCUUUAGAUUUUAUGAACUAUGCAAGUUACUCAUCUAUUCAUGUGUCAUAUAUGCAAAAAUCAAGGGAAGUAAAAAUGGAUGACAUAUACAUAUACAACAUGUACACCUUGUCUCUUUUGUUAGCCACAUUUCAGAUUAAGCAACGCCGAGGACGGCUUUAUUUUCAAGAAGGGGAGGAUGAUGAGGACAUGACUACCUUGUAUAUGACCAAAAAUAUUGCAUAUAUGCAUAUUUGUCAGGUGAUUUCUAGUGCAAACUAUUCAAUAAUCUAUUUAUGUUAUCCAGAACAAAAAUACUUCACACACUUUUGUGUUUUGUCUAAUUGCAGGUGUAUGGGACAUUUGUACAAUCCACAUAUGAAGAUAAGGAAGAAAGAGAUGUUUAUUUUCUCUCCAAAAAGUUCUCUCACGUCACUUUUGGCCCAAGAGAAGAUAGAGUCCAAGUCUCUCACGUUCUGGAUUCAGAUUCGGACUGCACAGACACACCUGACUCAAAACGCACACAAGUUUUUCAUACGGACUCCGAAUUGGGUGAUUCUUUUUUUGUUGGAAACUAGAUUUCGUGCACUUUCCAACUCAAUUGGAAUCACCUUCAAAUUCGUCCGGAGCGUUGAGUUGUGUACGAAACAAUCUGAUGAUGCAGCAGAAUCCGAGUCAAACUACAAGUCCAAAGGUGUUACAUCACCUCCACUUGGGCCCAUUGGCCUUGUACGACCUAUAUUUAGUUUUAGGCUGCCUUGGGACGUCCUCCCACCUCCUUGGCCGCCACCCCUUGCUCCUAUAUAAGUAGAUCCAUCUAGUAGCUUUUCCUUGGGAUUUGUUUAGUUAAAAGUUAGCCAUUGCAACUUCGUGUACUUCGUUUGUGUCCAACGACCAGACCAAGACCGCUUCUGGAUCCCCACCAUUAUCAAUACUUCAUAUUUAUUUGCAAUAUUCAGAUUGCUUUAUCAUAUUCUUGCUCGUUCUUUGAUUGCUUGCAGGAAUAGACCUUCGUGGUCAGGCUGACCGUGCUUCCAGCAUCGUCAGUAACCUCAGGAGAUUGGUUUAGCGAUUGCUAAGGCGCAACGUCGUGCACGUUUGUAGUCGGAUCGUCAAAGUCGUCUCCACCAAAUCGAUAGUUAUCAUCUCAUCGAAAGAUCGGGACCCUCGCCUCUAUCAGUAACCGACAAUAUUCACUCCACCAAACUAAAGCAUAACCAGUGAAAGAACCAACCGCAACCUUAACUUUUUUAUGUUCAUCAAAAUUAUGGGAAGCAAAUAUAAUAUUUAUGUCGAACUCCCAUUCAAUAUAUAAAGCAGGUCUAAAACGGCCAUUAAAUGAUGGUAUAGAAACAUUAACCUGAUCAUGUGCAUUUGGAUGUUUAUGCACCUCUCGUGAUCGUUGUGGAAUUUGCAUAGGUGGUGGCACGUCUCCCGCGAUCGACAAAGCCCAUGGAUGGACUCUAGAUCCUGUCAUGAUUAGUAGAAACAAGAAACAAAAUCCAAAAAUAAUGUUCCUAUAACUACUAGGAUGUGGUAGUAAAACGCUCACAGGAAAGCAAAUAUCAAUGUCUUACAAUGUCUUACCAUGCAGCAGGCGGUGAUCGGCAACCAGCGGUGUCAAGUAACUCCAAAAGUUGGGUAAAGCGAUUGCUAGGUGAACGUAUGGAUAGACGGUGUAGAAAUAUGUGGAGCUGGGUUGGCUUUAUAUAUGUGGGAAAAAAUGCUACAACCACGUUAAUUAGUGCAAGCUGAAAAUUCUUUCAAAGUGGUCGAGUGCUGAUCCUAGGCUAGACCGUGCUAGAGACGCGAGCCUAAGACACAAAUGAAAUUCACGUGCCCUGGCAACCAAGUACUCAAGUUGCAACAAAAAAAAUAUGAGCAACGUAGCAACAAGCCAAACGAGCAAUACUACAAGUAUGUAUGAUAUCUGCAAAUAUUUGGUAUGCGGCUAAUCUCUCUUUUCUUUUGUUUCUGCCUCAAUGUCUUUCUCCCUCACGUGCAACUUCUUUUUUUUUGCCCGAUAAACAAUUUCCAAGUACUACCGAACAAACGUGAUUGCUCUUCUUUUUUUUCACUAUCCAGUUCCUUUUCUUUUUCUUCCUAUUCUCCGAUUUUCUUUUUGAAUCCUUCCAAAAGAUGAGCACGCAGCACAUUAAUGUCUCCUAUCCCAAAACUUCCAAAGAAAACAUCCACGUUAUCCCCUUCCUUUAUUGGCUGAUCUCUUCUCUUUAUUGGCUGAUCCCUUUUCUCGUUGUGUUGGCCGAUCUGUUUUUUUUUUUGACUUUCCAAUUAGUAGGCACAACUCACGUCCUUCCUUCCUUCCUUCUUUCCCUUUUUUUUAAAGAAAAUUGCCCCAAAAACGGCCACCAACCAAACCGAUUGGCACUUGCCUUUUUUUAAUCUUUUCCUUAUCUCUUUUGGCAACGUCCAAAAAUAAUUCCUCACAAUAAAUGCCGAUUCCAAAACCUGCACCACCACGUUACUUCUCUCUCUCUCUCUCCUGCUGUUUUUUUCUAUCUUCCAAACUCUGACUCUUUUUUUUCGUUGGAUUAGUCAAUAAAAAAAUCCACCAACGUGAAUUGCUAGGACUCCAAACCGAAUAGGUUUUAUUAUUUGUUCUUUCUUUUCAAGAAACGUCCAAAAUAUGGAAACCUCGAACCGAAUCUGUACUCUUUAAUUCCUCCCCUCCUGUUUCUUUUUGGCUGAUCAAAAUUUGUGGGACUUGUUUCCACGCAUAUCUAACAACCAAAGUAAACUUUCUCUAUGUUCCUUUUAUUCCACCAACCUCUCUUUUCUCUCUCUCUCUCUCUCUCUCUCUCUCUCUCUCUCUCUCUCUCUCUUUGCAGCGAUCUCCACGGAUCCAAACUAGUACUAUGAUUCGGUCAGCCAAAAGAAGGAUUCAAUCAGAUCUGCACUUUCCUUUCUUUGCCUUCAAUGAUUAGGAAACUUUCCAAGAACUACGCUGCUAUUUUUAUUUCUCAAAUCUGCACAAGAUUACCACGUGAUGCCUUUACUUGGAAACGAAAUCUUUUUUUUAACUCCAACAUUGGUUGCUCGUUAUCUUCUUUGAUUUUUCUUCUCCUUCUCACUCUCCAACAAAAAUCCAAACGUCCAAUACUUGGAAACAGACCAGCACGUCCUCCUUUGCUUUCUUUCUCCUUAUUUACCACAACAAACAGGGAUUUAUGGACACAGAUCGGCGCUUGCCUUUUCUUUCACGGAUGAUCCCUUCUUUCCUUAAAACCAGCCACGUACUGUUUCCAAACGAACUUGCCUUUUUUUGGGCGACCAAAUCUUGCCACGAAUCUGCUAGUAGCUCGGUUUCCAACUAAAGCAAUCCCAACGAGGCAACAACACGAAUUUCCUUCCAACCUAGAAAACAGAUCAACGCUGGACUCUCCUUUCCUUUUUUUAGCGAUUCUUUUCGUUUGCUUAACAAACCAGGAAACUUUCCAAGUAAUACCACGUCCUCCUUUUCUUCUUUUAUUUUCGCCCUUUGUAUUUCCUGGCCGAACCAAUCUCUUUCCUUCUUCUCUCACCUCAAAACGCUCACUUUCCUUAUAUACGUUUUCUUCAUUCCUGUUUUUUUCUUUCCUCCAAUUUUUUUUCUGAUUUUUGUAACUCCACGAUCACAAGGACUUUUCCCUUCGAUCCAAACCUUCUGAAUGUUUUUUUUGCAAAGGAUGGAAAGAACAAUGGCGGCUGCAAGACAAUAACAGAUGAUAGCGACAACAAUAAAAGUGUGUGGACGGUCGUGAUGGCGACGAGCAAAAGAUUCUGUAGUGGAAGAUGACAACAAGGUGAAUGAUGGUGUUUGCGGAAGCGACGUGAACAAAACGUGCUCAGAACUCGAAACUCUAAAAUACUAGACCUAAACCAGCAACUCGACACACGAUGCAACCGAAAAUUCAACAAUGCAAAAACUAAGUGAUAAUAGCAAAAGGCUCAGACUGUCUGGGACACGGAUGAACUAAUCUAACUCUUUUUUGGUGGCUUUUUCUUGGACUCUAGGUACGAAGAACAUAUGCAAUCUAGACUAUGAAAAACUGGAAAUCUCACCGAGCAACCUGAAAACUGAUACCACUUGAUAGACGCGAGGGUCCCGAUCCUUCGAUGAGAUGAUAACUAUCGAUUUGGUGGAGACGACUUUGACGAUCCGACUACAAACGUGCACGACGUUGCGCCUUAGCAAUCGCUAAACCAACUCCGGGAGGUUAUUGACCACGUUGGAGCACGAUCAACCUGACCAUGAAGGUCUAUUCCUGCAAGCAAUCGAAGAACAAGCAAGAAUAUGAUUAAGCAAUCUGAAUAUUGCGAGUAUGGAUGAAGUAUUGAUAAAAGUGGGGUUUCAUAAGCGGUCUUGGUCUGGUCGUUGGACACAAACGAAGUACACGAAGUUGCAGCGAUGGCUGACUUUUAACUAAAUAAAACCCAAGUCUAAACGAAGCCUUAAGGGCUAUAUAUAUAGGGAAAAGAGAGGGGAUUUUGUCCACCCUUGGCAAGGUGGGACUAAAACACCUCCUAAGUCGUUUCCCCUAUAAUAUGGACUCUAAAAAUAGAUUACAUGGGCCUGGCCUAAAAUAAGGUGGCGCGACACCAAUAAUAAGCUAUGGAGGAAAUUUAUGAAAGGCCAUCUUGUAUAUUUCGUCCAUCUUCUUGUAUGUCAUCAUGGUGGCUUCAAAGUCCGGAAAUCUCCACUUGAACCUCCAUUCUUGUUCUCUUUGCACGCACCUUCAUCUCCGUGCUUGACCAUGCUCCAAUGUUCAUCCUUCUUGUUCGUGCUAGGCCCUUCAAUUGCAAGCAACACAAAUGUAUCUAAGUUAGGCAGCAUCAUAUUCUCAUGAACACUAGAAACAUUACCAAGAAACGAAAGUACCUGAUAAUUUAAUUGGCGUAUCUGAGCUCUAGCAACUGUUCCAAGAGGUAAAACAACAGGGGAUAUGGGUGUAACUGUGGUAGCCAUGUCCUCAUCAGACUAGGAGUGGAGUAUAUAUAUACCUCACAGACUAGGUUAGGGGCUACCUCGUCCCUACGAUCGCAAUCGGACGAUCGCGGAUAAAAUAGCUAGGGAGUCCAAAAAGGAAAACAGUGACAUUUUGUAGAUGUUUGGGGAUGAUCCAGACUCAACGGUGACGACUGCUCGGGUCGGGUCCGGGACAACUUCCGGACGUGCGCGAGGGGUUCGAUGCACUGUGCAGAGAGUGAUGAGGACAUGACUACCUUGGAUAUGACCAAAAAUAUUGCAUAUAUGCAUAUUUGUCAGGUGAUUUCUAGUGCAAACUAUUUAAUAAUCUAUUUAUGUUAUCCAGAACAAAAAUACUUCACACACUUUUGUGUUUUGUCUAAUUGCAGGUGUAUGAGACAUUUGUACAAUCCACAUAUGAAGAUAAGGAAGAAAGAGAUGUUUAUUUGCUGUCCAAAAAGUUCUCUCACGUCACUUUUGGCCCAAGAGAAGAUAGAGUCCAAGUCUCUCACGUUCUGGAUUCAGAUUUGGACUGCACAGACACACCUGACUCAAAACGCACACAAGUUUUUCAUACGGACUCCGAAUUGGGUGAUUCUUUUUUUGUUGGAAACUAGAUUUAGUGCACUUUCCAACCCAAUUGGAAUCACCUUCAAAUUCGUCCGGAGCGUUGAGUUGUGGACGAAACAAUCUGAUACUGCAGCAGAAUCCGAGUCAAACUACAAGUCCAAAGGUGUUACAUCACCUCCACUUGGGCCCAUUGGCCUUGUACGACCUAGAUUUAGUUUUAGGCUGCCUUGGGACGUCCUCCCACCUCCUUGGCCGCCACCCCUUGCUCCUAUAUAAGUAGAUCCAUCUAGUAGCUUUUCCUUGGGAUUUGUUUAGUUAAAAGUUAGCCAUUGCAACUUCGUGUACUUUGUUUGUGUCCAACGACCAGACCAAGACCGCUUACGGAUACCCACCUUUAUCAAUACUUCAUAUAUACUCGCAAUAUUCAGAUUGCUUUUAUCAUAUUCUUGCUUGUUCUUCGAUUGCUUGCAGGAAUAGACCUUCGUGGUCAGGUUGAUUGUGCUUCGGCGUGGUCAAUAACCUCUCGGAGUUGGUUUAGCGAUUGUUAAGGCACAACGUCGUGCACGUUUGUAGUCGGAUCGUCAAAGUCGUCUCCACCAAAUCGAUAGUUAUCAUCUCAACGAAAGAUCGGGACACCCCGCUUCUAUCAAGUGGUAUCAGUUUUCAGGUUGCUCGGUGAGAAUUUCCAGUUUUCCUAGAUUAGAUUUAUUUUCUUACCUAUUGUCCAAGAAAAAGCCACAAAAAAGAGUUAGAUCUAUUCAUCCUUGGUCCAAGCCAGUCUGAGCCUUUGCAAUUUUCUUUUCAUUGCUUGCAUAGUUGAAUUAUCGGUUGCAUCGUCGUGUCGAGUUGCUGGUCUUAGUGUCUAGGUCGUUUAGAGUUUCGAGUUCUGUUCACAUUUGUCACGCCACCGCUGCAUCGUUAUCCCUUCCGCUGUCCACCAUCCAUCCAUCAGUUUCCACCACGUGCUACCCACCGUUCAUUGUCAUAAUCAUAGUUGAGAUCAUUCACAUCUUCGCUUGAUCCAAUCUGCAUCUUAUCUAGUUUGUUUGGAACGAGAGAGAGAGAAAAAAGAAGGAGAAAAAGAAAGACGGAGAAAAAAAAGAGAGAAAAAAAAGAGAGAAAAAAAAGUAAAAAAAAGGUCAGAGAGAGAAGAAAAAGAAAAAAAAAGUGAGAAAAAAAGAGGGAAGAAAAAAAAAUUGGAUAUAUCUAGAAUCAAUCUCGUACCUGAAUUCGGAUUGGAAUCUGUUUUGCGCACUGUUCAGUAAAACAGGUGUAUCUUCCUCAUACGAAGUCCGUUUUGGUUCUGUGAGUACUCAAAUUGAAGCUAGCGUGAUGAGGACAUGACUACCUUGGAUAUGACCAAAAAUAUUGCAUAUAUGCAUAUUUGUCAGGUGAUUUCUAGUGCAAACUAUUCAAUAAUCUAUUUAUGUUAUCCAGAACAAAAAUACUUCACACACUUUUGUGUUUUGUCUAAUUGCAGGUGUAUGGGACAUUUGUACAAUCCACAUAUGAAGAUAAGGAAGAAAGAGAUGUUUAUUUGCUGUCCAAAAAGUUCUCUCACGUCACUUUUGGCCCAAGAGAAGAUAGAGUCCAAGUCUCUCACGUUCUGGAUUCAGAUUCGGACUGCACAGACAUACCUGACUCAAAACACACACAAGUUUUUCAUACGGACUCCGAAUUGGGUGAUUCUUUUUUUAUUGGAAACUAGAUUUCGUGCACUUUUCAACCCAAUUGGAAUCACCUUCAAAUUCGUCCGGCGCGUUGAGUUGUGGACGAAACAAUCUGAUGCUGCAGCAGAAUCCGAGUCAAACUACAAGUCCAAAGGUGUUACAUCACCUCCACUUGGGCCCAUUGGCCUUGUACGACCUAGAUUUAGUUUUAGGCUGCCUUGGGACGUCCUCCCACCUCCUUGGCCGCCACCCCUUGAUCCUAUAUAAGUAGAUCCAUCUAGUAGCUUUUCCUGGGGAUUUGUUUAGUUAAAAGUUAGCCAGUGCAACUUCGUGUACUUCGUUUGUGUCCAACGACCAGACCAAGACCGCUUACGGAUCCCCACCAUUAUCAAUACUUCAUAUAUAUUCGCAAUAUUCAGAUUGCUUUAUCAUAUUCUUGCUCGUUCUUCGAUUGCUUGCAGGAAUAGACCUUCGUGGUCAGGUUGAUCAUGCUCCAGCGUGGUCAAUAACCUCUCGGAGUUGGUUUAGCGAUUGCUAAGGCGCAACGUCGUGCACGUUUGUAGUCGGAUCGUCAAAGUCGUCUCCACCAAAUCGGUAGUAUCAUCUCAUCGAAAGAUCGGGACACCUCGCCUCUAUCAAGUGGUAUCAGUUUUCAGGUUGCUCGGUGAGAUUUUACAGUUUUUCAUAGUUUAGAUCGCAUCUGUCAUUCAUACCUACAGUCCAUGAAAAAGCCACAAAAAAAGUUAGAUCUGUUCAUCCUUUAUCCAAGCCAGUCUGAGCCUUUGCAAUUUUCUAUUCAUUGCUUGCAUAGUUGAAUUAUCGGUUGCAUCGUCGUGUCAGUUGCUGGUCUUAGUGUCUAGUUCCUUUAGAGUUUCGAGUUCUGUUCACAUUAGUCACGCCGCCGCUGCAUCAUUAUCCGUUCCGCUGUCCACUAUCCCAUCUAUUAAUUUCCACCACGUGCUAUGCACUGUUCAUUGUCAUAAUCAUAGUUGAGGUCAUUCACAUCUUCGCCUGCUCCAAUCUGCAUCUUAUCUAGUUUGUCUUGGAAAGAGGGAGAAAAAAAAAAGAUAGAGAAAAAAAAGAGAAAAAAAGGAAAGAAAAAGAGAGAAAAAGAAAAAAAAAGCGUGAGAAAAAAAAAGAGAAGAAAAAAAAUCGGAUCUAUCUAGAAUCAAUCUCGUACCUGAAUUCGGAUUGGAAUCUGUUUUGCGCACUGUUCAGUAAAACAGGUGUAUCUUCCUCAUACGAAGUCCGUUUUGGCUCCGUGAGUACUCAAAUUGAAGCUAGCGACGAGCCGUAUCUAAAUAGUUGCAGAAGCUAGUUCAAUAUUUGACACCUCAAAAUCGGCUUCUAAAUAGGUCUUUUUGCCCUCUGAAGUUCGUGAACACAGCUUGUUCCAAUUUUUCAGGCCAGUUUUAGAAUUCUUUGACUCCUCAUAUCAACUCGGAAUUGAGUGAUUCUUUUUGCAUUUGAAAGCUUGAGUUAGUAGCAUUCUUUGAAAGAAUUUAUCAGAAAAUUGGCUCAAACUUUUCAAGAGGAAAGUUGGAGAGAGUUGUUGUAUAUCCUGUUUGGCAGUUGUUUUUCAUCAUUAUCUUUACUGCCGUUGUGAUCUUCACUUAUAUCUUGCUGUCCAGAGCUACUUAGUAUCCUUCAUUGAUGCUAGUUGUGCUACGCCGUCACCUCAUUAGUGUUCUAGGCUCGCGUCUCUAGUCCGGUCUAGCCUAGGACCAGCACAGUACCGUCGUUGAGCGUUUAUUCAACAUUGCAUCUUUGAAUUGAUUAUUGCUAAUCUUUUGCUACCAUAUAUAGCCAACCCAGCUCCACAUAUUUCUACACCGUGUAUACGUACGCUCCCCUGGCAAUCGCUUUACUCAAUAUUCGGAGUUACUUGACACCGCUGGUUGCCGAUCACCGUCUGCUGCAUGGUAAGAACUUGUAAGACAUUGAUAUUUUCUUUACUGUGAGCGUUUUACCACCACAUCCUAGUAGUUAUAGGAACAUUAUUUUUUGGGUUUUGUUUCUUGUUCUACUAAUCAUGACAGGAUCCAGAGUCAAUUCAUGGGCUUUGUCGAUCGCGGGAGACGUGCCACCACCUUUGCAAAUACCACAACUGUCACGAGAGGUGCACAAACAUCCAAAUGCACAUGAUCAGGUUAAUGUAUCUAUACCACCAUUUAAUGGCCGUUUUAAACCUGCUUUAUAUAUUGAAUGGGAGUUCAACAUAAAAAAUAUAUUUGCUUCCCAUGAUUUCAAUGAACAUAAAAAGGUUAAGGUUGCGGUUGGUUCUUUCACUGGUUAUGCUUUGGUUUGGUGGAGUGAAUAUUGUCGGUUACACCCUGAUUAUAUACCUACUACUUGGGAUGAUUUGAAACUUGCCAUGCGACAUACUUUCGUCCCUGCUUAUUAUACUCGUGACAUGAUUAAGAAGUUGCAACACUUAAAACAAGGUAGUGAAACUGUAACAAAAUAUUAUGAUGAUUUACAAACUACCUUGUUGCAUUCCUCUUUAGAAGAAAGUGAAGAUGAUUUUAUGGAUAGAUUUUGGGGAGGAUUAAACCGUGAUAUUCAAGAGAUACUAAUUCAUGAAGAGUGUUAUCCUAUGGACCAUUUGUUUCAUCUUGCUUGCAAAGCUGAACAGGAAAUAAAACGACGUGUUGGCCACGAGGAGAACAAGCGCACGAUGCACAUUCCAAGAGUUGAUAUGAUUGUUCCUUCAACUACUAGGCAUACUAUGACAACCACAUCCAUUGUUGUCAGGACUACAUCACCUCCACCAUGUGACACAUCGCCCCCGAGAGUGGCUACAUCAUCUGAGUUGAUCGUAAGAGGUAAUGAUAAAGGUACUGAUCUUCCAUCUCUACAUGAGAAUGAUGAAUGCCUUGUCAAUUUGAAUGCACCAUCUGAUGAGCUACCCACUACUUUGAUCACAACACCUAUUUUAGAGGACUACGUUGAUAAUUUGACUUUGCCAUGUGAUCAAACAACUGAAAUACCAACAAUUUUGAGUGCACCCAUUGAAUUAACUAUUGAUGCAAAAGAACCAAUGUUUAAUCAUUUUGAUAUGACCUCUAAUCUUGGUGAUGAUUCUGUGUUGAAUGACUUAUUGCAUGUUUGCUUAUUUAAGCAUGUUGUAGCAUGUAAAUUUGAUGCAAGUAAGGUUUAUUCACCAAUGUUGGGAUGGUUUAACGAUGAACAUUGUCAAUCUUUUGAAAUGAAUAAGAGCUUCACUUAUAUGUGCAAACUGAGUUGCAAUAUUUUCAUGCCUUCUACUUCUUGUGCUAAUUUUUUGGCUUUAGAUUUUAUGAACUAUGCAAGUUACUCAUCUAUUCAUGUGUCAUAUAUGCAAAAAUCAAGGGAAGUAAAAAUGGAUGACAUAUACAUAUACAAUAUAUACACCUUGUCUCUUUUGUUAGCCACAUUUCAGAUUAAGCAACGCCGAGGACGGCUUUAUUUUCAAGAAGGGGAGGAUGAUGAGGACAUGACUACCUUGUAUAUGACCAAAAAUAUUGCAUAUAUGCAUAUUUGUCAGGUGAUUUCUAGUGCAAACUAUUUAAUAAUCUAUUUAUGUUAUCCAGAACAAAAAUACUUCACACACUUUUGUGUUUUGUCUAAUUGCAGGUGUAUGGGACAUUUGUACAAUCCACAUAUGAAGAUAAGGAAGAAAGAGAUGUUUAUUUGCUGUCCAAAAAGUUCUCUCACGUCACUUUUGGCCCAAGAGAAGAUAGAGUCCAAGUCUCUCACGUUCUGGAUUCAGAUUUGGACUGCACAGACACACCUGACUCAAAACGCACACAAGUUUUUCAUACGGACUCCGAAUUGGGUGAUUCUUUUUUUGUUGGAAACUAGAUUUAGUGCACUUUCCAACCCAAUUGGAAUCACCUUCAAAUUCGUCCGGAGCGUUGAGUUGUGGACGAAACAAUCUGAUACUGCAGCAGAAUCCGAGUCAAACUACAAGUCCAAAGGUGUUACAUCACCUCCACUUGGGCCCAUUGGCCUUGUACGACCUAGAUUUAGUUUUAGGCUGCCUUGGGACGUCCUCCCACCUCCUUGGCCGCCACCCCUUGCUCCUAUAUAAGUAGAUCCAUCUAGUAGCUUUUCCUUGGGAUUUGUUUAGUUAAAAGUUAGCCAUUGCAACUUCGUGUACUUUGUUUGUGUCCAACGACCAGACCAAGACCGUUUACGGAUCCCCACCUUUAUCAAUACUUCAUCUAUAUUCGCAAUAUUCAGAUUGCUUUAUCAUAUUCUUGCUUGUUCUUCGAUUGCUUGCAGGAAUAGACCUUCGUGGUCAGGUUGAUUGUGCUCUGGCGUGGUCAAUAACCUCUCGGAGUUGGUUUAGCGAUUGCUAAGGCGCAACGUCGUGCACGUUUGUAGUCGAAUCGUCAAAGUCGUCUCCACCAAAUCGAUAGUUAUCAUCUCAUCGAAAGAUCGGGACACCCCUCCUCUAUCAAGUGGUAUCAGUUUUCAGGUUGCUCGGUGAGAAUUUCCAGUUUUCCUAGAUUAGAUUUACUUUCUUACCUAUUGUCCAAGAAAAAGCCACAAAAAAGAGUUAGAUCUAUUCAUCCUUGGUCCAAGCCAGUCUGAGCCUUUGCAAUUUUCUUUUCAUUGAUUGCAUAGUUGAAUUAUCGAUUGCAUCACCGUGUCGAGUUGCUGGUCUUAGUGUCUAGUUCGUUUAGAGUUUCGAGUUCUGUUCACAUUAGUCACGCCACCGCUGCAUCAUUAUCUCUUCCGCUGUCCACCACCCAUCCAUCAAUUUCCACCACGUGCUACCCACCAUUCAUUGUCAUAAUAAUAGUUGAGAUCGUUCACAUCUUCACUUGAUCCAAUCUGCAUCUUAUCUAGUUUGUUUUGGAAAGAGGGAGAAAAAAAGAGAGAAAAAAAACGAGAGAAAAAAAAAGGAAAAAAAAGUCAGAGAAAAAAAAGGAGAGAAAGAAAAAAAAGUGUGAGGAAAAAAAAGAGAGAAGAAAAAAAAAACAAAAAAAUUGACACAAACUUUUUCAGAGGAAAGUUGGAGACAAAGUUGUUGAUAUAUCCUGCUUGGCUGUUGUUUCACCUCAUUAUCUUCACUGCUGUUGUGAUCUUCACUUAUAUCUUGCUGUCAAUAGCUACUUAGUAUCCUUCAUUGAUGCUAGUUGUGCUACGCCGUGACCUCAUUAGUGUUCUAGGCUCGCGUCUCUAGUCCGGUCUAGCCUAGGACCAGCACAGUACCGUCGUUGAGCGUUUAUUCAACGUUGCAUCUUUGAAUUGAUUAUUGCUAAUCUUUUGCUACCAUAUAUAGCCAACCCAGCUCCACAUAUUUCUACACCGUGUAUACGUACGCUCCCCUGGCAAUCGCUUUACUCAAUAUUCAGAGUUACUUGACACCGCUGGUUGCCGAUCACCGCCUGCUGCAUGGUAAGAACUUGUAAGACAUUGAUAUUUGCUUUACUGUGAGCGUUUUACCACCACAUCCUAGUAGUUAUAGGAACAUUAUUUUUGGGUUUUGUUUCUUGUUCUACUAAUCAUGACAGGAUCCAGAGUCAAUUCAUGGGCUUUGUCGAUCGCGGGAGACGUGCCACCACCUUUGCAAAUACCACAACCGUCACGAGAGGUGCACAAACAUCCAAAUGCACAUGAUCAGGUUAAUGUAUCUAUACCAACAUUUAAUGGCCGUUUUAAACCUGCUUUAUAUAUUGAAUGGGAGUUCGACAUAAAAAAUAUAUUUGCUUCCCAUAAUUUCGAUGAACAUAAAAAGGUUAAGGUUGCGGUUGGUUCUUUCACUGGUUAUGCUUUGGUUUGGUGGAGUGAAUAUUGUCGGUUACACCCUGAUUAUAUACCUACUACUUGGGAUGAUUUGAAACUUGCCAUGCGACAUACUUUCGUCCCUGCUUAUUAUACUCGUGACAUGAUUAAGAAGUUGCAACACUUAAAACAAGGUAGUGAAACUGUAACAAAAUAUUAUGAUGAUUUACAAACUACCUUGUUGCAUUCCUCUUUAGAAGAAAGUGAAAAUGAUUUUAUGGAUAGAUUUUGGGGAGGAUUAAACCGUGAUAUUCAAGAGAUACUAAUUCAUGAAGAGUGUUAUUCUAUGGACCAUUUGUUUCAUCUUGCUUGCAAAGCUGAACAGGAAAUAAAACGACGUGUUGGCCACGAGGAGAACAAGCGCACGGUGCACAUUCCAAGAGUUGAUAUGAUUGUUCCUUCAACUACUAGGCAUACUAUGACAACCACAUCCGUUGUUGUCAGGACUACAUCACCUCCACCAUGUGACACAUCGCCCCCGAGAGUGGCUACAUCAUCUGAGUUGAUCAUAAGAGGUAAUGACAAAGGUACUGAUCUUCCAUCUCUACAUGAGAAUGAUGAAUGCCUUGUCAAUUUGAAUGCACCAUCUGAUGAGCUACCCACUACUUUGAUCACACCACCUAUUUUAGAAGACUACGUUGAUAAUUUGACUUUGCCAUGUGAUCAAACAACUAAAAUACCAACAAUUUUGAGUGCACCCAUUGAAUUAACUAUUGAUGCAAAAGAACCAAUGUUUAAUCAUUUUGAUAUGACCUCUAAUCUUGGUGAUGAUUCUGUGUUGAAUGACUUAUUGCAUGUUUGCUUAUUUAAGCAUGUUGUAGCAUGUAAAUUUGAUGCACGUAAGGUUUAUUCACCAAUGUUGGGAUGGUUUAAUGAUGAACAUUGUCAAUCUUUUGAAAUGAAUAAGAGCUUCACUUAUAUGUGCAAACUGAGUUGCAAUAUUUUCAUGCCUUCUACUUCUUGUGCUAAUUUUUUGGCUUUAGAUUUUAUGAACUAUGCAAGUUACUCAUCUAUUCAUGUGUCAUAUAUGCAAAAAUCAAAGGAAGUAAAAAUGGAUGACAUAUACAUAUACAACAUGUACACCUUGUCUCUUUUGUUAGCCACAUUUCAGAUUAAGCAACGCCGAGGACGGCUUUAUUUUCAAGAAGAGGAGGAUGAUGAGGACAUGACUACCUUGGAUAUGACCAAAAAUAUUGCAUAUAUGCAUAUUUGUCAGGUGAUUUCUAGUGCAAACUAUUCAAUAAUCUAUUUAUGUUAUCCAGAACAAAAAUACUUCACACACUUUUGUGUUUUGUCUAAUUGCAGGUGUAUGGGACAUUUGUACAAUCCACAUAUGAAGAUAAGGAAGAAAGAGAUGUUUAUUUGUUGUCCAAAAAGUUCUCUCACGUCACUUUUGGCCCAAGAGAAGAUAGAGUCCAAGUCUCUCACGUUCUGGAUUCAGAUUCGGACUGCACAGACAUACCUGACUCAAAACACACACAAGUUUUUCAUACGGACUCCGAAUUGGGUGAUUCUUUUUUUAUUGGAAACUAGAUUUCGUGCACUUUUCAACCCAAUUGGAAUCACCUUCAAAUUCGUCCGGCGCGUUGAGUUGUGGACGAAACAAUCUGAUGCUGCAGCAGAAUCCGAGUCAAACUACAAGUCCAAAGGUGUUACAUCACCUCCACUUGGGCCCAUUGGCCUUGUACGACCUAGAUUUAGUUUUAGGCUGCCUUGGGACGUCCUCCCACCUCCUUGGCCGCCACCCCUUGAUCCUAUAUAAGUAGAUCCAUCUAGUAGCUUUUCCUGGGGAUUUGUUUAGUUAAAAGUUAGCCAGUGCAACUUCGUGUACUUCGUUUGUGUCCAACGACCAGACCAAGACCGCUUACGGAUCCCCACCAUUAUCAAUACUUCAUAUAUAUUCGCAAUAUUCAGAUUGCUUUAUCAUAUUCUUGCUCGUUCUUCGAUUGCUUGCAGGAAUAGACCUUCGUGGUCAGGUUGAUCAUGCUCCAGCGUGGUCAAUAACCUCUCGGAGUUGGUUUAGCGAUUGCUAAGGCGCAACGUCGUGCACGUUUGUAGUCGGAUCGUCAAAGUCGUCUCCACCAAAUCGGUAGUAUCAUCUCAUCGAAAGAUCGGGACACCUCGCCUCUAUCAUAGCGACGAGCCGCAUCUAAAUAGUUGCAGAAGCUAGUUCAAUAUUUGACACAUCAAAAUCGGCUUCUAAAUAGGUCUUUUUGCCCUCCGAAGUUCGUGAACACAGCUUGUUCCAAUUUUUCAGGCCAGUUUUAGAAUUCUUUGACUCCUCAUAUCAACUCGGAAUUGAGUGAUUCUUGUUGCAUUGGAAAGCUUGAGUUAGUAGCAUUCUUUGAAAGAAUUUAUCAGAAAAUUGGCUCAAACUUUUCAAGAGGAAAGUUGGAGAGAGUUGUUGUAUAUCCUGCUUGGCAGUUGUUUUUCAUCAUUACCUUCACUGCCGUUGUGAUCUUCACUUAUAUCUUGCUGUCCAGAGCUACUUAGUAUCCUUGAUUGAUUCUAGUUGUGCUACGCCGUGACCUCAUUAGUGUUCUAGGCUCGCGUCUCUAGUACGGUCUAGCCUAGGACCAGCACAGUACCGUCGUUGAGCGUUUAUUCAACAUUGCAUCUUUGAAUUGAUUAUUGCUAAUCUUUUGCUACCAUAUAUAGCCAACCCAGCUCCACAUAUUUCUACACCGUGUAUACGUACGCUCCCCUGGCAAUCGCUUUACUCAAUAUUCGGAGUUACUUGACACCGCUGGUUGCCGAUCACCGCCUGCUGCAUGGUAAGAACUUGUAAGACAUUGAUAUUUGCUUUACUGUGAGCGUUUUACCACCACAUCCUAGUAGUUAUAGGAACAUUAUUUUUGGCUUUUGUUUCUUGUUCUACUAAUCAUGACAGGAUUCAGAGUCAAUUCAUGGGCUUUGUCGAUCGCGGGAGACGUGCCACCACCUUUGCAAAUACCACAACCGUCAAGAGAGGUGCACAAACAUCCAAAUGCACAUGAUCAGGUUAAUGUAUCUAUACCACCAUUUAAUGGCCGUUUCAAACCUGCUUUAUAUAUUGAAUGGGAGUUCGACAUAAAAAAUAUAUUUGCUUCCCAUAAUUUCGAUGAACAUAAAAAGGUUAAGGUUGCGGUUGGUUCUUUCACUGGUUAUGCUUUGGUUUGGUGGAGUGAAUAUUGUCGGUUACACCCUGAUUAUAUACCUACUACUUGGGAUGAUUUGAAACUUGCCAUGCGACAUACUUUCGUCCCUGCUUAUUAUACUCGUGACAUGAUUAAGAAGUUGCAACACUUAAAACAAGGUAGUGAAACUGUAACAAAAUAUUAUGAUGAUUUACAAACUACCUUGUUGCAUUCCUCUUUAGAAGAAAGUGAAGAUGGUUUUAUGGAUAGAUUUUGGGGAGGAUUAAACCGUGAUAUUCAAGAGAUACUAAUUCAUGAAGAGUGUUAUCCUAUGGACCAUUUGUUUCAUCUUGCUUGCAAAGCUGAACAGGAAAUAAAACGACGUGUUGGCCACGAGGAGAACAAGCGCACGAUGCACAUUCCAAGAGUUGAUAUGAUUGUUCCUUCAACUACUAGGCAUACUAUGACAACCACAUCCAUUGUUGUCAGGACUACAUCACCUCCACCAUGUGACACAUCGCCCCCGAGAGUGGCUACAUCAUCUGAGUUGAUCAUAAGAGGUAAUGAUAAAGGUACUGAUCUUCCAUCUCUACAUGAGAAUGAUGAAUGCCUUGUCAAUUUGAAUGCACCAUCUGAUGAGAUACCCACUACUUUGAUCACAACACCUAUUUUAGAGGACUACGUUGAUAAUUUGACUUUGCCAUGUGAUCAAACAACUGAAAUACCAACAAUUUUGAGUGCACCCAUUGAAUUAACUAUUGAUGCAAAAGAACCAAUGUUUAAUCAUUUUGAUAUGACCUCUAAUCUUGGUGAUGAUUCUGUGUUGAAUGACUUAUUGCAUGUUUGCUUAUUUAAGCAUGUUGUAGCAUGUAAAUUUGAUGCAAGUAAGGUUUAUUCACCAAUGUUGGGAUGGUUUAACGAUGAACAUUGUCAAUCUUUUGAAAUGAAUAAGAGCUUCACUUAUAUGUGCAAACUGAGUUGCAAUAUUUUCAUGCCUUCUACUUCUUGUGCUAAUUUUUUGGCUUUAGAUUUUAUGAACUAUGCAAGUUACUCAUCUAUUCAUGUGUCAUAUAUGCAAAAAUCAAGGGAAGUAAAAAUGGAUGACAUAUACAUAUACAAUAUAUACACCUUGUCUCUUUUGUUAGCCACAUUUCAGAUUAAGCAACGCCGAGGACGGCUUUAUUUUCAAGAAGGGGAGGAUGAUGAGGACAUGACUACCUUGUAUAUGACCAAAAAUAUUGCAUAUAUGCAUAUUUGUCAGGUGAUUUCUAGUGCAAACUAUUUAAUAAUCUAUUUAUGUUAUCCAGAACAAAAAUACUUCACACACUUUUGUGUUUUGUCUAAUUGCAGGUGUAUGGGACAUUUGUACAAUCCACAUAUGAAGAUAAGGAAGAAAGAGAUGUUUAUUUGCUGUCCAAAAAGUUCUCUCACGUCACUUUUGGCCCAAGAGAAGAUAGAGUCCAAGUCUCUCACGUUCUGGAUUCAGAUUUGGACUGCACAGACACACCUGACUCAAAACGCACACAAGUUUUUCAUACGGACUCCGAAUUGGGUGAUUCUUUUUUUGUUGGAAACUAGAUUUAGUGCACUUUCCAACCCAAUUGGAAUCACCUUCAAAUUCGUCCGGAGCGUUGAGUUGUGGACGAAACAAUCUGAUACUGCAGCAGAAUCCGAGUCAAACUACAAGUCCAAAGGUGUUACAUCACCUCCACUUGGGCCCAUUGGCCUUGUACGACCUAGAUUUAGUUUUAGGCUGCCUUGGGACGUCCUCCCACCUCCUUGGCCGCCACCCCUUGCUCCUAUAUAAGUAGAUCCAUCUAGUAGCUUUUCCUUGGGAUUUGUUUAGUUAAAAGUUAGCCAUUGCAACUUCGUGUACUUCGUUUGUGUCCAACGACCAGACCAAGACCGCUUACGGAUACCCACCUUUAUCAAUACUUCAUAUAUACUCGCAAUAUUCAGAUUGCUUUUAUCAUAUUCUUGCUUGUUCUUCGAUUGCUUGCAGGAAUAGACCUUCGUGGUCAGGUUGAUUGUGCUUCGGCGUGGUCAAUAACCUCUCGGAGUUGGUUUAGCGAUUGUUAAGGCACAACGUCGUGCACGUUUGUAGUCGGAUCGUCAAAGUCGUCUCCACCAAAUCGAUAGUUAUCAUCUCAUCGAAAGAUCGGGACACCCCGCUUCUAUCAGAGAGGGUUUCGGGGCCUGGCGGUUGACAGCGGACUGUGCAGAAAGCUUUGGGUUGAGAGAAGAGAAGAGAGAUGCAGCCCGGCAACUGUUUCCGGAGACCAAAAACGUCCGACGUUAGACCGGCUAUACUGCCGCUAUAGUAAUCCGUUGGGGCGUCAAACGAACUCCGAAUGCGAUGAAACUUGACAGGCAGUCUAUCUACACUAAAAUAAGACCACAUGCCAACUCUCAUCCCAUUCCGAGAACAUUUCCCGGCCACUUAUAAAAUAAUAUUUCGGACAUGCCGCGGGCGCGUGCAAGUGUGUCUGGGCUUAGAACGGACAACGAGGAGAACUGGGAUACCCCGGACGAAUGCAAGUUUUGAAAACAUGAUGAUGCAAUGCACAUGAUGAUAUGAUAAGAUGCAACAUGCAAGCAAAUGACAUGGCAACGCCGGCGCAUAACUGGAAGACACAUGGCACAUCGGUCUCGGGGCGUCACAACACUCCACCACUACGAGAGGAUCUCGUCCCGAGAUCUAGGAUGGCACCAGAGGGAAAAACGAAAGAGAAAGAGAAGAGGUAAAACUAAGUUGCUUCUUGGACAAACGAGUGAAACCACGAACCUUGAAAAGGUUAAGCCAUCUCGAGAAAAGAAUACGACGGAGAUGAGCGAAGUAGAGAACACUCCGUUAGAAAAGAGGGACAAGGAAGAACAACUUCGAGCAGCACUCCGGUUGAGAAGUUAUGCAAGACUUGAUACGGUGAAAAGAACUUGAGCAGAGGACACGACACUCCGGUUAAACAAGAUAGAGAAGGAAUAAGACUGAUAUAAUUUGGACAUCACUUCGACUAUAAAUGGAAGAAAUUGAACAUGAUCUUGACAAACCGAGAUGAGGAGUGAAAAGAGCAACAUCACUAGACGUUCGGGAGAAAGAAUAGAAUAAAGAUAAUUGAGACAAAAGAAUGUAGAAGAAAAUGCCAACUUCUGCUACAAAAGAGCUUGAAAAGGUAUCCUUAAGAGAAGGGUCGAACGGAGUUGUUGGAAAAACCAACAACGAAAAGAAUAAGCUUGAUAUGGUCUUAUGGAAUACAUCUCAAAUUAUGAGGUGACAACCUGCCACUCACGGGAAAGAAUUGGAUUGGUAUGACCGAUGAGACGAGAGAAUUAUUUCACCGGGAGGAUAGAUGAAGAACUUGGAUCAUAUAUUAUCACCAUUAAUAGCAAAAUCCUUAGGGAAAGAUUUAGGUGAAAUAUAACCCAAAAUAACUCAAAUGACGAGAUUGAUGGAUUUAAAAUAUCUCAUUCUUAACAAUAUGUGAAUCAUGAAGCAUGAACUCAAAUUAUCAAGAAUGACUUUAUACCACCUCCAAUGAUACAGAAGAAAGAAUUGCACUCCGGAUUGCAAGAUGAAGAAAACUUGAAGUAUAGCUUGGCGGAUCAUAACUUCGAAAGAGAUCUUGAAGAACAAUUGAAGAAUGAAAAGAAUCCUUGACGAACCAUCAUAUAGAACCUUCAUGAAGAAUUCCGGUAAUAAAAGAAUGAUCCAAAAUAAUUGACUGAUGAAAAGAAUAAGAUUGAAGCCUCUCAAUGAUUUAGAUAGAGAUCCCCGUGAUAAUAUAAUUGAAAGAGGUUGGAACUCCGGGAAAAAGAGAAGAUGAAAACAAAUGAAACCGAGAAUUUGAAGGGCCUCCAGAAUAAAGAAUUAAUCAUUUGAAUGAAACAAGAAUAAGAAUUACAUUAUGAUUGUCCUUCAUCAAUUAAAUUGAUGACAAACAAUGAAUUUGACACACCACUUAUUCUUGUAGAGAGGAUUAAGAUAGAUAUUGCAUAACUUUGAGAAGGUUUUCGACGAACCACCGGUAGGAUGAAAGAAAGAAUGAAUCGAUACAAUAACAAAGGAAGAGAAAUCUUGAACGAACCACCAUAAGAAUUAAGAAUGAAUGAAGAGAAGAUAAAGAAAACACCGGGACGAAUUAUAAAAUGAACAAAGAUGCUUGAGAGGAUUUAGAUACAUGAGAACAAAGAGAUCAUGAGCCGAUUAAAGAUCACUUGAACGAAGCACCGGUAAAAUUGGAGAAUGGUAGCUGAAAGCUGAGAAUGAAUAAGUCUUCUUAAAUGAUGGGCUUCGGGGAAAAGAAAUGGAAAACAACUCAUGAAAUGCUCCGGAUGGGUGAAAAGAAUUCUCACAGUCAAAAAAUAAUUAUGAGAGGAUGGCAACAAGCUAGAAUCACGAAUCUUUGAGAGAAUGGAUAAGAUAUAGAGGAAACAUUUCUUCGGUCUUGAAAUGUUGAUAAUGACGAUGAGAAGCACCACCAAAAUUGUAGAGGCACUCCGAAAUUAAGAUUGGAAAGGUUGAACCAACGAUGAAAAGAAUUUGACAGAUCUUGGAGAAAGACAUUUGACUGAUGAUAGUUCAUUCUUACGUCAAACUUCGAAAAGAAUUUGGGAGUAACUCCGUGAAAAUUAGAAGAGUCAGGUAAGAUCCUGGGAAGACAUGUGGGUUAGGGCCCACUCAAUAGAAACACCGUAGAACGAUUUAAAAGAGAGAGAAUGCACCGGUAAGAUUAAAUGGCUAGAAUGAGAUAACAACCUCGAAAGAGCUUGAAAGGAUUACGAAAGUAGAGUGGAAACACGAAUCUUCGAGAUAUCUUGAACACUCCAGAACAAUUGAAUGGCAAGCGGGGAAGAUUAAGAGGUGCGCUGGCAUAAGUAAGCAUUGAAACGAGGAAAAGAUAUGAUCAACAAAGCUUGAUGUGAAACCACCGGAGAAGAAAAGGAAUGAGGAAUUACGAACUUGAGGUUCUGUUAGGAUCUUCAUGAGAAUCACCGGAUAAGGACAUUGAUGGAAAAGAAUGGAGAGACUUCACAUCAAUAAGAUGGAUACUCGAUAAAGAAAUCCGAGUCAUUAAAGAACCAAGGGUGGGAGGGUGGGAAAACAAAGGCACCUUGGGAAAGAUGAAACAAACACCGUUGAGAAGAACUGAUAAUUGAUCUUGCGGAUAUUGAAAAUGAACGGAUCCGCUUGAAGAGAAACACACCGGUUGAAAAGGAUUGUCAUGACAAUGUCGACUAUCAUGAAGGAUUAGUACUCCCGUAGGAAUACGAGAACACCACUUAUAAAAGGUAUGGAAUCAACAUUUGACUUCGAAGCAACUCGAAUACCACAACUCAAAACAAAACAAAGGAUUGGCUUGCAGAAUAAGCCGGAACAAACAUAUGAUAGAGAUUUCGUUCGAAGUUUUCGUGGUGGGGCCUACACGGGCUCGAUCGUACAGCACCAUCAUUGAUGAGGACAUCAAUACAAUUGUUACACCCACAGCCCCUGCUGCUAUACAUACUGGACCAAUUACUAGAGCUUGUGCACGCCAACUAAAUUACCAGGUACUUUCGUUUCUUGGUAAUGAUUCUAAUGUUUAUGAGAAUAUGAUGCUGCCUAAAUUGGAUACAUUUGUUUUGCUUACAAAUGAAGGGCCUAGCUUGGAGAAGGAUGAACAUUGGAGCAAGAACAAGCAUGGAGAUGAUGGCAUGCGCAAGGGGAACAAGAACGGAGUUACAAGUGAUGAUUUCAGGACUUUGAAGCCACCAUAAUGGGUGCAUGAAGCCUUGGACGAAAUAUACAAGAUGCCACUUCAUAAAUUUCGUCCCGAGGCUAUUUUAGGUGCUGCGUCACCUUAUUAUUGGGCCAAGCCCAUGUAAUUUCGAAAUACAUAAGUAUAGGCUAUUUUUAGAGUCCGUAUGUGUGGGGAAACAAGAGAUAGGGUUGAUUUCGGACCCCUCCCCCAAGGGCCACGAAAUUCCCCCCUCUUCCUCCAUAUAUACAGCCCUUAGGGCAUCGUUUAGACUUUGGGUUUUGUUUAGAUUAAAAGUUCGCCAUAGCUGCAACUUCGCGUACUUCGUUUGUGUUCAACGACCAGACAAAGGCGUCACAGAACCCCACCUUGAUCAAUAAAGCUUUCAUCUUAUAUUCGCAAUAUCCAGAUUGCAAUCUUAGUUUCUUGCUUGUUCUUCGUUUGCUCGCAGGAAACAGACCCUCGUGGUCAGGUUGAUCGUGCUCCGGCGUGGUCAAUAACCUCUCGGAGUUGGUUUAGCGAUUGCUAAGGCGCGACGUCCUCGCACGUUCGUAGUCGGAUCGUCAAAGUCGACUUCCACCAAAGCGAAAUCCACCAUCUCAUCGAAAGACGGGACACCUUUGCCUCUAUCAUUUGUUUAGCUUACAAAUGAAGGGCCUAGCUUGGAGAAGGAUGAACAUUGGAGCAAGAACAAGCAUGGAGAUGAUGGCAUGCGCAAGGGAAACAAGAACGGAGUUACAAGUGAUGAUUUCAGGACUUUGAAGCCACCAUAAUGGGUGCAUGAAGCCUUGGACGAAAUAUACAAGAUGCCACUUCAUAAAUUUCGUCCCGAGGCUAUUCUAGGUGCUGCGUCACCUUAUUAUUGGGCCAGGCCCAUGUAAUUUCGAAAUACAUAAGUAUAGGCUAUUUUUAGAGUCCGUAUGUGUGGGGAAACAAGAGAUAGGGUUGAUUUCGGACCCCUCCACCAAGGGCCACGAAAUUCCCCCCUCUUCCUCCAUAUAUACAGCCCUUAGGGCAUCGUUUAGACUUUGGGUUUUGUUUAGAUUAAAAGUUCGCCAUAGCUGCAACUUCGCGUACUUCGUUUGUGUUCAACGACCAGACAAAGGCGUCACAGAACCCCACCUUGAUCAAUAAAGCUUUCAUCUUAUAUUCGCAAUAUCCAGAUUGCAAUCUUAGUUUCUUGCUUGUUCUUCGUUUGCUCGCAGGAAGCAGACCCUCGUGGUCAGGUUGAUCGUGCUCCGGCGUGGUCAAUAACCUCUCGGAGUUGGUUUAGCGAUUGCUAAGGCGCGACGUCCUCGCACGUUCGUAGUCGGAUCGUCAAAGUCGACUUCCACCAAAGCGAAAUCCACCAUCUCAUCGAAAGAUCGGGACCCUCGCCUCUAUCAAGUGGUAUCAGUUUUCAGGUUGCUCGGUGAGAAUUUCCAGUUUUCCUAGAUUAGAUUUAUUUUCUUACCUAUUGUCCAAGAAAAAGCCACAAAAAAGAGUUAGAUCUAUUCAUCCUUGGUCCAAGCCAGUCUGAGCCUUUGCAAUUUUCUAUUCAUUGCUUGCAUAGUUGAAUUAUCGGUUGCAUCGUCGUGUUAGUUGCUGGUCUUAGUGUCUAGUUCUUUUAGAGUUUCGAGUUCUGUUCACAUUAGUCACGCCGCCGCUGCAUCAUUAUCCCUUCCGCUGUCCACCAUCCCAUCCAUUAAUUUUCACCACGUGCUACGCACCAUUCAUUGUCAUAAUAAUAGUUGAGAUCGUUCACAUCUUCACUUGAUCCAAUCUGCAUCUUAUCUAGUUUGUUUUGGAAAGAGGGAGAAAAAAAAGAGAGAGAAAAAACGAGAGAAAAAAAAAGGAAAAAAAAGUCAGAGAAAAAAAAAGGAGAGAAAAAAAAAAGUGUGAGGAAAAAAAGAGAGAAGAAAAAAAAAUCGGCACAAACUUUUUCAGAGGAAAGUUGGAGACAAAGUUGUUGAUAUAUCCUGCUUGCCUGUUGUUUCACCUCAUUAUCUUCACUGCUGUUGUGAUCUUCACUUAUAUCUUGCUGUCAAGAGCUACUUAGUAUCCUUCAUUGAUGCUAGUUGUGCUACGCCGUGACCUCAUUAGUGUUCUAGGCUCGCGUCUCUAGUCCGGUCUAGCCUAGGACCAGCACAGUACCGUCGUUGAGCGUUUAUUCAACAUUGCAUCUUUGAAUUGAUUAUUGCUAAUCUUUUGCUACCAUAUAUAGCCAACCCAGCUCCACAUAUUUCUACACCGUGUAUACGUACGCUCCCCUGGCAAUCGCUUUACUCAAUAUUCGGAGUUACUUGACACCGCUGGUUGCCGAUCACCGCCUGCUGCAUGGUAAGAACUUGUAAGACAUUGAUAUUUGCUUUACUGUGAGCGUUUUACCACCACAUCCUAGUAGUUAUAGGAACAUUAUUUUUGGGUUUUGUUUCUUGUUCUACUAAUCAUGACAGGAUUCAGAGUCAAUUCAUGGGCUUUGUCGAUCGCGGGAGACGUGCCACCACCUUUGCAAAUACCACAACCGUCACGAGAGGUGCACAAACAUCCAAAUGCACAUGAUCAGGUUAAUGUAUCUAUACCACCAUUUAAUGGCCGUUUCAAACCUGCUUUAUAUAUUGAAUGGGAGUUCGACAUAAAAAAUAUAUUUGCUUCCCAUAAUUUCGAUGAACAUAAAAAGGUUAAGGUUGCGGUUGGUUCUUUCACUGGUUAUGCUUUGGUUUGGUGGAGUGAAUAUUGUCGGUUACACCCUGAUUAUAUACCUACUACUUGGGAUGAUUUGAAACUUGCCAUGCGACAUACUUUCGUCCCUGCUUAUUAUACUCGUGACAUGAUUAAGAAGUUGCAACACUUAAAACAAGGUAGUGAAACUGUAACAAAAUAUUAUGAUGAUUUACAAACUACCUUGUUGCAUUCCUCUUUAGAAGAAAGUGAAGAUGAUUUUAUGGAUAGAUUUUGGGGAGGAUUAAACCGUGAUAUUCAAGAGAUACUAAUUCAUGAAGAGUGUUAUCCUAUGGACCAUUUGUUUCAUCUUGUGAUGAGGACAUCAAUACAAUUGUUACACCCACAGCCCCUGCUGCUAUACAUACUGGACCAAUUACUAGAGCUCGUGCACGCCAACUAAAUUACCAGGUACUUUCGUUUCUUGGUAAUGAUUCUAAUGUUCAUGAGAAUAUGAUGCUGCCUAAAUUGGAUACAUUUGUUUUGCUUACAAAUGAAGGGCCUAGCUUGGAGAAGGAUGAACAUUGGAGCAAGAACAAGCAUGGAGAUGAUGGCAUGCGCAAGGGAAACAAGAACGGAGUUACAAGUGAUGAUUUCAGGACUUUGAAGCCACCAUAAUGGGUGCAUGAAGCCUUGGACGAAAUAUACAAGACGCCACUUCAUAAAUUUCGUCCCGAGGCUAUUUUAGGUGCUGCGUCACCUUAUUAUUGGGCCAGGCCCAUGUAAUUUCGAAAUACAUAAGUAUAGGCUAUUUUUAGAGUCCGUAUGUGUGGGGAAACAAGAGAUAGGGUUGAUUUCGGACCCCUCCACCAAGGGCCACGAAAUCCCCCCCCCCUUCCUCCAUAUAUACAGCCCUUAGGGCAUCGUUUAGACUUUGGGUUUUGUUUAGAUUAAAAGUUCGCCAUAGCUGCAACUUCGCGUACUUCGUUUGUGUUCAACGACCAGACAAAGGCGUCACAGAACCCCACCUUGAUCAAUAAAGCUUUCAUCUUAUAUUCGCAAUAUCCAGAUUGCAAUCUCAGUUUCUUGCUUGUUCUUCGUUUGCUCGCAGGAAACAGACCCUCGUGGUCAGGUUGAUCGUGCUCCGGCGUGGUCAAUAACCUCUCGGAGUUGGUUUAGCGAUUGCUAAGGCGCGACGUCCUCGCACGUUCGUAGUCGGAUCGUCAAAGUCGACUUCCAACAAAGCGAUAUCCAUCAUCUCAUCGAAAGACGGGACACCUUUGCCUCUAUCAAGUGGUAUCAGAUUUCCAGGUUGCUCGGUGAGAUUUUACAGUUUUUCGUAGUUUAGAUCGAGUCUGUUCUUCAUACCUACAGUCCACGAAAAAGCCACAAAAAAAAUUAGGGUUAGUUCAUCAUAUCCGAACCAAUCUGAGCCUUUGCAUAAUCUUUUUAGGGUUUUGCUUUGUUGAAUUUGCGGUUGCAUCGUCGUGUCUAGUUGCUGGUCUUAGAGUCUAGUCUUUUAGAGUUUCGAGUUCUGGUCAUAAGUUGUCACGCCGCCGCCGCACCAUCAUCAUCGCCCCUGCCAUCUACCACCACCGCUCCGAAUUCGUAUCCAUAUACCACCACCAAUCCGUGUCCAUAUACCACCACCGAUCCAUAUCCAUAUACUACCACCGCUACCACCACCGCUGCCAUAUACCACCACCAUAUAUCCACCACCAAUCCGAGUUCCUUGCAUAUUAGGUUUGUUUUGGAGAUCCAUCUAGAUUCUGAUUCGUGUUUCCUUGCCGGAGUCGGGUAGCCACGCUCCGUUUAGGCCCAAAAUUUUUCGAAAACGCAUUUUUCGAAAACUUUUCUGGCUAUCCUAUUUUUAGGUGUUUCUGAGUGUUUUGAGACAGGUGCCAUUAUAGGAAGUUUUUUUUGACCCGUUUCCAGUUUUUGGGUCCGGGCAGUCAAAAAAAAAAUUGGUCGAAAAAUUUCGUGCCCAUCCUGUCAGUUUGAGCUAGGAAGAGUUUUGAGACACUCGCCAUUAUAGUGAUUUUCGCAAAAAAAAAAGCAGCGCAAAAAAAAGAGCGCAAAGAAAAAAAGAGCAAAAAAAAAAUUCAGAGUGUGCUUUUCCCUUGUUUACGUGUUGCGCCGUGAUUUUGUUGGUGUUCUAGGCUCGCGUCUCUAGCACAGUCUAGCCUAGGACCAGCACAGUACCGUCGUUGAGCGUUUAUUCAACUUUGCAUCUCUGAAUUGAUUAUUGCUGACCCUUUUUGCUACCAUAGUAUAAGCCUUCCCAGCUCCACAUACAUCUACGUCGUGCGUUUGACUCUCCCUGGUAAUCGCUCUAUCCAAGCUUUGAGAGUUUUGACUACAACGGUUGCCGAUCACCGCCUGUUGCUGGGUAAGAACUGGUAAGAAUUUGAGUUUUGCUUGACGGAUUUGUGACACCCACCACCACCACUUGUUCGUAGUCUGUAGGAUCAUAUUCUUGUGUGUUUCUAUUGCUGCUAACCAUGCCAGGAUCACAAGCCGACGAGAUUGACUGGGAGAAUUUAUCGAACAAGGAGCUUCAUGAUAAGUUUCAGCAAAUGAUGACUGAACAGGUGCAAGACGUGCUGAACAAUUUUGAAGAGGCCAUGGAGAAGAUCACUGGCCUUGAGAAGACGUUCGAAACAAAGCUCGAUAACAGAUUUAAUGAAUUGCUCGCGCAUCUUCCACCACCACCACCCGCUGCACCUAACGCACCUGUCCAACAACAACAACAAUGACUACCUCCACGUCGCGAAAUAGACCUUCGCCGAGCGAGCCGUGUUCCUCUUGCGUUUGGCCAAACUGUUGGUGCUGCUGUUGAUACUUCUGUGGCUCCUGCUACUGCUGUUGCUGGUACCCAGGAGGAUGAUGAGUAUGCGGGCGAUUAUGAGGAUGAGGUUGAUCAAAAUCAGAUCUACGAGCAGCCACCAGCACCACCACCAGCAGGUCGACCUCAGGUAUAUAUUCGUAAUGGUAGGCCUGCACCACCACCUCAGGUACGAGAUGAUGUCCAUAUUCCUAAACUGAAAUUGAAUAUUCCACCAUUUGAGGGUAGAUAUGUUCCUGAUAUAUAUCUUACUUGGGAGUUAGAAACUGAACAACGAUUUACAUGUUUACAAUAUCCUGAGGAGAGACGAGUUGCUGCUGCUGUUUGUGCUUUCACUAGUUUUGCAUGUGUAUGGUGGUCUGAACAUUGUAGAUUGUAUCCUAUUCCAACUACUUGGGCUGCUUUGAAAACUGCUAUGCGUACGCGUUGGGUUCCACCAUAUUAUCAACGUGAAUUGCUUAAAAAAUUACAGCGCUUAAGACAAGGAAAAAAUUCUGUAGAAGAAUAUUAUCAGGAAUUACAAACUGGCAUGAUUAGAUGUGGUAUUGUUGAGGAGAAUGAAGCUAUGCUUGCACGUUUUCUGGGUGGAUUAAAUAGAGAGAUUCAGACCAUUCUAGACUAUAAGGAGUAUACUAAUAUCACUCGUUUAUUCCAUCUUGCUUGUAAAGCUGAACGUGAAGUGCAGGAUCGACAAGCAUUGGGGCGAACUAACUUUUCUGCAGGCCGAUCUUCAUCAUGGACACCACGUGCAUCUUCUACUUCAACUGCACCAGCACCUCCAUCCGGUGCCACCUCCAGCCGUGAUACAAGAAAACAGGCACAACCACCAUUAUCUGCCAAGAGCACACAUGCGGGGCCUGCACAGCGUUCUUCUUCUUCCAUGGCAUCAACAGGGCACACAAGUGAUAUUAUUUGUCGUCGUUGUAAGGGGGGAGGUCAUUAUGCGAGGGAAUGCAAAUCUCCGCGUGUGAUGAUUGCUACCGCGGAUGGUGGAUAUGAGUCCGCUAGUGACUAUGAUGAGGAGACAUUGGCUCUUAUUACACGUGAAGAACAUGGUGGAGAUGAUUCUGAUCAUGAGACGCAAUACAUGGCUCCUGAAGACGCUGACAGGUAUGAAUGUUUAGUUGCUCAACGUGUUUUGAGUGUGCAGGUCACACAAGCUGAGCAAAAUCAGAGGCACAAUUUGUUCCAUACCAAGGGAGUUGUGAAGAAACAUUCUGUGCACGUCAUAAUAGACGGAGGGAGCUGCAACAACUUGGCUAGCAUGGAGAUGGUGGAGAAGCUUUCUCUCACCACAAGACCACAUCCACAUCCUUACUACAUCCAAUGGUUCAACAACAGCGGCAAGGUUAAGGUAACACGUACUGUUCGUGUGCAUUUUAGUAUCUCUACAUAUGCUGAUUAUGUUGAUUGUGAUGUGGUACCUAUGCAAGCAUGUUCCUUAUUACUUGGUAGACCAUGGCAAUUUGAUAAAAAUUCUGUACACCAUGGUAGAAACAAUCACUAUACUCUUGUUCAUAAGGAUAAAAAUAUUACUUUGCUUCCUAUGACUCCUGAUUCCAUUUUGAAAGAUGAUAUUAAUAGAGCUAAUAAAGCAAAACAGGAGACGAAUAAGAGUGAAAAUCAGAUUGUGGCAAAAGAAUUUGAGCAACAAAUGAAGCAUAAUAAUAAACCAUCUAGUGUUGCUUCUGAAAUUAAAUUGAAAAGUGCAUGUUUAUUUGCCACCAAAUCUGAUAUUGAUGAGCUAGAUUUCAGCAAAUCUGUUUGCUAUGCUUUUGUGUGCAAAGAGGCAUUAUUUUCAUUCGAGGACGUGCCUUCCUCUUUGCCUCCUGCUGUCACUAACAUUUUGCAGGAGUUCGCUGACGUCUUUCCACAAGACGUGCCACCGGGAUUACCGCCUAUUCGAGGGAUUGAGCAUCAGAUUGACUUAAUUCCCGGUGCUUCACUGCCAAACCGUGCACCAUACCGUACCAAUCCAGAGGAGACGAAGGAGAUUAUGCGUCAAGUACAAGAGCUUCUCGACAAAGGUUAUAUACGCGAAUCCCUUAGUCCUUGUGCUGUUCCUAUUAUUCUAGUGCCGAAAAAGGAUGGUACAUCACGUAUGUGUGUUGAUUGUAGAGGCAUUAAUAAUAUUCCUAGGCUAGAUGAUAUGCUUGAUGAAUUGAGUGGCUCUACAAUAUUCUCCAAAGUUGAUUAACGUAGUGGAUACCAUCAAAUUCGUAUGAAAUUGGGAGAUGAAUGGAAAGCAGCAUUCAAAACUAAGUUUGGAUUAUAUGAGUGGUUAGUCAUGCCUUUUGGGUUAACUAAUGCACCUAGUACUUUCAUGAGAUUAAUGAACGAAGUUUUACGUGCUUUCAUUGGACGAUUUGUGGUAGUUUACUUUGAUGACAUAUUGAUUUAUAGCAGAUCUUUGGAAGAACAUUUGGAACAUUUACGUGCUGUUUUUAUUGCUCUACGUGAUGCACGUUUGUUUGGUAACCUUGGGAAGUGCACCUUUUGCACCGACCGAGUAUCUUUUCUUGGCUAUGUUGUUACUCCACAGGGAAUUGAAGUUGAUAAAGCCAAGAUUGAAGCUAUUGAGAGUUGGCCGCAGCCCAAAACGGUCACACAAGUGAGGAGUUUUCUUGGCCUCGCUGGAUUCUAUAGGCGUUUUGUGAGAGAUUUCAGCACCAUUGCUGCACCUCUCAAUGAGCUUACAAAGAAAGAUGUGCCUUUCCUUUGGGGUACUGCACAGGAAGAAGCCUUCACGGUAUUGAAAGAUAAGUUGACACAUGCUCCUUUACUCCAACUUCCUGAUUUUAAUAAGACUUUUGAGCUUGAAUGUGAUGCUAGUGGAAUUGGAUUAGGAGGUGUGUUAUUACAAGAUGGCAAACCUGUUACAUACUUUUCUGAAAAAUUGAGUGGGCCUAGCUUGAAUUAUUCUACUUAUGAUAAAGAAUUAUAUGCUCUUGUUCGGACUUUAGAAACAUGGCAACAUUACUUAUGGCCCAAAGAAUUUGUUAUACAUUCUGAUCAUGAAUCUUUGAAACAUAUUAAAAGUCAAGCUAAACUGAAUCGUAGACAUGCUAAAUGGGUUGAAUUCAUUGAGACUUUCCCUUAUGUCAUUAAACACAAGAAGGGAAAAGAAAAUGUUAUUGCUGAUGCAUUGUCUCGUCGCUAUACUAUGCUUUCACAACUUGACUUCAAAAUAUUUGGUUUGGAGACCAUCAAAGAUCAAUAUGUGCAUGAUGCUGAUUUUAAAGAUGUAAUGCAGAAUUGUAAAGAAGGAAGAAUGUGGAACAAGUUUGUUGUUAACGAUGGAUUUGUGUUUCGUGCUAACAAGCUAUGCAUUCCAGCUAGCUCCGUUCGUCUUUUGUUGUUGCAGGAGGCGCAUGGAGGAGGAUUAAUGUGACACUUUGGCGUGAAGAAGACGGAGGACGUACUUGCUACACAUUUCUUUUGGCCAAAGAUGAGACGGGAUGUUGAGCGUUUUAUUGCUCGCUGCACUACAUCUCAAAAAGCUAAGUCACGACUCAAUCCUCAUGGUUUAUAUAUGCCUUUGCCUGUACCUAGUGUUCCUUGGGAGGAUAUAUCUAUGGACUUUGUUUUAGGUUUACCUCGAACAAAGAAGGGGAGGGAUAGCAUAUUUGUUGUCGUGGAUAGAUUCUCGAAAAUGGCACACUUUAUACCAUGUCAUAAAAGCGAUGAUGCUGUUAAUGUUGCUGAUUUGUUCUUUCGUGAAAUUAUUCGCUUGCAUGGUGUGCCAAAUACUAUUGUUUCAGAUCGUGAUACUAAAUUUCUUAGCCACUUUUGGAGAUGUUUAUGGGCUAAGUUGGGGACUAAACUGCUUUUUAGUACUACUUGUCACCCCCAAACUGAUGGACAAACUGAAGUAGUCAAUAGAACGUUGUCUACUAGGCUUAGGGCUGUUUUGAAGAAUAAUAAGAAAAUGUGGGAGGAAUGCUUGCCUCAUAUUGAAUUUGCUUAUAAUCGUUCAUUGCAUUCUACUACUAAGAUGUGCCCUUUUGAAGUUGUGUAUGGUUUCCUACCUCAUGCACCUAUUGAUUUGUUGCCUCUUCCAUCUUCGGAGAAGGUUAAUUUUGAUGCUAAACAACGUGUUGAAUUGAUUUUAAAAAUGCAUGAGUUAACUAAGGAAAACAUUGAGCGUAUGAAUGCUAAAUAUAAACUUGCUGGAGAUAAGGGUAGAAAACAUGUUGUGUUUGCACCUGGAGAUCUUGUUUGGUUACAUUUGCGUAAGGAUAGAUUUCCUGAUUUGCGCAAAUCAAAGUUAAUGCCACGUGCUGAUGGUCCCUUUAAGGUGUUAGAGAAAAUAAAUGAUAAUGCAUAUAAACUUGAGCUGCCUGCAGAUUUUGGGGUUAGUCCCACUUUUAACAUUGCAGAUUUGAAGCCUUAUUUGGGUGAGGAAGAUGAACUUCCGUCGAGGACGACUUCAUUUCAAGAAGGGGAGGAUGAUGAGGACAUCAAUACAAUUGUUACACCCACAGCCCCUGCUGCUAUACAUACUGGACCAAUUACUAGAGCUCGUGCACGCCAACUAAACUACCAGGUACUUUCGUUUCUUGGUAAUGAUUCUAAUGUUCCUGAGAAUAUGAUGCUGCCUAAAUUGGAUACAUUUGUUUUGCUUACAAAUGAAGGGCCUAGCUUGGAGAAGGAUGAACAUUGGAGCAAGAACAAGAACGGAGUUACAAGUGAUGAUUUCAGGACUUUGAAGCCACCAUAAUGGGUGCAUGAAGCCUUGGACGAAAUAUACAAGAUGCCACUUCAUAAAUUUCGUUCCGAGGCUAUUUUAGGUGCUGCGUCACCUUAUUAUUGGGCCAGGCCCAUGUAAUUUCGAAAUACAUAAGUAUAGGCUAUUUUUAGAGUCCGUAUGUGUGGGGAAACAAGAGAUAGGGUUGAUUUCGGACCCCUCCACCAAGGGCCACGAAAUUCCCCCCCUCUUCCUCCAUAUAUACAGCCCUUAGGGCAUCGUUUAGACUUUGGGUUUUGUUUAGAUUAAAAGUUCGCCAUAGCUGCAACUUCGCGUACUUCGUUUGUGUUCAACGACCAGACAAAGGCGUCACAGAACCCCACCUUGAUCAAUAAAGCUUUCAUCUUAUAUUCGCAAUAUCCAGAUUGCAAUCUUAGUUUCUUGCUUGUUCUUCGUUUGCUCGCAGGAAACAGACCCUCGUGGUCAGGUUGAACGUGCUCCGGCGUGGUCAAUAACCUCUCGGAGUUGGUUUAGCGAUUGCUAAGGCGCGACGUCCUCGCACGUUCGUAGUCGGAUCGUCAAAGUCGACUUCCACCAAAGCGAUAUCCAUCAUCUCAUCGAAAGAUCGGGACCCUCGCCUCUAUCACUUUGUCGAGAAGCUCUUGUACUUGACGCAUAAUCUCCUUCGUCUCCUCUGGAUUGGUACGGUAUGGUGCACGGUUUGGCAGUGAAGCACCGGGAAUUAAGUCAAUCUGAUGCUCAAUCCCUCGAAUAGGCGGUAAUCCCGGUGGCACGUCUUGUGGAAAUACGUCAGCGAACUCCUGCAAAAUGUUAGUGACAGCAGGAGGCAAAGAGGAAGGCACGUCCUCGAAUGAAAAUAAUGCCUCUUUGCACACAAAAGCAUAGCAAACAGAUUUGCUGAAAUCUAGCUCAUCAAUAUCAGAUUUGGUGGCAAAUAAACAUGCACUUUUCAAUUUAAUUUCAGAAGCAACACUAGAUGGUUUAUUAUUAGGCUUCAUUUGUUGCUCAAAUUCUUUUGCCACAAUCUGAUUUUCACUCUUAUUCUUCUCCUGUUGUGCUUUAUUAGCUCUAUUAAUAUCAUCUUUCAAAAUGGAAUCAGGAGUCAUAGGAAGCAAAGUAAUAUUUUUAUCCUUAUGAACAAGAGUAUAGUGAUUGUUUCUACCAUGGUGUACAGAAUUUUUAUCAAAUUGCCAUGGUAUACCAAGUAAUAAGGAACAUGCUUGCAUAGGUACCACAUCACAAUCAACAUAAUCAGCAUAUGUAGAGAUACUAAAAUGCACACGAACAGUACGUGUUACCUUAACCUUGCCGCUGUUGUUGAACCAUUGGAUGUAGUAAGGAUGUGGAUGUGGUCUUGUGGUGAGAGAAAGCUUCUCCACCAUCUCCAUGCUAGCCAAGUUGUUGCAGCUCCCUCCGUCUAUGAUGACGCGCACAGAACGUUCCUUCACAACUCCCUUGGUAUGGAACAAAUUGUGCCUCUGAUUUUGCUCAGCUUGUGUGAUCUGCACACUCAAAACACGUUGAGCAACUAAACAUUCAUACCUGUCAGCGUCUUCAGGAGCCAUGUAUUGCGUCUCAUGAUCAGAAUCAUCUCCACCAUGUUCUUCACGUGUAAUAAGAGCCAAAGUCUGAUGAGGACAUCAAUACAAUUGUUACACCCACAGCCCCUGCUGCUAUACAUACUGGACCAAUUACUAGAGCUCGUGCACGCCAACUAAAUUACCAGGUACUUUCGUUUCUUGGUAAUGAUUCUAAUAUUCAUGAGAAUAUGAUGCUGCCUAAAUUGGAUACAUUUGUUUUGCUUACAAAUGAAGGGCCUAGCUUGGAGAAGGAUGAACAUUGGAGCAAGAACAAGCAUGGAGAUGAUGGCAUGCGCAAGGGGAACAAGAACGGAGUUACAAGUGAUGAUUUCAGGACUUUGAAGCCACCAUAAUGGGUGCAUGAAGCCUUGGACGAAAUAUACAAGAUGCCACUUCAUAAAUUUCGUCCCGAGGCUAUUUUAGGUGCUGCGUCACCUUAUUAUUGGGCCAGGCCCAUGUAAUUUCGAAAUACAUAAGUAUAGGCUAUUUUUAGAGUCCGUAUGUGUGGGGAAACAAGAGAUAGGGUUGAUUUCGGAUCCCUCCACCAAGGGCCACGAAAUUCCCCCCUCUUCCCCCAUAUAUACAGCCCUUAGGGCAUCGUUUAGACUUUGGGUUUUGUUUAGAUUAAAAGUUCGCCAUAGCUGCAACUUCGCGUACUUCGUUUGUGUUCAACGACCAGACAAAGGCGUCACAGAACCCCACCUUGAUCAAUAAAGCUUUCAUCUUAUAUUCGCAAUAUCCAGAUUGCAAUCUUAGUUUCUUGCUUGUUCUUCGUUUGCUCGCAGGAAACAGACCCUCGUGGUCAGGUUGAUCGUGCUCCGGCGUGGUCAAUAACCUCUCGGAGUUGGUUUAGCGAUUGCUAAGGCGCGACGUCCUCGCACGUUCGUAGUCGGAUCGUCAAAGUCGACUUCCACCAAAGCGAAAUCCACCAUCUCAUCGAAAGACGGGACACCUUUGCCUCUAUCAAGGAAGAAUGUGGAACAAGUUUGUUGUUAACGAUGGAUUUGUGUUUCGUGCUAACAAGCUAUGCAUUCCAGCUAGCUCCGUUCGUCUUUUGUUGUUGCAGGAGGCGCAUGGAGGAGGAUUAAUGGGACACUUUGGCGUGAAGAAGACGGAGGACGUACUUGCUACACAUUUCUUUUGGCCAAAGAUGAGACGGGAUGUUGAGCGUUUUAUUGCUCGCUGCACUACAUGUCAAAAAGCUAAGUCACGACUCAAUCCUCAUGGUUUAUAUAUGCCUUUGCCUGUACCUAGUGUUCCUUGGGAGGAUAUAUCUAUGGACUUUGUUUUAGGUUUACCUCGAACAAAGAAGGGGAGGGAUAGCAUAUUUGUUGUCGUGGAUAGAUUCUCGAAAAUGGCACACUUUAUACCAUGUCAUAAAAGUGAUGAUGCUGUUAAUGUUGCUGAUUUGUUCUUUCGUGAAAUUAUUCGCUUGCAUGGUUGCCAAAUACUAUUGUUUCAGAUCGUGAUACUAAAUUUCUUAGCCACUUUUGAGAUAGUUAUUGGGCUAAGUUGGGGACUAAACUGCUUUUUAGUACUACUUGUCACCCCCAAACUGAUGGACAAACUAAAGUAGUCAAUAGAACGUUGUCUACUAUGCUUAGGGCUGUUUUGAAGAAUAAUAAGAAAAUGUGGGAGGAAUGCUUGCCUCAUAUUGAAUUUGCUUAUAAUCGUUCAUUGCAUUCUACUACUAAGAUGUGCCCUUUUGAAGUUGUGUAUGGUUUCCUACCUCGUGCACCUAUUGAUUUGUUGCCUCUUCCAUCUUCGGAGAAGGUUAAUUUUGAUGCUAAACAACGUGCUGAAUUGAUUUUAAAAAUGCAUGAGUUAACUAAGGAAAACAUUGAGCGCAUGAAUGCUAAAUAUAAACUUGCUGGAGAUAAGGGUAGAAAACAAGUUGUGUUUGCACCUGGAGAUCUUGUUUGGUUACAUUUGCGUAAGGAUAGAUUUCCUGAUUUGCGCAAAUCAAAGUUAAUGCCACGUGCUGAUGGUCCCUUUAAGGUGUUAGAGAAAAUAAAUGAUAAUGCAUAUAAACUUGAGCUGCCUGCAGAUUUUGGGGUUAGUCCCACUUUUAACAUUGCAGAUUUGAAGCCUUAUUUGGGUGAGGAAGAUGAACUUCCGUCGAGGACGACUUCAUUUCAAGAAGGGGAGGAUGAUGAGGACAUCAAUACAAUUGUUACACCCACAGCCCCUGCUGCUAUACAUACUGGACCAAUUACUAGAGCUUGUGCACGCCAACUAAAUUACCAGGUACUUUCGUUUCUUGGUAAUGAUUUCUAAUGUUUAUGAGAAUAUGAUGCUGCCUAAAUUGGAUACAUUUGUUUUGCUUACAAAUGAAGGGCCUAGCUUGGAGAAGUAUGAACAUUGGAGCAAGAACAAGCAUGGAGAUGAUGGCAUGCGCAAGGGGAACAAGAACGGAGUUACAAGUGAUGAUUUCAGGACUUUGAAGCCACCAUAAUGGGUGCAUGAAGCCUUGGACGAAAUAUACAAGAUGCCACUUCAUAAAUUUCGUCCCGAGGCUAUUUUAGGUGCUGCGUCACCUUAUUAUUGGGCCAAGCCCAUGUAAUUUCGAAAUACAUAAGUAUAGGCUAUUUUUAGAGUCCGUAUGUGUGGGGAAACAAGAGAUAGGGUUGAUUUCGGACCCCUCCCCCAAGGGCCACGAAAUUCCCCCCUCUUCCUCCAUAUAUACAGCCCUUAGGGCAUCGUUUAGACUUUGGGUUUUGUUUAGAUUAAAAGUUCGCCAUAGCUGCAACUUCGCGUACUUCGUUUGUGUUCAACGACCAGACAAAGGCGUCAUAGAACCCCACCUUGAUCAAUAAAGCUUUCAUCUUAUAUUCGCAAUAUCCAGAUUGCAAUCUCAGUUUCUUGCUUGUUCUUCGUUUGCUCGCAGGAAACAGACCCUCGUGGUCAGGUUGAUCGUGCUCCGGCAUGGUCAAUAACCUCUCGGAGUUGGUUUAGCGAUUGCUAAGGCACGACGUCCUCGCACGUUCGUAGUCGGAUCGUCAAAGUCGACUUCCAACAAAGCGAUAUCCAUCAUCUCAUCGAAAGACGGGACACCUUUGCCUCUAUCAAUCAUGUACAAGGCAGUGCACAUGACAUACGAAGCGUCCCCGAGUCGGCAUAGCCAAGGACUCUUUAAGACACAAUGAGACCACUGUAAAACCAAACGUGGAUUGGCGGACCACUAGACGUCGAACCCCAAUUUCAUAUCAUACAUCUGUCGGAAAGAUAUCCUAAGAGCUACUUGGAUUCCCACUUAUGAACUCCCGAAAUUUUCCCGGUUAUGCAAGCAGUUGUUGGGGAUAUAGGGGAAGCAUAAUAUCUCACCCAAACUAGCAAAUCCUACAUCCAGUUGUAUCCAUCCUUCAACACAUAACCAAGAAACCUUCGGAAAUCGUCUACCUCAACCUUCGAAAAGCAUCCGUUAUACGAGUUAUGGCGAUACUCCCGAACUCCCGCCCCAGUACUGGGUGGCGUCGAGGUUAUCUCACCAACAACUGCAUAAAAGAGAUUUUCGAUGUCGGCAAAACUAAUCUCAGGUAUUCCAGAACUGCAACGAUAAAAUUGUGACGACAACACCUCAGAGCUCAACUCCCCGGGACACUGCCACAACCCCUAAAUGACAGGAGGCACCAAGAACAAUGUUCUCGUCACAAAUCGAUCGGAACGAUUCCAAGAUACCCGCAUGAUCCUAAAAAAAUUUAGUGAAAUUUGAGAAGAGAAGAGUCAAAACUCUAUGUCAGGAUGCCUUACCAGAGCGAUGAAGGGACUGGGGAGUAAAAAGAAUUCCUAAACUCUCCGAUAUAUAAUUCCUAAAUGACUCAAAACAUUUUUUCUAGACUCAACUCGUCAGCUAAUUCGAUCAAGCAGUGGGGGCUCCUAAGGUCGGGGAAGGCUCUGAUUACCAACUUGAAACACCCUCGAUGCGGCUAUAUCUCCCACAUGUCAAAGCAUGACUUAGAGGCAUAACCGCAUUGAAAGCAAUGUCGCAAGUGAGGUAAUCUUCACACAACCCAUGUAAUACAUAAUGGAAAGAGAUACAUAGUUGGCUUACGAUCGCCACUUCACACAAUACAUGAAUAUAACAUUACAUCAACCAGAUACAAACAAGGUCCGACUACGGAACCACAAUAAAAGAAGAACCCCAAAUGCGACAAGGUCCCCGAUCGACCCCAACUGGGCUCCACUACUGAUCAAGACUAUUUAAGCUUAUAGGAAGGGUAAAAGGUAUGAGGUGGAGCUGCAGCAAGCGACUAGCAUAUUUGGUGGCUAACAUAUUCGCAAAAGAGAGCGAGAAGAGAAGGAAAAAGCAUGGUCGAACAACUAUGAUCAAGAAGUGAUCCAAGAACAACCUACGUCAAGCAUAACUCCAACAUCAUGUUCACUUCCCGGACUCCGCCGGAAAGAGACCAUCACAGUUACACACGCGGUUGAUGUAUUUUAAUUAAGGUAACUUCAGGUUUUCUACAAUCGGACGUUAACAAAUUCCCAUCUGCCCAUAACCGCGGGCACGGGUUUCGAAAGUUCAAAUCCCUGCAGGGGAGUCCCAACUUAGCCCAUGACAAGCUCUCACGGUCAACGAAGGAUAUACCUUCUCCCGAGACAUUCUGAUCAGACUCACUAUCCCGGUUCUACAAGACAACUUUGACAAGUAAAAACAAAUCCAGCAACACCGCCCGAAUGUGCCGACAAAUCCUGAUAGGAGCUGCACAUAUCUCAAUCUCAGGGCACACUCAGAUUGUCUAAACUUCUGGUAGGCCAGCCCAGAGUUGCCCCUGGUGGCCACCGGCGGCUAACAGGUUGGACCAACACUCAGAGGAGCACUGGCCCGGGGGUUUAAAUAAAGAUGACCCUUGAGUCCGCGGAACCCAAGGGAAAAAGAGGCUAGGUGAUAGAGGCUAAGGUGUCCCGUCUUUUGAUGAGCUGAUGGAUAUCGCUUUGGUGGCAGUCGACUUUGACGAUCCGACUACGAACGUGCGAGGACGUCGCGCCUUAGCAAUCGCUAAACCAACUCCGAGAGGUUAUUGACCACGCCGGAGCACGAUCAACCUGACCACGAGGGUCUGUUUCCUGCGAGCAAACGAAGAACAAGCAAGAAACUGAGAUUGCAAUCUGGAUAUUGCGAAUAUAAGAUGAAAGCUUUAUUGAUCAAGGUGGGGUUCUGUGACGCCUUUGUCUGGUCGUUGAACACAAACGAAGUAUGCGAAGUUGCAGCUAUGGCGAACUUUUAAUCUAAACAAAACCCAAAGUCUAAAUGAUGCCCUAAGGGCUGUAUAUAUGGAGGAAGAGGGGGGAAUUUCGUGGCCCUUGGUGGAGGGGUCCGAAAUCAACCAUAUCUCUUGUUUCCCCACACAUACGGACUCUAAAAAUAGCCUAUACUUAUGUAUUUCGAAAUUACAUGGGCCUGGCCUAAUAAUAAGGUGACGCAGCACCUAAAAUAGCCUCGGGACGAAAUUUAUGAAGUGGCAUCUUGUAUAUUUCGUCCAAGGCUUCAUGCACCCAUUAUGGUGGCUUCAAAGUCCUGAAAUCAUCACUUGUAACUCCGUUCUUGUUCCCCUUGCGCAUGCCAUCAUCUCCAUGCUUGUUCUUGCUCCAAUGUUCAUCCUUCUCCAAGCUAGGCCCUUCAUUUGUAAGCAAAACAAAUGUAUCCAAUUUAGGCAGCAUCAUAUUCUCAUGAACAUUAGAAUCAUUACCAAGAAACGAAAGUACCUAGUAAUUUAGUUGGCGUGCACGAGCUCUAGUAAUUGGUCCAGUAUGUAUAGCAGCAGCGGCUGUGGGUGUAACAAUUGUAUUGAUGUCCUCAUCAUCCUCCCCUUCUUGAAAUGAAGUCGUCCUCGACGGAAGUUCAUCUUCCUCACCCAAAUAAGGCUUCAAAUCUGCAAUGUUAAAAGUGGGACUAACCCCAAAAUCUGCAGGCAGCUCCAGUUUAUAUGCAUUAUCAUUUAUUUUCUCUAACACCUUAAAGGGACCAUCAGCACGUGGCAUUAACUUUGAUUUGCGCAAAUCAGGAAAUCUAUCCUUACGCCAAUGUAACCAAACAAGAUCUCCAGGUGCAAACACAACAUGUUUUCUACCCUUAUCUCCAGCAAGUUUAUAUUUAGCAUUCAUACGCUCAAUGUUUUCCUUAGUUAACUCAUGCAUUUUUAAAAUCAAUUCAGCACGUUGUUUAGCAUCAAAAUUAACCUUCUCCGAAGAUGGAAGAGGCAACAAAUCAAUAGGUGCACGAGGUAGGAAACCAUACACAACUUCAAAAGGGCACAUCUUAGUAGUAGAAUGCAAUGAACGAUUAUAAGCAAAUUCAAUAUGAGGCAAGCAUUCCUCCCACAUUUUCUUAUUAUUCUUCAAAACAGCCCUAAGCAUAGUAGACAACGUUCUAUUGACUACUUUAGUUUGUCCAUCAGUUUGGGGGUGACAAGUAGUACUAAAAAGCAGUUUAGUCCCCAACUUAGCCCAUAAACAUCUCAAAAGUGGCUAAGAAAUUUAGUAUCACGAUCUGAAACAAUAGUAUUUGGCACACCAUGCAAGCGAAUAAUUUCACGAAAGAACAAAUCAGCAACAUUAACAGCAUCAUCGCUUUUAUGACAUGGUAUAAAGUGUGUCAUUUUCGAGAAUCUAUCCACGACAACAAAUAUGCUAUCCCUCCCCUUCUUUGUUCGAGGUAAACCUAAAACAAAGUCUAUAGAUAUAUCCUCCCAAGGAACACUAGGUACAGGCAAAGGCAUAUAUAAACCAUGAGGAUUGAGUCGUGACUUAGCUUUUUCACAUGUAGUGCAGCGAGCAAUAAAACGCUCAACAUCCUGUCUAAUCUUUGGCCAAAAGAAAUGUGUAGCAAGUACGUCCUCCGUCUUAUUCACGCCAAAGUGUCCCAUUAAUCCUCCUCCAUGCGCCUCCUGCAACAACAAAAGACGAACGGAGCUAGCUGGAAUGCAUAGCUUGUUAGCACGAAACACAAAUCCAUCGUUAACAACAAACUUGUUCCACAUUCUUCCUUUUUUACAAUUCUGCAUUACAUCUUUAAAAUCAGCAUCAUGCACAUAUUGAUCUUUGAUAGUCUCCAAACCAAAUAUUUUGAAGUCAAGUUGUGAAAGCAUAGUAUAGCGACGAGACAAUGCAUCAGCAAUAACAUUUUCUUUUCCCUUCUUGUGUUUAAUGACAUAAGGGAAAGUCUCAAUGAAUUCAACCCAUUUAGCAUGUCUACGAUUCAGUUUAGCUUGACUUUUAAUAUGUUUCAAAGAUUCAUGAUCAGAAUGUAUAACAAAUUCUUUGGGCCAUAAAUAAUGUUGCCAUGUUUCUAAAGUCCGAACAAGAGCAUAUAAUUCUUUAUCAUAAGUAGAAUAAUUCAGACUAGGCCCACUCAAUUUUUCAGAAAAGUAUGCAACAGGUUUGCCAUCUUGUAAUAACACACCUCCUAAUCCAAUUCCACUAGCAUCACAUUCAAGCUCAAAAGUCUUAUUAAAAUCAGGAAGUUGGAGUAAAGGAGCAUGUGUCAACUUAUCUUUCAAUACCGUGAAGGCUUCUUCCUGUGUGGUACCCCAAAGGAAAGGCACAUCUUUCUUUGUAAGCUCAUUGAGAGGUGCAGCAAUGGUGCUGAAAUCUCUCACAAAACGCCUAUAGAAUCCAGCGAGGCCAAGAAAACUCCUCACUUGUGUGACCGUUUUGGGCUGCGGCCAACUCUCAAUAGCUUCAAUCUUGGCUUUAUCAACUUCAAUUCCCUGCGGAGUAACAACAUAGCCAAGAAAAGAUACUCGGUCGGUACAAAAGGUGCACUUCCCAAGGUUACCAAACAAACGUGCAUCACGAUAGCAAUAAAAACAGCACGUAAAUGUUCCAAAUGUUCUUCCAAAGAUCUGCUAUAAAUCAAUAUGCCAUCAAAGUAAACUACCACAAAUCGUCCAAUGAAAGCACGUAAAACUUCGUUCAUUAAUCUCAUGAAAGUACUAGGUGCAUUAGUUAACCCAAAAGGCAUGACUAACCACUCAUAUAAUCCAAACUUAGUUUUAAAUGCUGUUUUCCAUUCAUCUCCCAGUUUCAUAUGAAUUUGAUGGUAGCCACUACGCAAAUCAACUUUGGAGAAUAUUGUAGAGCCACUCAAUUCAUCAAGCAUAUCAUCUAGCCUAAGAAUAGGAUGACGAUAACGAAUAGUAAUAUUAUUAAUGCCUCUACAAUCAACACACAUACGUGAUGUACCAUCCUUUUUUGGCACUAGAAUAAUAGGAACAGCACAAGGACUAAGGGAUUCGCGUAUAUAACCUUUGUCGAGAAGCUCUUGUACUUGACGCAUAAUCUCCUUCGUCUCCUCUGGAUUGGUACGGUAUGGUGCACGGUUUGGCAGUGAAGCACCGGGAAUUAAGUCAAUCUGAUGCUCAAUCCCUCGAAUAGGUGGUAAUCCCGGUGGCACGUCUUGUGGAAAAACGUCAACGAACUCCUGCAAAAUGUUAGUGACAGCAGGAGGCAAAGAGGAAGGCACGUCCUCGAAUGAAAAUAAUGCCUCUUUGCACACAAAAGCAUAGCAAACAGAUUUGCUGAAAUCUAGCUCCUCAAUAUCAGAUUUGGUGGCAAAUAAACAUGCACUUUUCAAUUUAAUUUCAGAAGCAACACUAGAUGGUUUAUUAUUAGGCUUCAUUUGUUGCUCAAAUUCUUUUGCCACAAUCUGAUUUUCACUCUUAUUCUUCUCCUGUUUUGCUUUAUUAGCUCUAUUAAUAUCAUCUUUCAAAAUGGAAUCAGGAGUCAUAGGAAGCAAAGUAAUAUUUUUAUCCUUAUGAACAAGAGUAUAGUGAUUGUUUCUACCAUGGUGUACAGAAUUUUUAUCAAAUUGCCAUGGUCUACCAAGUAAUAAGGAACAUGCUUGCAUAGGUACCACAUCACAAUCAACAUAAUCAGCAUAUGUAGAGAUACUAAAAUGCACACGAACAGUACGUGUUACCUUAACCUUGCCGCUGUUGUUGAACCAUUGGAUGUAGUAAGGAUGUGGAUGUGGUCUUGUGGUGAGAGAAAGCUUCUCCACCAUCUCCAUGCUAGCCAAGUUGUUGCAGCUCCCUGCAUCUAUUAUGACGCGCACAGAACGUUCCUUCACAACUCCCUUGGUAUGGAACAAAUUGUGCCUCUGAUUUUGCUCAGCUUGUGUGACCUACACACUCAAAACACGUUGAGCAACUAAACAUUCAUACCUGUCAGCGUCUUCAGGAGCCAUGUAUUGCGUCUCAUGAUCAGAAUCAUCUCCACCAUGUUCUUCACAUGUAAUAAGAGCCAAUGUCUCCUCCUCAUAGUCACUAGCGGACUCAUAUCCACCACCCUCGGUAGCAAUCAUCACACGCGGAGAUUUGCAUUCUCUCGCAUAAUGACCUCCUCCCUUACAACGACGACAAAUAAAUCACUUGUGUGCCCUGUUGAUGCCCUGGAAGAAGCAGAACUCUGUGCAGGCCCGGCAGGUGCGCUCUUGGCAGAUAAUGGUGGUUGUUCCUGUUUUGUUGUAUCACGGCUGUAGGAGGCACCUGAUUGAGGUGCUGGUGCAGUUGAAGUAGAAGAUGCACGCGGUGUCCAUGAUGAAGGUCGGCCUGCAGAAAAGUUAGUUCGUGCCAAUGCUUGUCGAUCCUGCACUUCACGUUCGGCUUUACAAGCAAGAUGGAAUAAACGAGUGAUAUUAGUAUACUCCUUAUAGUCUAGAAUGGUCUGAAUCUCUCUAUUUAAUCCACCCAGAAAACGUGCAAGCAUAGCUUCAUUCUCCUCAACAAUACCACAUCGAAUCAGGCCAGUUUGUAAUUCCUGAUAAUAUUCUUCUAUAGAAUUUUUUUCCUUGUCUUAAACGCUGCAAUUUUUGAAACAAUUCACGUUGAUAAUAUGGUGGAACCCAACGCGUACGCAUAGCAGUUUUCAAAGCAGCCCAAGUAGUUGGAAUAGGAUAUAAUCUACAAUGUUCAGACCACCAGACACAUGCAAAACUAGUGAAAGCACAAACAGCAGCAGCAACCCAUCUCUCCUCGGGAUAUUGUAAACAUGUAAAAUGUUGUUCAAUUUCUAACUCCCAAGUAAGAUAUAUAUCAGGAACAUAUCUACCCUCAAAUGGUGGAAUAUUCAAUUUCAGUUUAGGAAUAUGGACAUCAUCUCGUACCUAAGGUGGUGGUGCAGGCCUACCAUUACGAAUAUAUACCUGAGGUCGACCUGCUGGUGGUGGUGCUGGUGGUUGCACGUAGUUCUGAUUUUAAGCAACCUCAUCCUCGUAAUCUCCCACAUAAUCAUCCUCCUCCGCAUCAGCAGCAGGAGCCACAGAAGUAUCAACAGCAGCACCAACAGUUUGGCCAAACGCAAGAGGAACACGGCUCGCUCGGCGGAGGUCUAUUUCGCGACGUGGAGGUAGUCGUUGUUGUUGUUGUUGGAGAGGUGCGUUAGGUGCAGCGGGUGGUGGUGGUGGAAGACGCGCGAGCAAUUCAUUAAACUUGUUAUCGAGCUUUGUUUCGAACGUCUUCACCAUGCCAUCUAUCUUCUCCAUGGCCUGUUCAAAUCUGUUUAGCACGUCUUGCACCUGUCCACUCAUCAUUUGCUGAAAUUUAUCAUGCAAAUCCUUAUUCGUCAUGUUCUCCCAGUCAGUCUCGUCGGCUUGUGAUCCUGGCAUGGUUAGCAGCAAUAGAAACACACAAGAAUAUGAUCCUACAGACUACUAACAAGAGGUGGUGGUGGGUGUCACAAAUCCGUCAAGCAAAUCUCAAAUUCUUACCAGUUCUUACCCAGCAGUAGGCGGUGAUCGGCAACCGUUGUAGUCAAAAACUCUCAUAGCUUGGAUAGAGCGAUUACCAGGGAGAGUCAAACGCAGGACGUAGAUGUAUGUGGAGCUGGGAAGGCUUAUAAUAUGGUAGCAAAAAGGGUUAGCAAUAAUCAAUUCAGAGAUGCAAAGUUGAAUAAACGCUCAACGACGGUACUGUGCUGGUCCUAGGCUAGACUGUGCUAGAGACGCGAGCCUAGAACACCAACAAAAUCACGGCGCCGCACGUAAACAGGGGAAAAGCACACUCUGGAAUUUUUUUUCCGCUCUUUUUUUUGCGAAAAAUCACUAUAAUGGCGAGUGUCUCAAAACUCUUCCCAGCUCAAACUGACAGAUGGGCACGAAAUUUUUUCGACCAAUUUUUUUUUGACUGCCCGGACCCAAAAACUGGAAACGGGUCAAAAAAACUUCCUAUAAUGCCACCUGUCUCAAAACACUCAGAAACACCUAAAAAUAGGAUAGCCAGAAAUUUUUUCGAAAAAUGCAUUUUCGAAAAAAUUUGGGCCUAAACGGAGCGUGGUUUCCGUACUCUUUUUUUUUCGAAACCUACUCCGGCAAGGAAACACGAAUCGGAAUCUAGAUGCCUCUCGAAAACAAACCUAAUAUGACAAGAACUCGGAUUGCUGGUGGAUAUAUGGUGGUAGAUGGCAGCGGUGGUGGUAUAUGGAUACGGAUUCGAAGCGGUGGCGGAUAAGCGGUGGUGGUAGAUUGCAGGGGUGAUGAUGAUGGUGCGGCGGCGGCGUGACAACUUAUGACCAGAACUCGAAACUCUAAAAGACUAGACUCUAAGACCAGCAACUAGACACGACGAUGCAACCGCAAAUUCAACAAAGCAAAACCCUAGAAAGAUUAUGCAAAGGCUCAGAUUGGUUCGGAUAUGAUGAACUAACCUUAAUUUUUUUGUGGCUUUUUUAUGGACUAUAGGUAUGAAGAACAGACUCGAUCUAAACUACGAAAAACUGUAAAAUC
Molecule: long non-coding RNA, 122189 nt
Filed under: Triticum aestivum (bread wheat)
Lineage: Eukaryota; Viridiplantae; Streptophyta; Magnoliopsida; Poales; Poaceae
Description: long non-coding RNA (TAES_LNC018876)
Source: RNAcentral